AUCUCUCCAACAAGAGCCCUUCACUUCUCCAGUAUAAUCCUGUCCACAAAAAGGUUCCAGUUCUUGUACACAAUGGCAAACCCAUCGCUGAAUCGCUUGUCAUUCUUGAAUACAUCGAUGAGACAUGGAGGGAAACUCCCUUGUUGCCUGAAGACCCUUACGAGAGAGCCAUGGCUCGCUUCUGGGCCAAAUUUGGUGACGAUAAGGUUGUUCUUGUUCCUUGGUUGAAACGAAAUUGGUAAAGACUUUGUAUAGAGUUUGAUCCAUAUUCAUUUGUUUUGUUUGGGAUGUAGGUUUUGACAUCAAUAGUUUGGGGUGUCUUCUUCAAGGAAGGGAAAGAGCAGGAGGAAGCUAUGCUUGAAGCCAUGGAGCAUCUCCAGUUCUUGGAAGACGAGCUGAAGGGGAAGAGGUUCUUUGGGGGAGAGAGGAUCGGGUUUGUUGAUCUUGCCUUGGGAUGGCUUGCUAACAUGAUCAGCAUAUUUGAAGAGGUAGCUGGCCUGAAAAUGGUGGAUGAGGAUAAGUUUCCAUUGCUGGCGGCGUGGAUGCAAGAGUUUGCAGAUUCUCCCAUAAUCAAAGACAACUGGCCACCUCGAGACAAGAUGAUUGCCAAGUUCCAGGCCCUUCGUGAUGCCAAACUUGCAGCAGCAGCAUCUAAAUGAACCGCCUUCCUGAAAUAGCAUAAAUAAGAAUCAAUUAAUUUCUGAUGUGUCAUGAUUCACAUCAAUAUGUGUCUGUCUGCAACUGAAAUUAAAUUUCUGAUACAAAAUACUCUCAGUAUUGUGUUGAAUCCGGCAUCCAUGAGAUCUAAGAUUAAAACUCCUCAAAACAGUUUGAUAUAAACUUUUUUUUUUUUUUUUUGGUAAUGGUAGAACAUGGCACUGGAUAGCGACCUCUCCAAGUCAAAGUCCAAUCAAACACAAUAAAAUAUCCAUAGGAUAAGAAACAAAUUGCUGACCACAAUUAGCAUUGUGUACCAACAACUGCUGCAGUAGCAACGAAUAUCCAAACACAAAAGAGUGUUGUUUGAAUAGAUUUAAUUUAUUGCAAAUGUCUCCAUUAGUAUAAGAUUGCUCGUGUUAUUUAUAUAAACUAUUAUUAUAAGUAUCAACACAUAAAGAUAUUUGUAAUUCAAUGGUCUAUUUUAUUAGACUAAAUUAUAAAAUGUCAGUGACGUGUAUUUAAAAUAUUUAUAGAAUUUUCAUAAUUUCUAUUCAAAUUUUACUCUUUACAAUAUUUAAUAUAAAUACAAUCAUUUUCUAAUUGUAUUUUGUAUAUCUUAAAAAAUAAAUAUUUUACGAUCAUUUUAAUUUAUUUCAUAAUUAUUCUUAUAUGAUGCCAAUGAGCGUAAUUUACAAAUAAAUAUAUUUUAUUAUUGAUGGUAUAUCUAACAUUCUAUUACUUUGUAGUUCUUUUCUAAUAAUUCCUUUUGGAGAGAAAAUUAAGAGAUCAUUACUAUAUUUUUGAAAUAUUUUAAGUAUAUAAAAGUAAUUAUUUUCUAAUAGUUCCUUUUGGAGAGAAAUCAUGAAGCAUCAUUAAUAUAUUAUUGAAAAUUUUAAUUUUUUUUUUAUAAUUACUUUAAUUUUUUCUUAAUUUUUUAUCACAUCAUACAAAUAAAUAUUAAUUCAAUGUUUAGUUAAUUUGAUCCUUAGUAUGUACAUGGUAGGAAAUUGUUGUUUUUUUAAUUGUUUUGAGAUUUUAUGAGCUAUUUUUAUAAGCUUAUGGCUAUCAUAUUGUGGACCCACGUUUUUCACGCGCCUCCUCACUUGAACGGCAAGACCCACUUUUUUAUUUCUGAAAAUUUGAUUCUUUGAAAAAAAAACUAAACACUUAGAGUAGUCAUUUAUUUUAUUUUAUUUUAUUUUUAAUAGAAAACAUAAUAAGAAAUAAAACUUUAUAUGACUCCUUAUUUAGAAAAAACACGUCUUUAAAAACAAAAGUUUAGAUUUAGGAAUUAGGUUACCUAUUGAAAAGAUAUAGUGGUGAGUCAUAACAUUGCUCUAAGCUCGUAUAUAUACUACCUCUACUAAACUAAUGGAGGAAAUUGUGACAAUUAAUUAAUUAAUCAUAGAUACCAAGAUUAAGGACAUAAAUCAAUAUACAUAAAAAUGACGAUAAAAUCAAAUUAUAGGAACGUACAAAAUAAAUGAUAAGAGAAUUGUGCAAAUUGAUUUAUCAAACUAAUUAAAAAAAUAUUUCAAAAAAAUAAUUUUUUAAGAAAUUCCAAAGAAGUUUAUUAAAAAUAAUUUCAAAUAAAUGAUUUCAAUUUAUUUAUUUUCCAAUAAGUGAUUAAUUCAAUUUUAUUUGUAUUCGAUUUUUAUUUUUAACAAAGUUAUUUGCACUUGUUUUAUCAAAAUUAUUUUUUUUUAUAAAAUUUCAAUUUGGCAAUAAAGCUUAUUUUUACUUGCUUUUAUUAGAAAAAAGAAAGAAUUUUUACAAAAUUAUUUAAAAAAUAUUUCAAUUUGAUUUUAUUUACAAAGGAAUUAAUUUCUUUACAAAGAUAAUAUUUUCAAUCCAAUUUUAUUAAGAAAAUGAUUUCUACAACUUCAAUUUGCAAAAAAAAAAAAUGAUUCUCAUUCUAUUCUUAUUAAAAAGAUUAUUUAAAACCUUUAUUUACAAAAAUUACUUUUAGUCACAUUCUAAUUAAAGAAAGAGAACUUAUUUCAAAAAUCAUUUUUUUGGAUAAUUUUAUUAAAAAGUAACAUUUUGGGCAAUUUUAUUUAAAAAUCCAUUUUCUGAACAAUUGUUAUUAAACAAAUAAAUUUUUGGACAAUUAUUAUUAAAAAAAAUUUCAAUUUAGUUAAAAAAACAAUUUUUUGAAUUUUCCUAAAAACAUCUUUUUGAAUUUUUAUUAAGAAAACUUUCUUUUAUUAAAAAAUGAAUUUUAUUAACCAUUAUUUUUAUUAAAAAAUAAUUAUUGAACUAUUUAUUUUAUUAAAAAAAAAUUUAUGAGCUAUCAAAUGUUCAAUUCUGUACACACACAAUAAAUAUAUACAAAAAAAUAAAAUAUUUAUAGGAAUCAAUAGAAGAAAAACUAAUUAGAAGUGAAAAAUAAAAUGUGUACUCAAACAAACUAACAACAAGCUCAAUGUUCUCCUAUAGCUUUUCGAGUCUUAUUUUCUUCCAUGAAAUUCAACGCUUCACGUGUUAUAAAUUCGUACUCAACCAAUAGAAUGUCAAUAGAGUAUUGAAAUGAGCCCAUGUAAAAACAAAAAUAAGUCAAAGAUAAAUAUUCAGAAAUGUACAAAGCCCAAAACAAAUAUUUAAGUCCAAAUUCAAACUUCAAAUUAGUCCAAUAAAUUUCACCAAUUAAAAUAAACCCAAAUUAACAAAUAUAACCCAAUAGAAAUAUCCCACAUUCCAUAAGCCCCAUCCAAAAAUUUUAAAUUAAUAACCAAAAUAUAAGUAGAACCUAAUAAACCCAAAAUAUGAUAAAUUAAAAUAAAUUUAACUCUACCUAAUUUAAUAUCCCAUAAUCCAAAAAAAAUGAGCCCAAUUUAAUACGUAAACCCUAAUCCACAACAAAAAUCGAGUCAAUUUAACAUGAAAAGCCCAAAAUAAUAUCCAAAAUAUACCACAAUUGUCUUGCUCCCAAAUAAAUAAUUCAAAUGGGCAAAGCCCAUAUUAAUUAUCAAUCUAUCCAACAAAUUUCACCAACUUUCAUAUUAAUUAACAAAACCAAAAUAUGACAAAUCAAAAUAAAUUCAAUAUCCCAUAUUCCAAAUAAAUGAGCCCAAUUAAAUAUCAAGUAAAAAAUACAAGCCUAAAAUCCAAGAAUAACAACAUAAAAACAACAAUAAACCCAAUCAAACAUUCCAAUAGCACAAUAUCCAUGGACCUAAAUCACUAAAUAAAUCCAAAUUGAAGUCUACAAACAUGCCCACAAUUAGAAUCAAUUAGUGUGCAAACCAAAUUUUUUUUAAAAAAAGUAAAAAAUAAAAAUAAAAUAAAGUAAAAAGGAAAUUUACCCAUUUUUUGAAGAACUAUGGAUGGCCGGAGUUGCUAGUCGGUAAUGACUGGCCGAUUGUGGCUGGCAGUGAUAGUGAAGGAUGGUGGAUGGAGAAAAACUAAGGGAAAAUGAAGAAAAGAAAUGGGAGUGACAGAUAGAGAGAGAGAUGAAAAGAAAGGAAAGGAAAACAAAAUAAAAGAAGAAAAGAAGAGAAAAAAAAAAGUUGGAGGGAAGAGUCUUUUGGCCAUCUGGCUGGGGAGUAGAGGAGGAAGAAGAAUGGAAGAAAAAAUGGGGAAGCCAAAAGGAAAGAAAAGGAAGAGAAAAAAAAAAAGUUAGGUAUGGUCGUGGGCCGUGAGAGGUAUGGGGGGUAUGGGUAGGAGAGAGUGAGGGAAUGGGUGGAGUAGGUGAGGAAAAAGAGAAAGAAGAAGAAAAAAGUAAAAUAAAAUAAAAUAAUAAAAAUAGCAUAAAAUAAUAGAAAUAAAAUUUUAAAAAGACAAAAUAAUAAAAAUUAAGAUUUGAAUGGUAUAAGUGGGCCAAAAAGUAUCAAAUAUAAUUGAGUUUGAAAUUUAAAAAUAAAAUUGGGCUAAAAAAACAAUGUAAAAAUAAAUUUGGGACAAAUUUUAAGGUCUAUACAUAUAUUACCUCUACUUCAUAAUUAUUCAUUAAUGUAACAAGCAUUAUAUUCUUGAUUUGGACUGCCAAAUAUAUAGAUCAAAUGAUAAUUUCAUGAAACAACCUCACCAAUGGUUGCCUAACUAUUGAGUAAUCCCAAAAGCUUCAUAAUGGAAUUCAUGACAGAUCUUCCCUCUCUCUUAAGAGUUUAUAGUUUUAUCAAUCUCACCAUUAAUUGAAAAAAGAUUAGUCCUGCCCAAUGCAAGCCAAAUGAUCUCAAGUGCAAUAAUGUAUCCCACAACUUGGGCAUAACUCCCUCAAUCAAUGAAGCAUAUAUAGAAUCAUCUCAUAAUCAAAUUGAAAAAGCAUAUGUCUAGUAGGUUAACACCUAGAGGGGGGUUGAAUUGGUGAUUUUUUUUUUUAAAUUACAAUACAAGAGUUGAAAAGCUUAACCUAAAUUAAGAACUAGAGAUAUUAUGAAUGAUCAAAUGAUAAACAAAACAUACAAGAGACCAGAACUUUUAUGUGGAAAACCCCCAUACUAACUAUGGAAAUAAAAAAACAGGGGAUCUAAGACUUCUAAUCUAAUAAUCCACUAUAUGAGAACAAGACACACAAAUUUACCUGACACCUUUACCCUAAAGACUUGCUCUUCAAUACCUAUACCUUGAUCCACAUAUGUUAUGCAUCACCUUUAAUGCUCUAGUGUAUUCACCUCUACCUGUAAGGGGAUGUAGGUCUUUCCAACAACCUAGAAUUCUAAAUGAUGAAUACUUGUUGAGAGUUUGAGAAUGUUAGGGCAAGUUGGGGCUUGAUCUCUCUAAGCAUCUAAUGCAAAAACAAAUUAAGGUUAGGUACAUAUAGGUUUAAGAGCCUAGAGAGUUGAAAAUGGAAUUUUCUUAAAAAAUAAAAUAUCAACUUUCCAAAAAUUAAUUAAGAAAAUAAUUGUAUUUUUUUUUUUAAAAAAAAAUCAACUUUAUAAAAAUUAAUUAAGAAAAUAAUUUUACUUUAAAAAAAAUAUCAACUUUCUAAAAAUUAAUUACAAAUCGAUUUUAUUUAAAAAUAAAAUAAAAUUUCAAAGUUGCCAAAAAUUAAUGAAGACAUUUUAGUUCAAUUUUAAAACUUCAUAUCCAAUUCCACCUAAUUAAAAUACCUAACUUACCUUUAACAAACCUUUUAAGACUUACUUAUGACAACACGGUUGAAUGAACAUUGACCUCAAAUCUUCAAUAUAGAGUAAGUCACUAUCUAAAAAAGUUCCUAUGUCAAGAUGAAAAGGAACAAAAUUGUCAAUACAUAAAAGUGUCUUAACAAUCUCCCCAUUUGACAAUUUUAAGACAAAACAUAAAAAUACAUAAACCCCUAAAACUCUUAAACAAAGUUUACAUAACACUCAAAAAACACUUGUGUCAGCCUAAUCAUCCUAUAACAUGUAGGGAAUGAUGUGAUGCAUCUAAAAAUAAUAAGAUACUAAUAUUUGUAGUGCAAAUAAAUGACUUAUUCACAGUCAGUUUAUCAGUUUAGGCAACCCAUUAGAGCACCUCCUAAUUGGAGGGAUGGUUGAUCUUGCCUAUUGGGACGAGUUUCUCAUAGCGAGUACACUAGUGUGUAUGGUUACAAAUUAAAUAAGAUCUACGAUGAGUCAUGACUUAAAGCUAUCAAGUAGUCAUGACCUCACCAAGCUACUUCAUUAUGCUGUCUCUUAAUCUUGAGAUAAUAUUGAACUUAUGCUAAAGUUAGCAAUGGCUUUGACCUAUGGGUGAGAUCAUAAGCUAAUUAAUCAUAUAUUUCCUAUGGAUUGAGUCACUAUUGAUGGAAGCAAGUAACAAUAGGUAUUCUCAAUAGAGGCACCAUGAUAUCUCAUGACAUUGAGACAAAGUGUCCUCGUAGGUGAUCCUAAGGAAGUGUGUUCAUGGAAAUUAUGGUCAUAGUUCCUUAAGUGGAACUUGACAUAAGCUCUUUUACUAGUAGUACAUGUUAGUUUAACACAAAAUAGAAGGAUUUAUAACUCAAGAAUAGUAGAGGUAGUCUUAAAAGGUUGAUAUAUUUCACCUUGUUAAACUACAAACACCAAUUCAUGCGGAAACUAAAUGCAAUGGAUAGCAUAUCACAAACUCGAGUACAUAGUGUCUCGUUGUUAUUUGCAUAGGAUAUUGGGUUCAGUUGAUUUGUUGUACUAAGAUGUUGAAUCAACUUCAAAAUUGAAUUAUGAGGAAGCCAAUACUCCUAUGGGUCCUUAUGGUCCUGCUUUUAGUUCAUAUAGCUUGUUUGUAUAGGUUUUGAGGGUUAAAUUAACUCUAGGUUAACUUUUGUGCAUAAAGGUAUUUUGGUCAUUAUGCAAUGGUGCACAGGGGUAAGUGAACGAGCUCUUUUGAUUAGGUUAAUUAAUUAAUUAAUAGAUCUUUUUAGGUUAAUUAAUCAAUUAGGACUCAAUUUGGGCUAAAUUAAGUGACCCAAGCCUAUGUGGGCUUAAGUCACUUAAGCCUAGUUAGAAACCCUAUAACUAAUCCAUAAGGAUUAGGGUUUCCAUAACUUUUCAUUUUCCACCAUCUAAAGAGCAACGAGAGUCCUAACCUUCAACCUCCUACACUCCCUACUAUUUGUGUUCCAAGGAAUGAGGUUGAGUCAUCAAGUAGAAGAUCAUGGGUCUAUGAGACUUCCUACGACAUCAAUUUGAUUAUUCAACACUUGGAAUUAAGGUUUGGGGAACAUCCAAAUGUAAAGGCUAGUACUUUGACCUUAAAGAUCAAUUUUUUGUAAAAAAAAAAAAAAGGUGUUGAUUCCAUUGCUUAGAUCAAUCUAUCAAGAUUACCUCUCUAAUCUCUAGGUUAUAGAUCACCGUACUAUGUGAUCAACUGACAUAUUCUAACUCAUAAAGAGCAUAUGUCAAAUUCCACUUAGGGAAUUAUUGCAGCCAUAAAUUUCAGGAUCACGUGUCCUUUAGAUCACCUAAGAGGACACAUAGUCUUAAUCCCAUGAGUAUAUGGUGCCUUUAUUGAGAAUAUCUAUUGUCACUAGCCUCCAUCAAUAGCGACCCAAUCCAUAGGAUUAUAUGACAACAUUAGGGUCUCACCGUAGGUCAAAGCGUUCCAUUGAUUUCAACAUAGACUUAAAAUCCUCUUAAGGUUGAGAGUCCAAGAAAUAUAGUAACUUAGUUCAUCAUGAGAACCUAAUAACCUUACAUCAUGAUUCAUCAUAGGCCUUGUGCAAUGUGUAGCCAUACAUACUAAUAUACUCAACAUGGGAAACCUAUCCCAAUGGCCAAGACAAGUCAUCCCUUCAAUUAGAAGGUAAUGUACUGCAACUCUAUUAGAUUACCAAAAUCCAUGAAUCAACUAUGAAUUAUUUAUCAUCCUAUAAGGAACCAAUGACUUGUAUCUUUUAUGCAACUCCUAAUGUACCUAAGUCAUGUACAGUACUGAUACUAAUAUGGGUUUGAAUGCUCAAAUUAAUAUCAAUGCAAAUGAUAAAUUGAAAUAUAAAAGCUCAUGUCUAACUUUGUUACAUGAUGCCUUGUUUUUAAGUGCUUUAUCCCUAUAAGCAUAUCUUGAUCAUCAACAAUCAAACUCCAAUGAGAACAUAUAAUCAUAAAUAGGCACUCCCCACACACUAGUUAAUAUAUGAAAGCCCAUUUAUAAGACUCAAGCUAAGAAUCCUUAGAUUUCUGCCUACAAGGUGGAAUAAAGGAAAUGAUAUGACUCUUCUCCAUGCAAAGAUAUGUGAAGAACCAUAACCCAGGGUAAUGAAGAGAUUAAGAAAACCAAGUGAUGAUAAAAAUAAAGAAGAUGAAAAGAAAAUUACAAAUAGUGAAACAUAAUGUAAGAAAAGUGAUAAUGAUGACAAUCUACAAAUACCACAAUGAAAAAUGAGAAAUAAAACCCAAAUGUGCCUACUAGGUCUAAGGCUUAUGAAGCUCCUAAUCAAAGCAUGCAAACACUAUAGGGCCCUUGACUUGAUAUAAAAGGUAAGCAAGGGAAUGAAAUGAAAAAAAAGGCUAUGAUGCUCGCAUGAGGCUUACAAAGGCUAGCAAUAAUUUGUGUGCGAAUAAGAGUGAUAAGGUAUAAGGCUAAUCCAAAUGAAAGCCACCCAUCAUGCAACCAUAGCCAUAAACAUAGUACUCCUUCAACUAGUAUGCAUCGGUCAACUUUGAGAAUAAAUUUCUAUCUAGGCUCAUCAACCAUGCUCUCUCCUUUGGAGACAACUCUCAUAUGACAAAGUCAACAAUCUCGACAUUCUUUGAGAUGGGUAAGGCUCUGUGAUUUGCAAUGUUUCGAUAGGGAGUCAAGAGAGUCCUAAUUUGAAUCAUAAUAUCCAAACUCAUCCUCUAUAUCAAAUAUAUAUGAUGUGGGUAAGGGGAGUAUACACAAAGGAAUAUCACCACAAAAGAUGGACAUAUACUAAAAAAAGAAAAAAACAAAAACACUCAUACCCAUAGAUGAAAUAGCGAGUACAUCAUUAGAGAAGGAGAUAAAUCUCAAAGAUACAUCAAAAGAAAGAGGUGUGUUCACAAUAGGUGGGCUAAUAAUGCCCUCAAAUACAUCAUCAACAAACAAAAUAUGUUGUCACCUCUAAAGCAAUAACAUGAUGAACAUUCUUUGUACUCUUAAUUAAAGUAGGAAUAAGAUAAACUACCUUUGGUUGAUCCAUACUAACCAUCUAGCUAAUACCUGACAUAUCCAUCCCAUCAUUGCACUUAUCAUAAGGAACAACCCUAUCUACCAUUUCUCUCAUCUAAGAGAAAACAUUAUCAUCCUUUAUAAGAUCCUCAUCUAGUACAAUAGACUCUAGUUUAAUGUUAUCCCCACUCAUCAUAAAUAUGGUGUCAUCAUCCUCAACAAGAUCAAAAAAAUGAAUAACAAUUGAAGGAAAAGGCUCCACAUGAAUAGGAUGGGUAGGUAAAGGGUUACUAGUUGUAGACCCCUUCUUUUGGACGCCUUAAAGAAAACGUUUUUGGGGUGGUGAGCUAUUAACAAGAGGGAGGUGGUACCUUUUUGGUCAACUACAGGAGACAUGUAGUAGUUGUUGAUUAUGGCUGCUAGAGAUGUAAAGAAUAUUCUCUAUAGGGGUGAGCUGUACAGAGGGAGUAUUUGAGUGGGAGAGGUUGGAAUUGGAUGAGGUGAGAAAUAAAACUUAGGGAUUAGGUUUUUAGAGAGUAGAUGGGAAAUCCAUUUUUUUUUUGGAGUGCCCAUUUUACAGAGGGGAAGCAAAAAGGGAAAAUAAGAAGAAAAAAACAUUAGAUGAGAAGAAGAAACUGGGAUAAAAGAGUAUUCGUUAGCCUGCAUUUGCUUGGAAGUAAGUUUUUCACUAUAAAAACCCUACCCUUUGCUACAUUUCUUUCAUUUGUUGUUAUUAAGAUUUGUUUGAUGAUUAAACGCAACCACUAAUAGCCAUGUGUUUGUUGUUAAUUUUAGGUUGAUCAUAGAUCUGUCAUAGUUUUAGAUUUUUCAAGAAUGGUCUACCCCUAUUUUGGCUUCAUAGAGAUAUUUGGAAAUCCUUCAACUUAGAGAGGAUUAGUUAAGAAUUAGUUUUGACAGCCCAUGCUUAACAAAUUAUAAUAGUAUUUAAGUUUUAAAUUUAUACAAAGAAAAAUAGAGACUCAUUCUUCAGUCAAGAAGACAAUUCUUUCAUACUCCGCUAAAAUCUUUUCCUCUAUCUUUUCACUUGAAUAUUCCUUCUUAGAAUUCUAUCAUGGUAUCAGAGCUUGGAUCUUCUUCAAUGGAGGUUAAUAUCAGUCAUACAAUAGUGAACUGGAAUCCUUUGUCUUCCACUUGCUUUGUUCUAAUUAGCUUCAAUCACUCACUGUCUGUGAAGCUUAAUAGCAAGAAUUUCUUGAUUUGGAAAUAGCAAAUCAUUUAUGCAAUUUGAGGCUAGGGGCUACAAAAGUUCAUGUUCAAUAAAAUGAAGUACCAAUUCAAUUUCUUACUAGAGAAGAUGCGAGAUUUGGAAAACCAACUAAGGAAUUCCUUGAGUGGAAACAAUAAGAUCAACUACUACUCUUUUGGCUUCUCUCGUUUGUUUCUAAGUCGAUUCUUCAUCGACUAGUUGGUUGUUAUACAUUCUUUCUUCUUUGGUGACAAUUAGAAUAGUAUUUUACGUCCCAGACUUAAGCCAAGGCAAAGCAGUUCAAGACUCAACUUCAACAUAUAAAGAAGGGAGGUUUAACAAUUGAUGAAUACCUUGUGAAGAUCAAGGUUUGUGUUGAUUUACUUGCAUCUAUUGGUGUUUCUUUCGUCAACCAAAGAUCAUGUUGAAAAAAUUCUUGAUGGUUUACCCAGUGAUUAUGAAUCUUUUGUUACUUCAGUCAAUUUGAGGAAUGUUGAUCUUUCUUUAAUGGUUCAUGAAUCUAGAGCUGAGAAAAACAAUAGUUCUCUUGAUUCAUUUCCUUCAAUUUAUGUUGCAAGUUCUAAUAUUGGAGAUAAAAGAAUCAUUUCAAGCAGAACUAUUAUGUUGCUAACUCUCAAGGUAGCAUUAAGGUUACAAUGGUGGUUCUAAAUAAGGUGGAGACUUUGGUCGUAGAGAUGGCUUUAAUAAUGGUUGUGGAUUCAAUUGGAGUGGCAAUGGAAGACGUAAUAGAGGUCUUUUUCAUGGUAAAGGAAACAAAGAUGGUAUUUAAGCAAGGCCAUCUUAGAACUCUAGCAAUCAGAAUGAGAAACCAAUAUGCCAACUAUGUGGUAAAAUAGUACAUGUAGUAGCAUAGUGCUAUUAUGGGUUUAACCAUACUUUCCAAGUACCAUAGAAUCUGUCUAGCAGGAGUGCUUCUCCUCGAUCUUGUUACAACUUUUCACCCUAAAUAAAUGGUGUUUUCUCAACUCUUAAAGUUUUUGGCAAUGACAAUUGAUAUCCAAACACUAGAGCUUCGAACCAUGUGACAUCUAACCUUGCAAAUUUGAUGAAAACUAUUGAGUUUACUAGGCAAGAUCGGGUUCAUGUUGGGAAUGGAACAGGUUUGUCCAUUAAGCAUAUUGGCUAAUUUGAAUUAUUAUCACCUUUUUUUGUCUAAACCUCUUUUACUUAAUCACUUGCUUCAUGUACUUUCCAUUACCAAAAAUCUCCUAUAAGUUUCCAAAUUUGCAAAGGAUAAUAAAGUGUUUUUGGAAUUUCAUUUUGAUUCCUUUUUGGUCAAGGAUCAGGUAACCAAAGUUGUUAAAAUGUUUGGGAGGGUUAGAGAUGGAUUAUAUGCUUUUGACUCGUCUCAUCUUGCUCUCAAACCAAGUCAAAGCUUAUUGAAGUCUCCUUCUAUUGAUGCUAGUUCAUUUUCUUCUAAACUUUGUACAACUUCUUUGUCAUCUACCUUUGAUUUAUGGCACAAAAGAUUGGGUUAUUCUUCGACUACAAUAGUUAAAAAUGUUUUGUCCAAAUGUAAUGUUGCUAAUAUAAAUAAAAUGGACUCCAACUUCUAUUAUUUUUGUUGCUUGGGUAAAAUACACAAGUUCCCAUUUUUUUUGUCUCAUACAACUAAUACCAAACCCCUUGAGUUAAUUCAUUCAGAUUUAUGGGGUUUAGCCUUAAUAUUAUUUAGUAGUGGAUAUAGGUAUUAUAUUCAAUUUGUGGAUUCCUUUUCAUGAUUUUCGUGGAUAUUUUUACUCAGAAAUAAAUCCAAAGUUGUCAAAACCUUUGUUAACUUCAAAACUCAAGUAGAAUUCCAAUUUGAUUAAAAAAUUAAAUCCUUACAAACAAACUAGGGAAUGAAUUUUGUACGUUUUAAUCUUACUUUGCUGAAAAUUGCAAUAGAUAAUGUUCAUUCUACUCACACACAUGCACCUAAUAGAGUUGAUACUACUCCAACACCUGCACCCGUCACAGUUUUUUAUGUUACUCCUUAGCAGGUUGUUUUUCAUCCAAUUGUUAUUCUUGUAUAACAUGUUGUCUCUUCUAUUACAAAUGCAUGUGUGUCUAGUAGACCUACCAAAGAUGUUGUAAUACUCAUCCAAUGACUACUAGAGCAAAGAAUGGGAUUGUUAAAUCCAAAAUUUUUAUUACAGCAAUAAGAAAAUCUUUGAGUGUUGCAGAUGCCCUUCAGAAAGAUGAGUGGAAAAAGGUUAUGGUGGCUAAGUAUGAUGCAUUACAAAGGAACAACACCUAGUCAUUGGUUACUUUACUUGCUGGUAGAUAGGCUAUAAAAUUGAAAAUGGGUUUACAAAACUAAAGAAAAUUUAGAUGGCAAUAUUCAAAAGUAUAAAGCAUGAUUAGUCACCAAAGGUUUUCACCAACAAGCUAGCUUUGAUUUUUCUAAGACUUUUAGUCUAGCUGUUAAACCUUCUAUAAUAAGAUUUGUUCUCACCAUCACUCUCUCAAGGAAUUGGGCAAUCAAGGAAUUGGAUGUAAAUAAUGCGUUUCUCAAUGGAGAUUUGUAAGAGGAGGUGUUUAUGUAACAACCACAAGGUUUUUUUUUAUGAUAAAAAUCCUAAUUUGGUUUGUAAACUUCACAAGACCUUGUAUGGCUUGAAACUUUCCCCAUAGACCUUUUGAGAGGUUCCAUUUAGCAUUACUAAGUUCUGGGUUUGUGUUAGCUGAGUCUAACCAAUCACUAUGCUUAAGGUUCACUCUCAGCCAUACUAUAUAUGUCUUGGUCUAUGUUGAUGACAUUUUAGCCAUUGGUAGUGACACGACUGUAGUUACUUCCUUAAUAGAUCAAUUGAACCCAUAAUUUUCCUUGAAAGACCUUGAGGAAGUGCAUUAUUUCCUAGGUAUACAAGUUUCCCAUAACAAUAAUGGCUUACAUUUAUCCCAAACUAAGUACAUUUGAGGCUUGCUAUAAAAGACAAAAAUGGUGCAUUGAAAACCUACAAGAACUGCCCUACCUAAUGGUCUGAAAUUGAGAGUUAGAGAAGGUGAUCAUGUGGAAGAUUUACAUGGUUAUACCAGUAUGGUAGGGGCUCUUCAGUAUGUGACCAUCACAAGGCCCGAGAUCUCUUUCAGUGUGAAUAGAGUAUGUCAAUUUAUGCAGAAUCAUAUAGAAGAGCAAUGGAAGGUCGUGAAAAGAAUUUUAAGAUAUUUAUAGUGCACUUUGCAUCAUGGUUUUCACUUGAAAAGAUCAUCUAGCCUUGACUUGGUUGGAUUCUAUGAUGUUGACUAGGCAUCUAAUUUGGAUGAUAAAUGCUCAACCUUAGCCCAUUAUGUAUUUUUGGGGCCAAAUUUGGUAUGGUAUCAAUUCAUGAAGUGACAUAUUCUUUCAAGGUCUAGUAUCAAAGUUGAAUACCAAAAUCUUGUAAGUUUGAUUGCUGAAAUCACAUGGUUAAGGUCAUUAUUAAGUGAGUUGUAAAUUCCACUAGCUAAGCCUCACCUAGUUUGGUGUAAUAACCUCAACACGGUUUUGCUUUUUGCAAAUCUUGUUCUUCAUAAAAGAACAAAGUAAAUAGAGCUUGAUCUCUAUUGUGUUCGUGAAAAAGGUCAUUUGGAAGAAAAUAGAGGUUCACCAUAUCCCCUCAGUUGAUCAACUAGCAAAUGUGUUCACAAAGACAGUUUCAUCGACUCAAUUUAUUGAAUUUAGACACAAACUCAAGAUAGAAAAUUUUUCUAUCCUAAGUUUUAGGGGGAAUAUUAGAGAUGAUUAGUUAAGAAUUAGUUUUGAUAGCUCAUGCUUAAUAGAUUAUAAUAGUAUUUAAGCUAUAGAUUUAUACAAAGGAAAAAAGAGACUCAUUCUUCAAUCAAGAAGAUAAAUCUUUCUCAGUCCUUUAAAAUAUUUUCCUUUAUCUUUUCUAUAGAAUAUUCCUUCUUAGAAUUCUAUCACUUCACACCCAUCUAAAUUCAAGUUUGUUGAUAAUGUAUAAAACAUGGUUUGGUGAUCACUUUGUAUUUCACUUGUUUUCUCUCUAUUUUUUGUUCCUUGUUUUAUUUCGACUCUUGUCUAGUUCCUUCCCUGCUUGGUAUCUUUGGUUUCAUACUAGUGGUGCCUACCCAUUCCACCUUCUCCACUACCAUUUGCUUUUGCCCUUCCCCUUGUGAAUUCUAUUGCCCAUCAUUUUGAUUCUACUGUUGGCUCAAUUAGUUCAAAGAUAUGUUAAAGUGCCCUAUGGUUGCCUUGAUUCUUGCUUACUCAACAAGAAAAAUGAUGGCUAACAAGGCCUUGGUACAGAGGUUUUCUGCUUGUGAGACCAUGGAUUCCUCCAUGACCAUUUGUAGUGAUAGGAUAGGAACUGUAAUUGUGAAUCAGAUGACUAUUGUUGAUGUUUAUUCUAGCAAUAAGAAAAUUAAUCAACUAGACAGAGGCUAAUUCGCGUUUUCUAUGCUAUCCACUAUACUUGAUGAAAACAUGGCUAGACCUUUUUGCUAUAAGAAGAGGAAUAAGUAAGGUGGAAUAGCAAUUUAGCAUAAAUGAGUAAAUGUUUGUGCAUGUUGUUGUAGACAAGAUGAGGCUCAACUACAUGAUUAUUUAGAAGGCAGGAUGAGUGUAAUACCUAGGAAUUUGUCAUACACGCCAGCUUAUAGUAUUAAUUAUUUUUUUCAACUUAGUAAAAAAAAUAAUUAGUUAAAAGUGAGCAGUCAAAGACACGUGUUGCAAAUUAAUUGGAUGUUAAAAAUGUUGAAAUUAGGUCAAGGGUAUGGUUUGAAUUCUUUUCAUGUCAACCUAUGACAUAAUAGGAAUAUGAAUUGGAGAUGAAAUAUUUGAAUUUGUUAAAUUGAAAAAAUUUGCAAGAACCAAAUUUAGAGGAUUUAAUAAUUUUGGGCAUGUUAAAUUGAUGGAAUUAAGUUUUAGAUUAUUGAGUAAAUUUCUAUUAAUAGAUAAAUAUUAAAAAGAUCAAUGGGUUAAAGAUUACUAUGAAUUUCAGCUCUUAGGAUUUCGGGUUCUAGGAUGUCAGAUUUUAUGCUUCAAACUUUUUCUAAAAUUGAUUUUUAUAUAAUUUAUGAUUUAUGAAAUCAUGUGUUGAGUGAAUUUUAGAGUAGAAGCAUUUUAGGUAAUUAAUGUCAAAUAAAUUUUUUUUAAGCAUGAACUUGUAGAAGAUUUAAUCAAGAUUACAUUGGUUUUUUUUUUUUCCAUAAGGCAAGAAAUCCAAUGCUUUCAAAACCAAACUAGUUAUUGAACUGAAAAAGUUACCAGUUCACGGUUCAAUGGUCCAACUGGUGGUUAAACCGCGGUCGAACCAGUGAUGUUAUAAAUAUAUAAUUUAUACAUUAUUAAAAUUAAAAAUAGUUAUAGAAAAUUAAAAUAAAUUAAAAAUCAAUAAUAUUCUUUUUUAUCUCUAAUGUUAUCAAAUUAAAUCAUGCAUAAGUAUAAAAAUAUUAAUAUCUUAAAUUUAUUAAAUGACAUAUGUAUAAUAUUUAAAUAUGAAUAUAUUGAAAAUGAAAGAAAAUUCAAUUAUUUUAUUUAAUAUUAUAAUUUUUUUUAUAAAAAAAAUAUUUUUUUGUUUUGUUUGUUAUAUUAAACAUCAACUAGUGUGUAGUCGAGUGGUGCCCUGUAUGUUUUGCUUAACUUGAGGUCAAGGGUUCAAGUCCUUUUAGGUGGGUUUUGUCAUUUGUGAUUGUUUUUCAUUAUCUAAUAUCAUCAAUCCCACAUCAGAUCUUGAUGAGAAUAAAGAGGUUUAUAAAAAAAAAAACACUCAUCCAAUAGAGGCAUGUCCUUCAUUUGGGCUUAAGAAGCAGCCCACCAAUUGGGCUAAGGUAAGCUUGGCUUAUAAGGUUAGGUUUUUUGCCAAAAAAUAAAUGUGUAAGGUGGGCCAUAUAUAAAGGUGGAAGGUGGCGGGUUUAAAUGAUUAAAAAAAGGCCUAAUGCUAGGCUUGAAUCAUAAAAUAAAAAAAUAAAAAAUAAAAAGGUCUUCAUCAAGAACCAUUCGGUUCAUCUGGUUUACCAAUCCGACCAUUGGUUUAGGCGGUUCAUGACUGGUCCAUUGGCUAAAUGGUUCAAUAUAUGGAACCAUACGAGAAAUGCCAUUGAUCAGCAAUUGAACCAAUCCGAUCGGCUGGUCCAGUUUGGUUUUAAAAACCAUGAAGAAAUCAUAAGUUUAGCAUAAAUUAUAACUAUGGAAAAUGAAAUAAGGAAUAAUGGUUUUAAUUUAUUGAAAAAGGAUGUGCAUGGUAUUUUAGAGAUUGUUUUUGAAAAAAAUAAAAUAAAAGGGGAGGAAAGUGGCAUAAUAGGAGAAUGAGAGAAAUUACAGGGAGAUGAAAGAAAAAAAAAAUUGGCCAUCUACAUACCUCCGCUGAUCGGACAAUGAAAUGACCUUUGAUCGUGAUGAAAUUUUAGACAAUGAUAGUCUUCAACGUGGUGAAUACUUCUAUAGAGUUGGAUUUUCCAUUCAAUGGUUCGAUUCUACUAUACAGGUAGGGGUGUGUUUUCCCUAAGUUUCUUUGGGGCUUUUCAUUUUGCUUUGAUUUACUUUCAAAAACCCCCAUGGAAUUAGGUGAGUUGUUGAGUUGUAGUAUAUCAUCACAUAGUUUUCAUUGAAGUUGUUUUUAGAAAACCUAAACAUGUAAAAUGAUUUAAUUUUGUUUUGAAAUUGCUAAGUGGGAAGUAGAUGAAAGUUUAAUGCAAAGUCAUGAUAUUAGAAUUGUUGGUAUUUAGUUGUUUUUCUUGUGAUAUAAUUUACUGGAUUGUUGUGGUUUUGAAAUAAUUUUAUUGAAAUAAGGGUUGAUAUAUUUUUCUAAUUGUUGUCAUGUUAGAAAUUAUAGAAAUUUUUUGGUGAUAUAUUAGUGUUGAAAAUAAUGAGAAUUGUUUGUUGAAAAUUUUGAGUAUUAAUAUAUGUUUAAAAUAAUUGUUUUAUAUUAUUGGGUAUUAUUAUUUGAUUUUGGAGUGAACAAUGAUGUUAUAUUGCAUUCAUUUUGCAUCCAUGUUUGUAUGAAAAGAAAAAAAAAAUGGUUGUAUGAAAUGGAAAAGAGAAUGAAUAGACCAAAGGAAAAAAAUGAAAAGGAAAUGAGAAAUGAAAGGACCCUAGAGAGGAUGAAUUAAGAAGGGGGUGAAAUCCCUAGUGUACAAAAAACAGAAGUUUACCCCAAGAAUACUCCAAAUGAGGAGUGUAUUAAGGUGUGGACGCAAAUCAUUCGAUGAAUGCCUAAAAACAAGAUUGCAUUAUUUGAUUAUGUCUACACGAGCAUUAUCAUGAAUAUAAAUUUCAUAUAUUGGAUUUUUUUUAACAUUUUAAUUAUGUUGAGUACCAUGUUUUUAUAUAGUUCAAAUGUUUCAUAGGGUGAAUGUUCCAAUAAAUUAAAAUUUCGUAUGUUCCUUACUUGACAUAAACAUAUUGGGUUGUAAAUAUGCUAGUAACAAAUAAAUAUUCUAUGUUAUUAUAAAACUGCGGGCAUGCUUAUCUCAUUAAAGUUUAUUAAGUCUUAUUGGUGGAUAAAUUGGGUGUUUUAAUAUUCUUGUUAAGCUUUUAUAUGAUGUAAGUUAUUAUUCCUUCCCUCGAGUGGAAAUGCUCCUACUAAGCAUAGUGGAAAUGCUCACCCUUUUUCCCCUUUAGAUGCAAAUAUAAUUUGAUGAAAAGAUCAAUACCCAUUAGAACUCUUGAAGAGACUUUGCCAUGAAGACUACAAUUACCUUGAUUCUUUUGUAAUUCUUCCAAAUGUAAUAGUUUAUGUUGAGUUGUAUAGUGUGAUUUAUUAUUGAAUUACUAUAAUGUAUGAAGAUCUCUUAUUAAUUUUUCUUUCUCUUCUUGUUGUAGUAACUGAGACAUACCUAAAUGAUCCUUGUAUUUGACUAGAUAGGAAUAACCUUUAGGGUCAAACCUUUGACUUGGGUUAUAGGUCGAAUUUUAGGUUGCCUAGAAUUCGGGGCGUGACAAUGAACACCAUUACUCCAAAUUUAAUUGCUCUUGUUUCAAAAGCUUGUUGGUGUGCAACUUAUUGCUUAUGGGGAAUGCUUGAUAAAUCUUGUGAUUCGACUCAUGGUAGCUUAGCUUUAAAGGCGUAUCAACAAAAUUUAUACCUUAGAUACUAUUACUAAAGUAGCCAAGCUACUAUAGCAUAGUGGUUCUAGGAUCGUUCACUGGGAAGGGUUUUCGCAAACACUAGUGAUAUUCGAAUUAGGAAAAUAGGUGAUUUUCUUAUGGAUGUUAGCUUUAAAAGAAGAUGUAAAUGUUUUAAAAAUAUUUAAACUAAUCUAAGCUAACAUUAAAGACUAAAAUGAAAGGGUGUAAAAACAAGUUUCUCAAAGAUAGGAUAGCUAUGCUCUGGCUCUUAUGCAAAUUGGAAAUCUCAGGAUAGGCUCCUCGCGUUGGGGUUGCAACUAUGGUGAUGCUUGCUUCCCGAACCGGUAUGGAUUUAGCAAAUCAAGUUUUAAUCCUUUAAAAUGACAAAACUGAUGGUAGUGAAUUUCAUCAAUGGUUAUUCACCUUAGACUUCCUUUGAAUGGCUCGUAAGAGAUAACUAAUGGUCUAAAGCCAAAAGCUUACCAAAUAUUGGCAACUCAAAGUCAUUCUAGGUGAUAAACUCACCUUUCAAUGGCCAUUGAAAUUGGUUCUAACGGAUUAAUACAAAACUUGGAAUUGAAAACCUCACCUUCCAAUAGCUCAUAGGAGAUAACUAAUGGAUAGAAAUCCAAAAGCUUAUCAAGUAUUGGUCGUUGGAAGUUGUCCAAAGGAAAUAAAAACCAAACUUUGCAUUAAUGAACCUUUAAUGAAAAACGUCUACCUUACCUUCCAGGUGCGAGAAAUUUCCAUGGGAUUGCAUCCAAGCCAUCACAUAACAUCCAUACUUUGAGAAACUAAAAGUUUUAGCCAAUCAUCCUCUGAGGAAAAGCCCUCAGAGGCUGUUUGGCUACUAAGAAAAUAGAAAUAGUAAAGAGAAAAGAGAAACGAGAGAGCUCUGUAUUUUUAUAAGUGUAAAACGUAAUACGUAUUCUAUAUCUAUAUAUAUAUUACAACGGAUGCAAAGGGGAUAUAAAUAGAGAAGUUUUUCCAACCUUCCUAGCUAAUAAAUCUUAUGAUUGGUGGAUUACAAGGAGAAGAAUGGAAAUUUAUACAAAAAUAUCCAAAAGAAAAGAUAUCGUGUGGAGUCGGCAGAAACAGGGGAAAAUUCGCACCACGCAAAGGGGUGUGCGAAUGGUGUGCGAGUUUCGCACACCGUUCGCACAGCUGAGGGGGUGUGCGAGUUUCGCACACCAUUCGCACGCUGAGGGGGUGUGCGAGUUUCGCACACCAUUCGCACGGCUGAGGGGGUGUGCGAGUUUCGCACAAGCCUGGAGCAGUUGUCUUCCGAAGGCCAUAUCUUCCUCAUUUCAGCUCCAAAUCGUACACGGUUUGAAGCGUUGGAUUCUUGACUUCCUGAGCUUUGAAAUGGUAUAUAGCAUGUAGAAAAUGGGCAUCGGUAAGUGCUCCAAAAGUGCCAAAGAAGACUGCAGCUGCUGUCCUCUGUUUUCCUCCUUGCUUCUUUUUGCUUCUCUUUGCUUUUCUCCUUUUGUUGGCUUGCUUUGGUGUAGCUAAAAGCUUGCUUUAACUUGUCCAAGUAGCUCCUCCAUCAUUUGGCAUGCUUGAAUUGAUUCAUAAGCUGAUAUAGACAUGUAAACUUGCCACAAAAUGGUUAAAACCAAUUACUAAGGACCUUAAUGAAUUAAUUGGGUUAAAUGAAUAUAAUUACUACUCAAAGGUGCUUAAAACCAUUAUAAUUAGGUCUACAAAAUAUCACUUUUUGGUAGUAAUCAUCUUGCAAAAUAGCUUGGAAGCAUGAUGUAGUUUCUUGGUGUAGAAAAGGCUUUUAUUCAUGUUGCUGGUUCAUUGCUCCCACCAAAGAGACUUAAGUUUUAGUCCUUUUAUUAGACUAUGUUUGUCCAGCCUAUGAGCCCAUGUAUUAGGUUAUUUUAUAUUUGGGUAUUCCUCUAGCCUAAAUAUAUAUAAAUAAUGUUAGAGCUUUGGUAUUAUGACAUAAGGGGAUUUGAUUGAGAAAAGGAAAGAAAAUCAGCGUUAUAUUCUAGGCACUAUUCUAAGGCUUAAGGAUGAAGUUAUAGAUUCCUUAAUCAAUCUUUUUGGGGAAUUUAUAUGGUAUGUUUUCUCCCUGAUUUCUUUUUGUUAAUUUUUUUAUGGGGUGAUGAUUUACACCUCAAGCAUUGAAAUAUUUAUAUAAGUUUUCAAGGUAAACAAACUUAUGAGAACUUAAUUAUUGUAUCCCUAUUUUAUUGAAGUGGAAGAAAUUUUCUCUAUGGUUUUUUACCUUCAUUUCGAGGGUUUUUCCAUGUUAUAUUUGGUGUCUCUUUUUUAAUUGAAUAUUCUUAGAUUAUCAUUCUUGAUUCUUGUUAGGUUGUUAUUAUUCUUGAGUGGUGGUUAUUAUUGUGGAGGAAUCUUUUAAACUUGGUGGGUGAAUACUCUAGAUCUAUACUUUUAUCUUCCCAACAAGUGGUAUCAGAGUCAGGUUGUGGGAACUCUUAUUCUUAAAAUGGAUGGAAAUAGAAGGGAACUCAACCUCCAUGGGAAAACUUAACAAUUCAAAUUAGGUUAUAUGGAAGUCCAUAAUGGAAGAUUUUCUCACCAUCAAAGAUUUGUCAGAUACUCUUAAGGGUGAAAAAGCUAGACUAAAAUAUAUUUCUGAUUUGGAAUAGAAUAAGCUGAAUGAAAAGGCAAUUGUCUAUAUUAAGCAAUGGAUUGACAUAUCCUCACGUCAUUGAUUACUACCAAAAAGUGCUAUUUUGUAGACCUAAUUAUAAUGGUUUUAAGCACCUUUGAGUAGUAAUCAUAUUCAUUUAACCCAAUUAAUUCAUUAAGGUCCUUAGUAAUUGGUUUUAACCAUUUUGUGGCAAGUUUACAUGUUUUUAUCAGCUUAUGAAUCAAUUCAAGCAUGCCAAAUGAUGGAGGAGCUACUUGGACAAGUUAAAGCAAGGAUUUUGGAAGUUUACAGGCUUGAAUUUCAAGUGGAAACACGAGCACAAACAAAGGAAUAGCCAUUUCGCAAGGCAAGGCAAAGUACCUUGCCAAAAUGCAAUUUUCGCAAGGUGAAAAUGCACCUUGCCAAAUUUGGCAAGGUGAAUUUACUCAUGAUGCGAAAAUAUGGCACUUCGCAUCAUGAGUAAUUCACCUUGCGAAAAUUUCGCAAGGUGCAUUUUACCUUGCCAAAAUUUCGCAAGGUGCAUUUUACCUUGCUAAAUUUCCUCUGUUUCUCCAUGCACGCACCACUGACUUCCCAGAUAUUUUUAGCUUGAUAUUUUCUCGUGUAAAUUCCUUUUGUAACCUUGUAUUCAGCCGACAUAAGGCUUUAUCUUGUAAUUUUGCUAUAUAUAGAGGUGCACAAUGCUCCAAAAGGGAUUGAAUAUUGGAUAAUUGGGUGAUCGAUCCUCUGUACAUUAACUUAGAAAUAUAUAAAGCUCUGUUUUUCUCUCUUCUCCUGUUCUUCCCCAUUUUUAUUUUCUUAGUAGCCAAACAGCCUCUGAGGACUUUUCCUCAGAGGAUGAUCAGCUAAAACUUUUAGUUUCUCAAAGUAUGAAUGUUAUGUGAUGGCUUGGAUGCAAUCCCAUGGAAAUCUCUUGCACCUGGAAGGUAAGGUAGUCGUUUUUCAUUAAUGGUUCAUUAAUGCAAAGUUUGGUUUUUAUUUCCUUUGGACAACUUCCAACGGCCAAUACUUGAUAAGAUUUUGGAUUUCUAUCCAUUAGUUAUCUCCUACGAGCUAUUGGAAGGUGAGGUUUUCAAUUCCAAGUUUUGCAUUAAUUCGUUAGAACCAAUUUCAAUGGCCAUUGAAAGGUGAGUUUAUCACCUGGAAUGACUUUGAGUUGCCAAUAUUUGGUAAGCUUUUGGCUUUAGACCAUUAGUCAUCUCUUACGAGCCAUUCAAAGGAAGUCUAAGGUGAAUAACCAUUGAUGAAAUUCACUACCAUCUGUUUUGCCAUUUUAAAGGAUUAAAACUUGAUUUGCUAAAUCCAUACCGGUUCGGGAAGCAAGCAUCACCAUAGUUGCAACCCCAACGCGAGGAGCCUAUCCUGAGAUUUCCAAUUUGCAUAAGAGCCAGAGCAUAGCCAUCCUAUCUUUGAGAAACUUGUUUUUACACCCUUUCAUUUUAGUCUUUAAUGUUAGCUUAGAUUAGUUUAAAUCUUUCUAAAACAUUUACAUCUUCUUUUAAAGCUAACAUCCAUAAGAAAAUCACCUAUUUUCCUAAUUUGAAUAUCACUUGUGUUUGCGAAAACCCUUCCCAAUGAACGAUCCUAGAACCACUAUGCUAUAGUAGCUUGGCUACUUUAGUAAUAGUAUUUAAGGUAUAAAUUUUAUUGAUACGCCUUUAAAGCUAAGCUACCAUGAGUCGCAUCAGUCAUCAUGUGGCAAAUGAAAACAAAUGUCUAUAAUCUUUAGAAGAAAUUGGAAUUGGUGUUUGAACAAAAAACUAUUGGGAAUAAAAUUUUCUUGUUAAAGAAGUUAGUGACACUAUAAGAAAAAAGACCAAUAAUGACGCUUCCAUGUCGCUUCUAGAAAGCAUCAUCUAUAAAAGCACUUACAUUGAUGCUUAGCCAAGUGUCAUCUUUCCAAAAGCAUGACAUUCUUUAAGUGCCAUUAUUUCCACCAAAUUUCCAAUGUUGACACUUUUAAAGUGUCAUCUUUAAUGUUCAUUAUCUUUAACGCUUUAUAAAGAGUCAUUGUUGAUUGAUCUAUAUUGACACUUUUAAAAGCGUCAUUAUUGAUCUACCUAUGUUAACACUUACAUUAGCACCGAGGAAUGUCCAAAACAUCAUUUGUCUAUUUUGACACUAAAAAAAGUGUCAUCUUAUGUGGAUAAUAAUAUUGAAAAUCCCCCUAUUGAAAUGAUAUAUUUUGUAUGUCCUGUUAUAUAUAUUUUUGGCUACAUGAAUUUUUAUAAAGUGCAAAACAAUAACUUCAAUAUUAAUAACUAUAUCUUCCAAAAGAAAUUGAAUAAAUUUGGGAAUAAUAUCAUGAUAAAGAACUAAUCUCUACAUAGUUAAUUAAUACAUAAAUUUGUUAAUGUAUCAAAAUAUUUACAACAAGCAUAUUUUCCAACUCCAACAUAAAACAAGUACACAUGUAGAAAAAAGCAAGGUCUCUAAAUUCCUUAUCAAAAAUAAUGUUACAAGAAGAAGAAGAAGAAGAAGAAGAAAAAGAAGCCAAAAGUAUUCCUAUUGAUUGCAUACUCACUCUUGAAGUUGAAAUCUUUUACCUGUAUACAUUAAAAAAACAAAACAAAACAAUAGAAGAAACAAAUUACGUUUAGUUAAUAUAUAUGCAAUGAAAGUUAAAUUUAAAUCUAUAAAUGGUCAAUGAAAGAAGUGCAAGUGAGAAUAACUUGGUAUUUAAUGAGAUGUUAUGCUUUAAUGAAGAUGAAAAAUUGUUUAAUUUGAUACUUGUUUAUAAAAUAUUAAUAGGCUUUUUAGUUUAUUAUUAAGUUAGAGGAAACAAGUUAGGCUUUCAAUGGUAUAAAUUCUACAAUAUGGAAUGUAAUAUAAUAUUUUCUUAUCUAUUUCUAACAUAUGAAACUCAUUUCUCAUAAAUAUAUAUAUAUAUAUAUAUAUAUAUAUAUAUAUAUAUAUAUAUAUAUAUGAAGAUACCAAUAGGUAUGGUUUAUAAUUAGUUUCAAUCAUAAAUCAUCAUAUCUAGUAAUAUAAGACAUUUAAUACUAACCAUUUGCAAAUGCCUUAAUUUCUUCUUACAACUUUCCUAUAUUACCAAAUUUAGUUGACUAAUAACAUUCCAUAAGGAAAAAAAGAGUAUUAAACUAAAAAUUAAUAGAGCAUAACCAAAGAAAUAGAAACCUACAAAUCAUUGGUUAAAUGUCAUAAUAACAACCAUUCUAAAACUUGCCUUUAUUUUUUAUUCCAAAAUUAUAACCAAAAUAUAAUAAUUGACCCUACACAAAAGAAGCUCUCUACCAUCUUUCCAUCCAACAAAAACCUUUUCAUGCAAAAACAACCUCUCCAACAACAAUAACAAUUUCUCCAUGUCACAACAACAACAACAACAAUAACAAUAACAUUGAUGAUGGUGAUAAUUAUAUUAGUAAUAAUUUGAUUUGUUUAGCUCAAACAUAUAACAAUAACAACUUCUUCAUGCAACAACAACAAUAAUAAUGACAACAUUGAUGAUAAUGAUAUAAUAAUUUGAUUUAUUGAGUUCACAAAUUAUAUGCUUCUUCUCCAUACAACAAUAACAAAAAUAACUUCUCCAUGUAACAACAUUGGUGAUGAUGUAAUAAUUUGAUUUGUUAUAUUGAAAUAGUUUAUGCAUAAAACUAUUAUCUUAUAUUACUAUGGAGGAAAAAAUUACUUAUCAUGAGAUGAGAACAUAUGAGAAUCAUGAAAAUGUGAUCUACAACUCUUAAUGGACUGAAAUGAGGGCAUCUGCACACAUAAGAUGGUAAAUUAAAAAAAUUAUUCCAUUCAAGACUUCAUUAAUAAUUAAAAUCAAGCAUUGUAGAUGUUAAUUUAUACCUUCAAGCAUGGGUAAGAAUUAAUUGAGUUGCCAACAUAACCCACUUAGAUCGUACUUCAUUAAGCUCGACUUCACUAUACGAUUUCUUUUUUCCUUUAAACUAAUAAUUAAUUAUACAUACAUGAUGAUUAGUUAAGUUAACAAAAAAUUACUAAAGUAUGGAAACUAAUAAAAUUUAUUAAUGAGUACAUACCUUUGUGGAUAGGAGGCUUGGAUCAACAAUGAUAUCUUCUAUGUAUCUCAUCACACAAUAGCCACACUCCACAGUACCUAGUUGUCUUGGGCACUAUAGGCACACAUAUGAAUUAUGGUACUAUAAAGACAUUAAUAACAUGAUGUUUUAUGUCAUUAUUAUCUAAGUGACAAAACAAAAAACCAUAUUCAAAUUUUAUGGGUCGAUAUAAGUGGUCAUAUGAUAUAUCUUACUCUAAAUAAGUAACUUACCACUACUUUUACCCAUGUCGGUUCCCUCUUUGAUGAUUUUCUUUUCUCUGGUGGAUGAAUUUGUAGUGCCCCACAUGGAAAAAAAAAAAUUAAUGUUUUAGAUACUAUGCACUAUAUUCAAGUAUGGAAAUGAAGACACUUACAUGCUAACAAUUUCCUUAAGAUCAUCACAUGGUUGCUUUUGCAUUGGAUCGAGGUAGUACAUAGUCAUUGUCCUCAUAUCCAACGCCACCAAGACCCAGUGGAAACUACAAUAGUAAAUUAGAUAUUAUUUACUAAUUAGCAUUGAUUAAGCUAUUUAACAUAAAAAAAAACUUUGUAUUUUUUGUGACUUACUCAGGGUUAUAUGGAAUAAAAAUGUAGCCACCACGUUUUGCAUGCAUUAAACAAUUUGCAAUCAACCUUGACCCAUUUUCCUUUGUUGUCUCACCCAUUCUAGCUUUAGAGACCAAAGCUGGAUUGAUAAAAACAAAUCGUUUGGUGAGCCUAGUAUCACUUAUCUUUUUCUGCAGGUGCCUGUUUAAAUUCCACAUACCUUGAUAAGAAAUGAAUACUUUACUUAUAUAUAUAUAUAUAUAUAAUUAACACAUAUUGGCAAGUUAUAAAAUUAUUUACCAUAUAUAAUAUAUGACACAAUUAGCUAACACUUUCUUCAAUAAAAUUAUCCUAUCCAUGUCUUCUUUCAUAAGGAAGGUCUUAAAACUCUCACCAAAUACAUCAUUUGGGACCUUCACACCUUGUAAUUUCCCCUCCUUUAGCAUGAGACCUACUAAUGCAUCAAAAUUCUUGAUAUCUUGAGGGUUUUCACCAUUUUUCAAUUCAUUUUCUUUUGUUUUUUGUCUCUUCCCUUUAUGAGAUUCCUAUUAAAGAAAGCACCCUGUUUUCAAAUGAUAUACAUCUCUUUAUAAACUGUUGCAAAUGAAAAUAACACGCCUGGAUGAAUUUAGUAUUGAAAUUGACUAAAUGGGUUUACCAUAAAUCUUGGUAGCCCAUUGCCACUCCAAUUGUUGUAGCUUGACCAGGAAUGGGAUUAGGAAGUGGUGUAUUUGACUCAUAGGGUGCAUCCAAAACAACUAGGUAGUUGGGACAUUACAAUUGUUCCACCAACCACUGUAUUUUCCUUGGUCCUUAUCGUCAACCCACAUUUUGUUGCCUUCAAAAUUAAAUUAAAUUCUUAAUUUUAAUAUAAAAAAUAAUAAAUAAUUGAAGUUUAAGGUGCAUUAACUAUGUUAGGGCUAUAUUUAAGACAUAAAGUUACAUCUUUUAUAAGUACCUAUUGUAGUGGAAUAGAAUAUUAGUAGUAUUAAUUAUACUGUAAUAGAAUCUACCUAAAAUGCAAGUAUCAAUCGAACAAAAAUAUAAGCGAUUGGAAGAAAUUAUUUAUGAAAAUUAUCUAGGAAUUUGUUACAAUUAUGUCAUUGAACUAGGAAAUGUAAAUUGAAAAUAACACACCUUCAUGUGUGGUUCUAUUUUCACAGUUAAGGUUUCCUCCUAAACUUUACGAAUUAGUUUCUCCACUACUUUUGGUAGGAGCAACACUUUUGAUUUCAUGUUAGAACUACUCACUUCGGAUUGUGGUGUAUGAUUACUACUCAAAAAUUGCUAUUUUAUAGUUUGUAAUUAACUCUUUUAAACACUUUUGAGUAGUAGUUAUUACCUUUUAACUCAAUUGGCAUGUUAAGGACCCUUGCAAUCGUUUCUAAUCAAAUUGUGUUAAGUUUUGGUGUUUUUGAUAGCUUUUUGAUCACCAAAGCAAUCUAAGAUGAGGGAGAGCUUUAUAUAAUCCAUGGAAAAUCAAAUGGAAGCUCAUUUACAUGAAUAAUCCAAGCUUUGGAGCUUCGUAGUUCUUUGCCAAAGCCAAUCAAGAAUGCAAGGAGGAAAAAGAGAGAAAUCUAACAUGAAGAAAUUCAAAAGGACAGCAACUGUUGGACACAUUUCGAGUACUUCCUAGAGUCCAUUUCAUGCAUACUAUAUGUCGUUCCGAAGCUCGGGAAGUCAGGAGUCCAUUUCUUUAAAUGGUGCAUGAAUUAGAGUUGAAACGAAGAAGUUAUGGCUGUUUGAAGACAACUGCAUCAAGCUGUGCGAAAAUUUUGUAGCUGCGAAAUGAGAUGCAAAACCCACCUUUGGCACGCAAGUGCCAUUUCACAGCCCAUGCCUCCAUCUUCGCAACUGUGAACCACUUGAGAAAUCACCUCCAAGCUGAAAAUGAAGUUGCGAAUCAUCUCCAAGUUGCAAAAUCAUCUCCAAGUUGUGAAAUCACCUCUAAGUUGCAAAACCAAAGUUCAAACUUGCAAAAUGGAUAAUUUAACAUGUGAAUCACCUUGCGAAAUCCACCUGUGUAAACUCAGAUAUUUGCAACUGACUUAGUUAGAUUUUUUUCUCAAGAUAUUUUCUCCUUGUAAUCAGUCAAAGAUAUUAUUGGGAUAUUUCUUAGAAAAUAUCUUCCCUAUAUAUAUCUUUGAACCAAUGUAAGGAAAAGAGGAGAAUCAUAUAUCAGAUAUGUAAUCAACGAUAGUAAGAAAUAUAUCUACAGAGCACUUGCUCUGUUUUCCUUCAUAUUUUUGUUUCUUGUUAUUUUUAUUUCUAGCAAAUCAAACUCUGAGGAUGUUUUCUCAGAGGAUGAGUGGCUAGGUUCUUUGUCUCUUAGAGUGAAGAAAGCCGGGUAAGGUGCCGAGUGCAAGAAUUGGUAGUUUUGUUGUUUCAUCUUUUAAUGAAGAGAAAGUGAGACCCGUUAAUGGUUUUUAUCUUUUUAGUUAACUUAAAAUCACCUGGGCCAACACUUGGUAAGGCAAGUGGUCUCCGUCCAUUGAGAUACACUAGUUUACCUCUUGCGAGCCUUUGGGAGGUGGUUUAAAUCACCUGAGCCUAGUAAUCUGAAACUCCAAGAAACGCUUUUCUUUAUUAGUAAUUUCAGUUACUAUUAUUUUUGGUUAGCUUAAAACCAAUCAUUUUUCCACCAAAGAUUAUGUUUUCUUUUAAAGCUAACCUUGAAAUGAAAAAGCACUAAUUCAGCUUUGAAUUAAUAUCAAUUGUGAAGUGAAAACCCAUCCCAGUGAACGAUCUUAGAGCCACUAUGCCAUGCUAGCUGAGGUUAUCCUAGUACAUGGUGUAAUAGGUUAUAAAUUUUGUUGAUUACUCCCGUCUGAGGACUGGAAUCAAGGUACACCAGCAGGGCACAAAUUAGUGUAGCAACUCCUAUCUGAGAUAGUUUCACUAACACAUCAGCCUUAAAAUUAACUUGACGUUCUUGAAUUGCUUUUAAAAUAUGCCUCACAACACUUUCUAACAUACUAUUGAAAUAUUGUCGAAGCAUGUAGUGCUUCCCUUUAGCCCGAACAUAACCAGUAUACUCGGGAGUACUUAGUGCUUGAGCAAGUAUGUCAUUACUCCCACUCUAGCUUAUGCCACUCUCUUGAGACUCUUUUAUCAGUUCAUCCUAAAAUAAGAUGAAGUUAUGAAGUUAACUUUGAAAUAGGUAAAAUUAAAGAUGUGAUUUUUGGGUACAAAAUGUCUACUUACUAUAAUUUCCACUACUAGUAUGACCACAUCAUCAUAACUACCAUCUUUUUUUUUUUUUUUUUUUUUUUUAAUUUUGCAUUUCUCUCUUCCAAAGUAAACUCCUAUCACUGCUUUCUAUGGAACCAACUUCAAUCAUCUAAUAGAAAUGGAAAAUUUAAAAUAGUUAUUAGAGGACACGUUUUUUUUCUUUUUUUGUCAAAAAAGAAACAAUUAAGAAACCUACAUAAACUAUUUCUUCAUUACCUAUACAAUCAUAUAAAAUUAAACCACAAUAAGAAUUAACAAAAACUUACCAUCUCUUCCUCAAGUCCAACAUACCCUUUUCUACUUAGAUGAUGAUUAUAUAUAUGUUUCUUCCUUCUCUGUUUUUGUACUUCCCUAUAUUCCUACAAAUUAAAAUGGAUGAUUAGUAUAUAUAUAUGUGGAUGCAUGCAGUAUGUUUAAUGUUAAUUGUAUUUGUACCUGAAAUUUUUCAGACAACCUAUUUUUUACAAAAAUAUUCCAAUUUUCAUCAUCGAUAAAAUGAUAUUCAGUUGGUGGUUUCUCAAGAAGCUCUGUCUCAUCUUUAAAAGGAAGCAUAUGUUUCACAAUCAACAUGUUCUUAAAAUAUUGGAAACAUUUUCCCAAUGUAAGCAUACAAUUCCUUCUGCUUUUCUUGUUUAAUGUAAAAGCAAUCUACAAAUUACAAAGUCAAUAGUACCUUCAAAUUUUAAAGAAAUGUAGACAUUAUAGAAUACUCAUUUAUGUUAAAAAAAUAAAAAUUAAGUUACCUCAAUAGAGUCCCACACCUUAUCCUUCAAUCGUUCAAGGACAUCUCACCAUGUGUUAUAUCUGAUUAGCACCAACAUACGUGCUAAUACACCUAAGUAGCUUGUUAGGUGCACAGAAGAUUCUCCUACAUAGAUACCACCAGCAUUGUACUUUAUGACCAACUUUAUCUCUCUAUUCCUAUUCCUUAUAAUCAUGGAUUUCCUUGUUGUCCCUCUAUAUUUUUUUUGUGUUGGGGUUUUCUCUUCCUUUGAAUCCAUGCUUAUAAUACAUCAACGAGAAAUGAUAAGUAAAGCCUUUAAUUGCAAGCAAAAAUUAAUUUUGUAUACUAUGCACUCAUAUUAGUAAAAGGAGCAUACUAUGAAUAAUUUACAUGCUAGAUAACAACAUUAACAUGUUGUCAUGAAAUAUUUAAUAAUAAUAAUAAUAAUAAAAACUUACUAGAAGAUCCUUGCUGACCUUUUUUCUUAUGGAACUAGAAAUCAUAAGCUUUGAGAUGAGACAAAUUAAUAUCCUUGUAUUACCCUUUAGAUCACUUUGAGAUAAAUUGAUAUCCAAAAUCAUGAUAUUCAAUAUAAAAGAGAUCUACUCGAUGAUUUAAUUAGAACAAUUACUUUCAAAAAUUAAUCACAUAAAUCCACUCAUUCACAAAUCCAUAUAAAUUGCAUGACUUGAUAAUUCUUAUAACACUGACUCAAUGCCACAUGAAUCCAUUUAUUCAUAUUUCUUACAUUAAUUCAAAAAAUUUGAAAUUCAAAAUAAACCUUAAAGCAAUAAAAAAAAACUGAAUGCUAGUCAUAAUUUUUUUUUUAAUUGUCACUCAUAAUUAUUUUUAUAAUGUCACUCAUUGUUUAGCUAGAUAGUAUUUUCAAAGUCUUUAUUUCUUGAAGAAAUAUGUGCAUAGUAAUAAUAAUGAAAUAGGGAAUCAAUAAAUCAAUAGAAAUGAUGAAUUUAAUGACCUUAGAAAAUAAAUAAACAACUAUUUACAAAAAUGCAGAAUUUCAAUAUUAACAAGUUAAUGGGAUAGUUACAACCUUGACAUCAAAAGAACAAGGUCUUAAAUUUAGUUACAUAGAAGAUUUGUUAUCAAUCCACAGUCUCCUCGAAUGCAAAUGACAUCAGAGUCAUCCAUUGCAUCAAAUUAUUCAAGUUGUGGCAAGGUGGUAAUGAGAGGAUGGUGUUCAAUAGAAUUAUGCAUGAAGUCCUCAGAAUCCUCUCUUUUGAAGAAGUCUCUUUGAGGAGUUGACAAAACAACUAACCAUCUUUGAUCAAGUUGGUAUUGUACAUAGAAUACUUGCUUAGCUUGGGAGGCUAAAAUGAAUGGAUUUGAUUUAUGAGCCAUCUUAGUGAAGUCAAUUAAUGUAAGCCCAAACUCAUCAACUUUAAAGCUGCUUUUAUUAUCAACCCAAUUGCACUUGAAAACUGGAAUCCUAAACAUGGUAUAAUUAAGAUCCUAGAUCUUAGUAAUAAUCCCAUAGAAACAUAGCUCACCAAAUACCGGAUUCUUAUCCUUGGCACUAGAAAUUUACAUUAUUGUUGCUACAAUGCUAACUCCACUAUUAUGGGUAACUCAUAAGUCAUCACGAUCUUUUGUAUUGUAACGACACCCAUUUAUAACAUAGCCAUGAUACUUGGACACGUAGUGGGUAGGACCAUGUGCUAUCCAUCUUAGGGUUUCAGAUAAAGGUUCUUUGUCAACAAUGGCAACUUCAACCUGUUUGAAUAGGCCAUAGUUAUUAAUAUUUUUUAUGAUUAGUGCUAAGAAUGGUGCAAUUUUUACAAUAAAUUCAACACCUUUUUUCGCAAACAAUGAGUGAAUGUUCAUAUGUGUUCUUCUUGUAGCCACUUUUGUCUCUUAGAUUGACGACGAUUGUUCAAUUUUAACCAUUUCAUGUGUUCUCUAUAAGAUAUGCAUAAGAAAGUAACAAUAAGUUUCCAAAUUUAGUUUAAGUAAUCUACACAUAAAAUCAAAAUAGUUGACCCUUACUUGAUAUAAGGUUGGAUGAUAGUUGUAUUUUCUAACACAUAAUGAUGUGCUUGUAACAACAAAUUAGAAUCAACUUCAGUGAUAUGACCUCUAGGAAUAGGCGCCCCAACUUUAUGGUCAACAUUAGUGCUACUAAGAACCCUAAUUGCAUCCAUAUUUGAUAAGUACUCUGUACAAAAUUCAAUAGCUUUCUCUACAAUAUAGCAUUCAACAAUGCAACCUUUAAGGUGGUUACGGUUUUGCACAUAACCCUUUAAUACUUUCAUGAACCUUUCAAAUGGGUACAUCCAUCUAAAAUAAAUCAGUCCAUAAAGUCUCACCCCUCUAACAAGAGGAACCGUUAAAUGAAUCAUGAUAUCAAAGAAGGAUGAUGGAAAGUACUUUUCAAGCAAGCACAAUGCCACAACUAGUUCAUUUUGUAACUUAUCCAAUGUAGACACAUCAACCACCUUCUUAGAUAAAGCAUUGAAAAAAAAAGCUCAAUCUAGCAAUAGCAUGUCAUACAUGCUUUUGAAAAAGUGAUUGCAAUGCCACUAGUAACAAUUGUUUGCAUCAAUGUAUGAUAAUCAUGAGACUUAAGGCCAUAGAGCUUCAAAUCUUCCAUUGACACAAGAUUUCUAAAGUUUGAGCAAUACCUUCAGGAACCUUUAACUCAAUUAAAGUUUGACAAAAUACUUUGUUCUCCAUUCUAGACAAUGUAUAACAUGCAGACAUGAGGUAAGUUCGAUUCGAUUCAAAUCUUAGUGCCAAUCCACACCUUAAACCCAUGUCCAUAAGGUCUAGUCAAGAAUUGAGUCCAUCUUUUGUCUUUCCUAUAAUGUUAAGUAUUAUACCAAUGAUGCUUUCAUAAGCACUUUUCUCAAUGUGCAUUACAUCCAAAUUAUGACGAACAUGCAAAUAUCUCCAAUACUCAAGUUCGAAGAAAAUGGACUUUUUCUUUCCACAAUUGGUAGAAGUCACAUUGGAUUUAUCAUGUGUUACCCUUUUUUCCCCCAUGAAUUACAAAUGGCAUUCAUUUUCAAUAGUAUUUCCUCUCUAGUUAAUGGUUGUGGAGGUGAUCGAAACUCUUGCUUUCCAUUGAAUGCCUUUUUAUGUUUCCUAAAAGGAUGAUUGCAUGGAAGAAAACAUCUGUGGCCUAUAAAUGAGUUUCUUCUCCCAUGCUUCAACCUAUGUGAAUAGGUUUCUGGUCCACAUAUUGGACAAGAAAAAUAACCUUUGAUUGUGCAACCAGAUAAGUUUUCAUAUGCAGGAAAAUCAUUUAUUGUCCAUAAUAGAACAACCCUUAAUGUAAAGACCUCUAUUUGAUAUACAUCAUAAGCUUCUACCCAUAUCUCCCACAAGGUUUUGAGGUCCUCAAUCAAUGGUGUUAAAUAGAUAUCUAUGUCAUUGCCAGGCUGUUGUGGACCUGAUAUUAACAAAGAUAACAUAAUAAAUUUUCUCUUCAUGCACAACCACGGUGGAAGGUUUUAAGUGAUCAUGACAACUAGCCAACAACUAUGCCUACUGCUCAAGGAACUUUAGGGAUUUAUGCCAUCUACUAAAAUGGCAAGUCUAAGGUUUCUAGGUUCUGCAUCAAAAUCAAGCCAUCUAUGGUCAAUUACUUUCCAUGAUGGGGUGUUUGAUGGAUGAUGCAUUUUUUCAUCGAAUUCUUCACCUUGUGCAUGCCAUAUGAGGUAUUUUACGAUUUUUAAGGAUUGAAACAUUCUUUUAAAUCAUGGGAUAGGUGGAAAAUGCCACAUCACUUUAGCAGGAACUCCCUUAGUCUUUUUGGUUCCUUUUCUAUUCACCUUCCACCUUGAAGCUCCACAUGUAGGACAUGAAGAUGUAUCUUUUAACUCAUUCCUAAAAAGUAUGCAAUCAUUGGGAUCUGCAUGUAUUUUUUUUCAUAUUCCAUUCCCAAUGCAUUCAAUGUUUUUUUGCUUCAUACAUAGACAAUGGCAACUCAUUGUUGAAAGGCAACAUAUCACCAAGUAAGCUUAAUAACUUAGAGAAGCUUUUAUCAGACUACCCAUAUCUUCCUUUCAGAUUGUAUAAUUUAACUAAUGCAAAUAAUUUGGUGAAGUUUUUGCAAUUGAGAUACAAAGGUUUUUCAGCAUCUUCAAGCAACCUUUCAAAUAAUUUUGGAUUAGCCUUAUAAUCGUCUUGUGCAACUUCAACCAUUUCUAUUGUAUAAUCCAUAUUACCAACAUGAAUUCUAUCAAAACAUUCAGUUCUUGUAGUUGGUGGUCCACUACUUAUAGUUGCCUCCCCAUGCCAAAAUCAAUUAUGGUAACUUUGGUCAAUUCCAUAAAAGAAUAGGUGUUCUCUAUUCUUUUGAGGAGUAUUGAAUAUCAAAUUUUCACACUGUAAACAUAAGCAUUUGAUAGAGCUUUGAUUUGCAGAAUUUUGAACUGCAAAUGAAAUAAAAGUUUCAACCCCAUCCUCAUAGUCUUUUGAUCUUCUAUCUUUUGACAUCCAAGAACAAUUCAUUUGCCUAUAAUAGGUGAACUCAAUUCCUAUAUAGCAAACAUAAGCAAACAAUGAAAAGUAAGACUUAAAAACAUUACCUUUAGAAUGCACUCAAAACUUUCAGUUUCUCAUUUGUGACAUCCAAAAUUUCUUUUUAAUUUUCUAUGGACAAAUAAUUAGGAUUCAAAUGCAAUAAAAAUUUGAACCUCAUCCUCAAUAAAAUAGGAUGAAUGAUUCAUUCCCAAUUGGUGUCUCAACUGAUUCAUGUCCAGUUGGUGCUCUUUGAUUGAGGGAGUAAUCAACAAAAUUUAUAACCUAUAUCACCAUGCAUUAGGAUAGCUUUAGCUAAUAUAGCAUAGUGGCUCUAAGAUCGUUCACUGGGAAGGGUUUUCAACUCACAACUGAUACCAAUUCAAAGUUAAAUUGGUGCUUUUUCAUGUCAAGGUAAGCUUAAGAAAUAAAACACAAACUUUGGUUAAACGAGGUUUUGUUUCAAUCUAACUAAAAAGAAAGUAAUGGAAAUUACUUAUGAAGAAAAACAUUCCUUGGAGGUUUGGGUUCACAGGGGAGGUUCCUUAUGCAAAAACAAAGCUCUGGUCAUUUGGUUCAUUUCCUCGCAUUAGAGAAUUAACAUAUAGUUAAUUCUCUAACCAGUGUUGUACAGAUGUAUCCUUCAAAUGGAUUUCAGCUCUAAUUCACUGUCACUAAUGCAACUUGCAAUGGCUCGUGCCUCUCACCUAGCAUUUUCCAUUCAAGGUGAUCUUUAACUUUGGACUUCCCUUCUCAAGCUCGCAAGAGAUAACUAAUGGAUGUCUCCUUAAAGUCCAAAAGCUUACCAAGUGUUGGCAAUUCUAGAAAAUCCUACCUUCAAGUCACUUCCUAAAAGCUUGCAAGAGGUAAACUAGUAUAUCUCCAUGGACAGAGAUCACUUGCCUUACCAGGUGUUGGCUCAAGUGAAUUGAAGGUGUUUUAAGUUAACUAAAAACAUAGAAAUCAUUAAAGGAUCACACUUUCUCUUCAUUAAUGGCUGAAACCACAAAGCUAUAAAUUCUUGCACUUGGAACCUUUCCCAGCAACCUUAGCUCCAAGGAACUAAAAGUCUAGCCACUCAUUCUCUGAAGAAACUUCCUCAGAGCUUGUUUGGCUAGAAAGAAAACUAACGAGAAAACAAAAAUAUCAAGGAAAAACAAAGCAAGUGCUCUAUAAAAUAUAUUUCUUCCUUCCGCUGAUUACAUAAUAAUCCUUUUGUAAAGAAAAUUACAAACUAUAUAGAAGAGGUUAUUCACCCUUUGUUCUUACCUAAAGACUAAGGAAUCCUAUGAUAGGUGGGUUACAAGGAGAGUUUGGGGAUUUAGACAUCAAAUAUCUAAAGCAAAAUAUCUCAAAAUGUCGGUCGGAAAUAUCAAGAAGCUUAAGGAAAAAUUCCGUUGCACUGUGUAAAAUGGCUGCAAAACUCUCCGGGUAAGCGCUAUCAGAGGAUCCGGAUAUGUCUGACCGGACAAAUUUUCGGAUGUGAGAGAUCCGGAGAAGGUGAAACGUCCUCCUCUCCCAUCUGGCGUCAGGCACCGGAUGUGAAAUAUCCGGAUAAGGUGGAAAGUCGCAAGGGGGACCGUCUGUGUGUGCAAGGUGUAGGGACCCCUACCCCUGAUGACACGGAGCUCGCAUCGCUAUCCGGAGCAACUCCAUCCGGAUUCCCCAAGAGGACACGCGGUGCGCUCCCUUAUCCAUACUCCCUCAGGGAGAAGAACACGGCGCUCGUGAACAUCACAAGACGAUAGCAUAUCCUAUCCGGAUAUGUUGUCCGGAUCAUUGACUAAAGUGAGCAAGCCUUGCUACAUCAUUCCGACAGCCUGCCCAGCGACACGUUCCGCCGCCCUCCGAUGGUGUGUCUAGACGCCCUGUCCGGACAUCUUUUGCCAUGAAUUCCAAAGAACUCUCCUCAAUCUCGGAUUGCUUUGGUGAUUAAAAAGCUAUCAAAACACCAAAACUUAACAUAAUUUGAUUAGAAUUGAUUGCAAGGAUCCUUAAUAUGUUAAUUGGGUUAAAAGGUGAUAACUACUACUCAAAAGUGUUUAAAAGAGUUAAUUACAAGCUAUCAAAUAACACUUUUUGAGUAGUAAUCACUCCCCCCAACCGACAUUGAUUCAUGCCCAAUUGGUGUCUCAGCUGAUUCGUGUUCAGCUGGUGCUCCUUGAUUGAGGGAGUAAUCAACAAAAUUUAUAACCUAUAACACCAUACACUAGGGUAGCAAAGAAAAAGCUACUAUAGUAUAGUGGCUCUAGGAUCGUCCAUUGGGAAAGAUUAACAAGCUAUCAAUGAUACCAAUUCCAAGUGAAUUGGUCUUAUUUCAUUUCAAGGUUAGCUUAAGAAAUAAAACACAAACUUUAAUUGGUAAAGGUUUAGACUUAAACUAACUAACACAACAAGUAAUAGGAAUAACUUAGGAAGAAAAACAUUCCUUGGAGAGUUAGGUUCACUGGGGUGGUUCCUCAUGCAAAAGACAUAGCUCCGGUCAGAUGGUUCAUUUCCUCGCGUUAGAGAUUCAACAUAUAGUCAAUUCUCUAACCGGUGUUGUACAGAUACAUCCUUCAAUUAGAUUUCACUUUAAUUCUCUCACUGAUGCACCUUGCAAUGGUUUAAGCCUAUCACUAAGCCUUAACCAUUCAAGGUGAUCUUUAACCUUGGAUUACCCGUCAAAAGCUCGCAAGAGAUAACUAAUGGAUGUCUCCUUGGAGUCCAAAAGCUUACCAAGUGUUGGCUAUUCUAGAAAAUCCUACCCUAAAGUCACCUCCCAGAGGCUCGCAAGGGGUAAACUAGUGCAUUUCCAUGGUUAGAAAUCACUUGCCUUACCAAGUGUUGGCCCAGGUGACUCCAAGGUGUUUUAAGUUAACUAAAAACAUAGAAAUCACUAAAGGAUUUCACUUCCUCUUCAUUAUUAGCUAAAACCACAAACCUUUGCAUUCUUGCACUUGGAACCUUCCCCGGCAACCUUAGCUCCAAGGAAUUAGAGGUUUAGUUACUCAUUCUCUGGGGAAAACUCCUCAGAGAGUUCAUAACAUAGUAAUAAAUAAAAAAUACAAAGUGAGAAGGUAAGGCAAUACAAAGAACUGAACUUUACUUGCUUACCCAAAACUUUACAAAAGGAUCUCCUCCCUGAGAACAGGCUCCCGAGAGGUAUAUAUAUGAACAUAAUAUAAAACUAAUUAUUACAUAGAUAUUUUCUCUUUUUACUAACUUAAAAGCUAAGGAAUCUUGUAAUUGGUGGCUUACAAGGAGUAUUUUGGGAUUUAGACAACAAAAAUCUGAUGUAAAAUAUCUCCCAAUGUCGGUAGCAAAUAUCGGGAUGCUCCAGGAACCAUUUCGCAAUAGAAAAUGGUGUCUGCGAGAUUUCGCAGACACUCAAGAGGGCUGCGAAAUCAUUUCGCAACAACAUGCUAUCUUCGUAGGGCUGCGAAGUUGGCUUCCACCUUGAGGUUCCUAGCUUCCCUCUCGCGGUAUAUGUCGGGCAACUUCAGAAGGAAAUACACCCUACUGUACAAAAAGGCUGCGGAAUCACUUCGCAACAAAAGGGUGAUUUCGCAACACUUUGCAAAAUGCUUCCUUCAGCUCGGAGUGAUUGGCUUGCAAUGGCUGUAACUUCUUCAUUUCAACUCCGAAUUGCGUACCAUUUGAAGCAUUGGAUUGUUGACUUCUUGAGCUUUUAAAUGGUAUAUAGAAUGCAUCAAUUGGACUUCAGAAAGUGCUCCAAAAGUGGCUGCUACGACUAUCAUCAAGAAUAUGCUUCAUGGCAGAUUCUCUUUACUUUUUCUCCUUGCAAUCCGGGUUUACUCUUGGCAAAUGACUUCUAAGCUUUGCCCAAGAUUCCUCAUAACUCUCCUCAGUCUUGAAUUGCUUUGGUGAUCAAAUUACUAAAAAAACACCAAAACUUACACAAAGUGAUUAAAAUUGCUUUAAAGGAUCCUUAACAUGCCAAUUGAGUUAAAAGGCCUAAACUACUACUCAAAAGUGUUUAAAAGGAUUAAUUAUAGGCUAUCAAAUAGCACUUUUUGAGUAGUAAUCACUCCCCCCAACCAACAUAUUGCUAGUCCCUUAGCAAUAUAGGAGAGAAAAAUGAAAAUAAAAAGCAAAAUAAUCUAAAAUUUACAACAUCAUGCUGAUCAAAAAUUAAUUCUCAAAUGGCAUGAUGAUCUAAUUCUCUCAUGAAACAUUAAAGAAAUACAAACCCAAAUUUCAACAAGAGUCAUAACAAACUAUGCUAAACACUAUCAAUCAAGGGAAUGCAUUAUGCAAACUGAAGUUUUAAAAUCAUUUCCACUUUCAAAGAACCAAACUUUAAUCUUCCACAAAAAUCUAUGUGUAUUGGUUCCUUAGCUUCCGAGAAUAAUAUGCUAAACUAAUCUCUCCCCCCAACCUAUCUUUUUUCAAUACUUAGCAAACUGACCAAAAUCAAUAAGAAAAGAACACACCUUUUUUUUUAUUUUUUAUUUUUUUAUUUUUUAAUUUUUUAUAUGAGGCUUUAUAGGGUACUCUUUCUGAAUUGUCCAUGUAAUGGGGGUCCAUCGAUGACUCCCAACCAAUUAAGGUUUAGGGCACCAAGCUUUAAGGAUCUUUCAACCACUAACUCCUCGGAUUUUUCCCCGGACUUUUAAGAAUGAAUUUCUAAUACCCAAGCAUCUACCAUAUGCUAACUCUACCUAUUCACCCUUGUAACGAGCAUUGAGGUCGGUGACUCCCAACCAAUUAAGGCUUAGGGCACCAGGCUUUAAAGAUUUUCACCAUAUACCCCUCAGACCUUGCUCGGGUUUCAAGGCAAGCAAACAACUUUCUUUAUUUCAAAGGCUCAUUGGCCUUUUGCAGGGUGUUUCAAUUUUAUCAAAUGAGGUCAAAUAUACCAAGUCCCAAAAUUAUCCUAAGUCAAGAGGGAAAUAGUUUUUCAUCUUAUAAUCAGAAUCUAAUGUGCACAGUGUGUGAAUAGCUUAAAGUGGAAGAACUAAAUUCAAUUUCAAUAGAAGUUUCAACAAUUGAACCACUUUAGUGAGCAUAAUCCAUACUCUAAGUCAAGUGAAAAACAACAGUUCAAUUUCUCUUGGUUUAAUUUGAAAAUUUUUCCUCAAAAUUCAUGGAGAAUAGAGUAAAAAAAAUAAAAAACAAAAACUACAACUAAUUAACCAAAAUAAUUGCAUUACCAAAAUACUUCCUUCCCCAAUCCCCCCCAACCGAACUGAGCAUUGUCCUCAAUGUGAUAUGAGUGACUGUAUUUAAAGGGAGGAAGUGGUACCUCCUGGUUGAUAUCAAAUUCGAAUAUUGAUUGGAGAAACCACAUGUUUCAAAAAGAAUAGAAUAUGUGAGAAAAGGAAAUAAGGAUAACUUAAUGCUAACUGUUAAUAAGAAAUAUUAAACUUGUAUUACUUUGAAUCCAUUUAAAUACAAUGCAAAAGAAAAGUAAUACAAGCAAUCCCAAAUAUAGUACCAAAAUAAUGGGAUUUAUUUCCAACUAAAAAAAAACGAAAUACAUAAAACAAAAAUAGUAGAUAUAUAAUAGUCUGAUGAGUGGGUGGUGCUAGGGCUAGGCAGAAGGGUCUGCCUCUUCAGUAGGUGCAUCAGUUGGGGCUUGGGGCUUUGGAGGAUGAGACUCUGAGGGAUGAGAGUGUGGCACUGCUGGAGUAGAAGUGGAGGGCUCUACAGCUGGUGGCAGGUCAAAAUGAAGUUGGAGCUGCCUUAAGAUGGCAGCUUGUUGAGCCUGAGUGGCCAACAUCUGCUCUUGGCAUGCUCUAAUGGCUGCCAUCUCUUGAGCAAGACUGCUCUGAGAAGCUGUGAGAGUCUCCAAUGCACGACACAACUCUCUAUAUUCAGAUAUAGGAAUGGCCAUCCUCGGUUCAACUGAAGUGGAUGGCUGAUAUGAAGCUGGAGCAGCUGGUGGAGCUCUAGGAAUGGCAAGAGCAGCAACUGUUAUACCCUCAGGUAUGUGUCGUGGGGAUGCUCUCCUUGCAGCUGGCUGUGGUGGCUCUUACUGAUCAACUUUAUAGGUCGUCAUGUUGUUCCAUUUAUCAAGAGUGAAUGGCUCACGGCAAAUGCGCUUUCUCUCCAACUGAGGCUCAGAAGGAUAUCCCAAGUGCUCCAGAAUUUGGCAUAGCAGCCUUGGAAAGAGGAGGGGAAUGCAAUCAGCCCUAUAAAGCUUCUUUCUGUGAACCUUCUCUUCGAAAUAGAGAAGGGCUGCCAGGAUCAGAUGAUGAGGCCCAAAGAAAAAUCCUUCUGACAUCUUGUACAGGGCUUCUAAGAGGACUCCCCUUCUUUGAGUCCAAUGCUGCAAUGGGUAGAGAUUAUGACGCAAAAAUGCAUCAAUGAGAAACAUGACUGGAGGAAUCUCCCCCCUCAACAGAUGUGAUCGAUUUGCAGCUCCUCUGGAAAUGGUGCGCACCAUCUCCAGCUCAGUAAGAUUGGUCCAAGCUCUAAAAUUAUCGAAUUGGGUUGGCUCAUAGGGAAUUUGCAAGGCUUCAUCUAUAUGGCGUGCUCCCAAUAUGCCAUGCCUCCCAUCGAUAGUGAAAUGAAUUAAAGUUGGAUCCCUGACCUGGUUGGUUGUCAUGGAUUGAUAGAAAUCCAUGGCUAUCCGAGGGUAGAAAAAGUCUCUCGGAGUCAGCAAGUGCUCCAUGUGGUACCUUCUCAGCAGGUUGAAUGACUGUGUAAGCUCUGGCCUCACUUCGAAUGCCGCUAUGUCGAAGCACAGCUCGGAAUGGAAUGGCCGAGCUCUACAAUCCAAAUUUCCCUCAAUUGGGGGCUGAGUUAGCAUUGGCCUCCUGAUUACUUCUUCCGGAGCUAUUUCAGCUGGAAUUUGGGGCUCGGGAAGUGGCACUUGAGGCUCCUGAGAUUUUUCUUGCGGCGCCGGAGAUGGCACCGGCGAAUGAACUGGCGAAGAUACCGAAGAAGAUACUGGAGAGGAAACUGGUGAUGAUAUCGGAGAUGGAACCGGCGACUGCUCUAGUGACUGGUCAGUCAAAUCGAUGGGCUCUGAGCUCUCAACCCUUGGUCUCUUUUGCAAUGGCCGACCUCCUGACCUGGUUAGGUAACGUCUCACCGGCGGCUUUGGCGGCGCGGGCUUCACCGGAGGAGGAAUUGGUCUUAACUGCGAAGGCUCAGGAGCAGGAUCUGGAACUGGCUCCUUUCGCAGGCUUUUCUUGCGGCUCGAAGGAGAUGAAGACUUAGCCCCUCUUGUUCGCGCCAUUUUGGGUUACCGAAAUUUGGCCGGAGCUUCUGAUCGGAGAAGAUGACCGGAGACUUGCACGGUGAGGCUCAAGGAAGAAGAUGAACAGCCUGCGAGAAUGGCGCGAUCUGAUUUUGAAACCUUUUUCGCAGCUCAAAUGACCGGUAUAAAUAGGAAAAACGAAAGACUAGGGUCAGUUUGAGUUUCGCAGCAAAACGCCAAUUUCGCAGCAAAAUGCCAUUUUCGCAGCAACUUCGCAAUGCAUUUCGCAGCUGCGAAAUUAAUGGUACUGUGCUGCGGAAUGGGACUUUUGUUGCGAAAUCAGGCUUUUCCUCUUCGCAAUGCGUUUCGCAGCUGCGAAAUGAGGGUUCCUGUGUUGCGAAGUGGCACUCGUGUGCCAUACGCACUUUCGCAAUUGCGAAAAUUCUCGCAGAGAACUCCAAAGUGUUGCGGAAUGGUUUGGCAACAAAAUGCUCAUUUCGCAGAAGUUUUCUUCAGCCUGGGAAAUUUCACAGAGCUCUGUUUUUCCUCUGUUUUUACUCUGUUUUUGCUCCGAUUUCGAUCCGAUUUUUUUCUUUCAAUUUCCUUGAAAUUUCUUCCACGUGGGAUCAUUUAAAAAGAUUAAAACACACCUAAAAACAUGAUUUAAGAUCAAAAACUAAGAUCAAAUGUAUGGAAAAAACUUGAAAAUUUACAAAAUUUACAAAAAUUUUGGACUGUGGUAAAACCACGUCUAGCAAACCCUUCUUUGCUUAGGCUUUUUGAGGCUCAAGGAGGUUGAUUGCCUCCUUUUCUGGUUUGAAUGGCUCCAUGAAUGGCUUGAGACGAUAUCCAUUGACUCUAAAGCUGUCCUUGCCAUUGGAAUUCAAUAAUUCCACAACUCCAUUGGGAUAUACUCGAUGAAUAAUGAACGGGCCUAUCCACCUUGACUUGAGCUUCCCAGGAAAGAUAUGGAGUCUUGUAUCAUACAAUAAAACUCUUUGCCCUUCCUGAAAUUCCUUGUUGGAGAUGAGUUGGUCAUGCCACUUCUUCAUCCUCUGUUUUGCAACUUUAGAAUUGAUAUAAGCAUUAUUUCUUAAUUCCUCCAUCUCAUUAAGGUCUAGAUAUCUCUUUUCUCCUGCCUUGAUCAAGUCCAUGUUCAGCUUCUUUAUUGCCCACCAAGCUUUGUAUUCAACUUCCACAGGGAGAUGGCAUGCUUUGCCAUAGACAAGACGAUAUGGAGACAUCCCAAGAAUAGUCUUAUAAGCUGUUCUAUAUGCCCACAAUGAAUCAUGAAGCCUAAUAGACCAAUCCUUUCUGUUGGAAUUCACCACUUUCAUCAAUAUGUUCUUUAUUUCCCUGUUAGCUAGCUCAACUUGCCCGGAAGUCUGAGGAUGAUAAGGUGUAGCCACCUUAUGCUUCACUCUAUACUUGGAUANNNNNNNNNNNNNNNNNNNNNNNNNNNNNNNNNNNNNNNNNNNNNNNNNNNNNNNNNNNNNNNNNNNNNNNNNNNNNNNNNNNNNNNNNNNNNNNNNNNNUUAAUUCCUCCAUCUCAUUAAGGUCUAGAUAUCUCUUUUCUCCUGCCUUGAUCAAGUCCAUGUUCAGCUUCUUUAUUGCCCACCAAGCUUUGUAUUCAACUUCCACAGGGAGAUGGCAUGCUUUGCCAUAGACAAGACGAUAUGGAGACAUCCCAAGAAUAGUCUUAUAAGCUGUUCUAUAUGCCCACAAUGAAUCAUGAAGCCUAAUAGACCAAUCCUUUCUGUUGGAAUUCACCACUUUCAUCAAUAUGUUCUUUAUUUCCCUGUUAGCUAGCUCAACUUGCCCGGAAGUCUGAGGAUGAUAAGGUGUAGCCACCUUAUGCUUCACUCUAUACUUGGAUAACAAAGCUUCAAAAGGUUUGUUGCAAAAAUGAGCACCUCCAUCACUGAUUAUGGCUUUGGGCACCCCAAAUCUUGAGAAAAUGUUCUCUUUAAGAAACUUGAGAACCACCCUGUGAUCAUUUUGUUUACAGGGGAUUGCCUCAACCCACUUAGAAACAUAAUCUACCCCCACCAAAAUGUAAGAACUACCAAAAGACAUUGGGAAAGGUCUCAUGAAGUCAAUGCCCCAUACAUCAAAUAACUCAACUAUUAGAAUGGGGUUCAUAGGCAUUUGAUUUCUUUUUGUUAGCUUUCGAAGCCUUUGGCAUCUAUCACAACUCCUACACAUGAUGUGGGCAUCUUUGAAAAGAGAUGGCCAAGUAAACCCUGAUUGCAAUACCUUCAUGGCUGUUUUUUGAGAGGCUAAAUGGCCUCCACAUGCAUUCUCAUGACAAUGAGAUAGAAUCCCUUGCUGCUCAUCUUCAGGGACACACUUCCUCAUGAUCUGAUCUGCACAAUACUUAAAAAGAAAGGGCUCUUCCCAAUAAUAAGCAUGAAUUUUGGCAAAGAAGUGCUUCUUGUCCUGUGCAUUCCACUCACUUGGAAUUUCACCAGUUACUAAAUAAUUAGCAAUAUGAGCAUACCAAGGAGUUUUCACUAGGAACAUGAGUGAUUCUUCAGGAAAAUCAUCAUUAAUAGGCAAGGGAUGGGAAUUAUGUGCUAUAACUAACCUUGAAAGGUGGUCAGCUACCACAUUCUCCACUCCUUUCUUAUCUUUGAUUUGGAGAUCGAAUUCUUGUAACAAAAGAAUCCAUCUAAUCAACCUUGCUUUUGCAUCUUGCUUUGUCAAUAAAUACUUCAAGGCUGAAUGGUCAGUAAAGACAAUGAUGAAAGACCCCACUAAAUAAGCACGAAAUUUGUCCAAAGCAAAUACCACAGCAAACAAUUCUUUCUCUGUAGUUGUGUAGUUCCUUUGAGCUUCAUUUAGUGUUUUACUUGCAUAGUAAAUCACAUAGGGCUUCCCAUCUUCUCUUUGGCCAAGCACAGCUCCUAUAGCAAAGUCACUGGCAUCACACAUCAGUUCAAAAGGUAAUUGCCAGUUAGGGGCUCUCACUAUUGGAGUUGUUGUUAAAAAUUUCUUCAGUUGAUCAAAGCUAUUCUGACACCUUUCAUCCCAUAUAAACUUAGCAUCCUUAGCUAACAGCUCACAAAGAGGUUUUGAAAGACUUGAAAAACCUUUUAUAAACCGCCUAUAGAAACCUGCAUGGCCAAGGAACUGCCUUACUCCUUUUACAGUUGUUGGGGAUGGUAAUUUGACAAUAAGCUCCACCUUUGCUUUAUCAACUUCAAUGCCUUUUUCAGAAAUGUUAUGGCCAAGGACAAUUCCUUGACGUACCAUAAAAUGGCAUUUCUCCCAGUUGAGCACCAGGUCUUUUUCAAUGCAUCUGUGAAGAACUGCUUCCAAAUUAACUAAGCAUUCCUCAAAUGUACCUCCAUAUACGGUGAUGUCAUCCAUGAAAACCUCCAUAAUUCGCUCCACCAUAUCACUGAAAAUACUCAACAUACAUCUUUGAAAUGUAGCAGGUGCAUUGCAUAAACCAAAAGGCAUUCUCCUGUAAGCAUAUGUUCCAAAUGGACAUGUAAAAGUAGUCUUUUCCUGAUUUGCCAAAUCAAUUUCAAUCUGAAAAAUACCCUGAAUACCCAUCCAAGAAACAAUAGAAUGGAUGUCCAGAGACUCUCUCCAGCACUUGGUCAAUAAAUGGUAAUGGAAAAUGAUCUUUCCUGGUUACAGCAUUCAUCUUUCUAUAAUCAAUACACACCCUCCAACCUGAAGUGAGGCGUGUAGUAAUUUCUUCCCCUUUUUCAUUCUGAAUCACUGUGAUCCCUGACUUCUUAGGUACCACUUGAGUAGGACUCACCCAAGGGCUAUCAGAUAUAGGGUAGAUGAUUCCUGCUUGAAGUAGCUUCAGCACCUCAGCUCGCACCACCUCUUGUAGAUGAGGAUUCAACCUUCUUUGAAAUUGACGAAAUGGCUUUGCUUCCUCCUCCAUAUAUAUAUGAUGAGUACAAACUAAAGGACUAAUGCCUUUCAAGUCAGAUAUUUGCCAUCCUAUUGCCUUCUUUCACCUCUUGAAAACUUCCAUUAAACAAUUCUCUUGAUAAUUGGUCAGAGAUGAAGAUAUCACAACAGGACAUUGCUUAUUUUCUUCAAUAAAUGUAUAUUUCAGCUCCACAGGUAAAGGCUUCAGAUUGAGUUUUGGAAUUUCUUUUUCAACAGCUGCCUCCUCUUCUUUAUUGAACAAAGGUAGAAUCUCUUCUAUCUUUCUCCAACUUUGUAGAGUAGCAAACACAUUAGGAGAUUCAGACAAACCUUCUUCAAAAUCCACAAGACUUUCAUUCAACUUGUCUUGCAUAUUUUGAUUACAGUGUUCCUCCACCAGAGUGUCAAUAAUGCAUAGCUCUUUUGGACCUUCUUCUUCUUCCAGAGUGAUUUGCUUUUUAGAAAUAUAGAAAAUAUUGAGAUCCAGUGUCAUGUUACCAAAAGUAAGUUGCAUAAGUCCAUUCCUGCAGUUGAUGAUUGCAUUUGAAGUAGCAAGAAAUGGCCUUCCAAGGAUGAUAGGAACUAAAUUAGCUUCCUUUACAGUAGGAUCUGUAUCAAGAACAAUAAAAUCUACUGGAUAGUAGAAAUUAUCCACUUGAACCAAUACAUCCUCAAUUACCCCUCUUGGAAUUUUCACUGAUCUAUCUGCCAGAGAUAGAGUGAUUGCUGUUGGCUUUAACUCUCCAAGUCCUAAUUGCUUGUAGACGGAAUAUGGAAGCAAAUUCACACUUGCUCCCAAAUCUAGCAAUGUUUUUUCUACUAUCUUUCCUCCAAUCAUAACUGAAAUGGUAGGACUUCCCGGGUCUUUGUACUUCAAAGGAGACUUACAUUGUAAGAUUGCACUUACUUGCUCAGUUAAGAAGGCUUUCUUGUUUACAGUCAACCCUCUUUUGAUAGUACAUAAGUCCUUUAGGAAUUUUGCAUACGUUGGAACUUGUUUAAUCAUAUCCAACAGUGGGAUAUUAACUUUCACUUGCCUCAAUACUUCAAGGAUUUCAGCUGCAUUUCUAAUCCCCUUUUUCUCAUGUAAUGCUUGAGGAAAAGGUGGAGAAGUUGAUUUCUUCAGUAUUUCUUCCUUCAGAAGCUCCUUCUCUGGAAUUGCUUUCAUUGUUGAAUCAGAGUCCUUUUCUUCACUGAUCUCACUCUCUUUAUCUUCCAUUUUCUUCCCUUUCUUUAUCUCUUCCUCUUUCUCAACAUGUGGCUCGGGUGUUGGCUUCUCAAUUUUUUUACCACUCCUUAGAGUGAUCAAGGCUUUAACAUCUUUCACCUGUGAUGAUUCUCCCUCUUGGCUUUCCACUUCAUGGACACCUUUGGGAUUUUGGUGAGGUUGAGAAGGAAAUCUUCCCUUUUCUUGCAGUGUAUUCAAAUUUGUAAGCCUUGAUAUUGAAUACUGGAUGUUAUCAAACUUUUGGUUCAUAUCAUUUUUCAUUCCAUCCAUCCUUUUAUUCAACAUACUCUCUACUCUAUCAAUUCUUUGAUUGACUUGAGCAUUGGUGGUUUCUUGGUUUCCAACAAAAUCUCCCACUACCUUGCUGAGAUUAGCUAUUGCUUGUUUAAGACUUGAAGAUUGUUGAGAUGGUGGAUCCAGCUAUUGGUACUAAGUUGCUCUGGCCUUCCAUGAGAAAUUUGGAUGAUUCCUCCAACUUGAGUUGUAGGUAUUUCCAUAAGGCGCAUUGUUAUUGGGCUUGAAUUGUCCAACAACAUUUGCUUGAUCUCUAAACAUUUCCCUUUCAGCUAAAAUUGCAGGGCAUUCCUCCACCAAAUGUUCAUAUGAUUGACAAUUGGGACACAGCUUCACUUGCACUAGUGCUUCAGCAACAACUUGCACUUCAUGUAUUCUUUUCAGCUCCAGCUCCUCCAAUCUUCUUGUCAUAGCUGCCAACUUUGCUUUCAUAUCAUCAUCUUCUUUCAAGGUAUACAUCCCAGCCUUUGCAUUGAAAGCAUUCAGCUGAGACUUCAUCUUUCCCACUUCUCCUUUAGUUGGUUCAUCCCAUCCCCUUGAAACUUCAACCACAUAACUCAAAAAAUCCAUAGCUUCCUCUGGAUUUUUGCUCAUGAAAUCUCCUCCACACAUUGUCUCGAGGAUUUACUUCAUUGAGGAGGACAUACCAUCAUAGAAAUAACUCACCAGUAGCCAAGUAUCAAAGCCAUGGUGAGGACAAGCAUUUAUAGCUUCCAUGUAUCUUUCCCAACACUCAUAGAAUUUCUCAUUCUCUUUAGCUGAGAAAUUUGAAAUCUGCCUUUUCAAGCCAUUUGUUCUAUGAGUGGGAAAAAAUUUCUUGAGGAAUUCAGCUUGUAAGUCAGUCCAAGAACGGAUACUCCUUGGCCUUAAAGAAUUAAGCCAAAUUUUGGCCUUAUCCUUUAAAGUAAAAGGAAAUAACUUAAGCCUCAUCAAAUCAAUUGAAGCUCCUCCCUCUUGGAAUGUAUUACAAACAUCUUCAAAUUCCUUGAUGUGUGCAUACGGAUUCUCACUUUCCAUCCCAUGGAAAGUUGGUAGAAGUGGAACAAGAUACGGUCUGAUCACUAGCUGCUCUGUAGGGGGCACUAUACAUGAUGGUGCACUCAUACGAGGUGGAUGCAUAUGAUCCCUCAUUGAUCUGAAUUCAUUGAGAUUAUCUUGACGACCUUGGUGACUAUGCUGAUCUUCAAGUGUAGCUUCCAUGAUAUUCAAGCUCAAUUCAAAUUCUUCUUUCUGAGGCAUACACAACUAGUAUCUAUCUACAACUUAAAUGAAAAUAAAGGACAACAAAAGAAACAGGGCUACAACAACAAAAUUAAAAUAGGCUAAAUUUAAAAGAUAAACUUAGAUUAUGAAUAAAUAAAGAAAGAAUGAGAAUUAGUAAAGUGAAAGAAACGUUACCAACUUGUGAUGAAAAUCACAAGUGCUCAAAAAUGGUAUCACUAUAAACUUGACAUUGUCCCCGGCAACGGCGCCAUUUGAUUCAUGCCCAAUUGGUGUCUCAGCUGAUUCGUGUUCAGCUGGUGCUCCUUGAUUGAGGGAGUAAUCAACAAAAUUUAUAACCUAUAACACCAUACACUAGGGUAGCAAAGAAAAAGCUACUAUAGUAUAGUGGCUCUAGGAUCGUCCACUGGGAAAGAUUAACAAGCUAUCAAUGAUACCAAUUCCAAGUGCAUUGGUCUUGUUUCAUUUCAAGGUUAGCUUAAGAAAUAAAACACAAACUUUGAUUGGUAAAGGUUUAGACUUAAACUAACUAACACAAUAAGUAAUAGGAAUAACUUAGGAAGAAAAACAUUCCUUGGAGAGUUAGGUUCACUGGGGUGGUUCCUCAUGCAAAAGACAUAGCUCCGGUCAGAUGGUUCAUUUCCUCGCGUUAGAGAUUCAACAUAUAGUCAAUUCUCUAACCAGUGUUGUACAGAUACAUCCUUCAAUUAGAUUUCACUUUAAUUCUCUCACUGAUGCACCUUGCAAUGGUUUAAGCCUCUCACUAAGCCUUAACCAUUCAAGGUGAUCUUUAACCUUGGAUUACCCGUCAAAAGCUCGCAAGAGAUAACUAAUGGAUGUCUCCUUGGAGUCCAAAAGCUUACCAAGUGUUGGCUAUUCUAGAAAAUCCUACCCUAAAGUCACCUCCCAGAGGCUCGCAAGGGGUAAACUAGUGCAUUUCCAUGGUUGGAAAUCACUUGCCUUACCAAGUGUUGGCCCAGGUGACUCCAAGGUGUUUUAAGUUAACUAAAAACAUAGAAAUCACUAAAGGAUUUCACUUCCUCUUCAUUAUUAGCUAAAACCACAAAGCUUUGCAUUCUUGCACUUGGAACCUUCCCCAGCAACCUUAGCUCCAAGGAAUUAGAGGUUUAGUUACUCAUUCUCUGGGGAAAACUCCUCAGAGAGUUCAUAACUUAGUAAUAAAUAAAAAAUACAAAGUGAAAAGGUAAGGCAAUACAAAGAACUGAACUUUACUUGCUUACCCAAAACUUUACAAAAGGAUCUCCUCCCUGAGAACAGGCUCCCGAGAGGUAUAUAUAUAAACAUAAUAUAAAACUAAUUAUUACAUAGAUAUUUUCUCUUUUUACUAACUUAAAAGCUAAGGAAUCUUGUAAUUGGUGGCUUACAAGGAGUAUUUUGGGAUUUAGACAACAAAAAUCUGAUGUAAAAUAUCUCCCAAUGUCGGUAGCAAAUAUCGGGAUGCUCCAGGAACCAUUUCGCAAGAGAAAAUGGCGUCUGCGAGAUUUCGCAGACACUCAAGAGGGCUGCGAAAUCAUUUCGCAACAACAUGCUAUCUUCGCAGGGCUGCGAAGUUGGCUUCCACCUUGAGGUUCCCAGCUUCCCUCUCGCGGUAUAUGUCGGGCAACUUCAGAAGGAAAUACACCCUACUGUACAAAAAGGUUGCGGAAUCACUUUGCAACAAAAGGGUGAUUUCGCAGCACUUUGCAAAAUGCUUCCUUCAGCUCGGAGUGAUUGGCUUGCAAUGGCUGUAACUUCUUCGUUUCAACUCCGAAUUGUGCACCGUUUAAAGCAUUGGAUUGUUGACUUCCUGAGCUUUGAAAUGGUAUAUAGACUGAUCAAUUGGACUUCAGAAAGUGCUCCAAAAGUAGCUGCUACGACUGUCAUCAAGAAUAUGCUUCAUGGCAGAUUCUCUUUACUUUUUCUCCUUGCAAUCCGGGUUUACUCUUGGCAAAUGACUUCUAAGCUUUGCCCAAGAUUUCUCAUAACUCUCCUCAGUCUUGACUUGCUUUGGUGAUCAAAUUACUAACAAAAACACCAAAACUUACACAAAGUGAUUAAAAUUGCUUUAAAGGAUCCUUAACAUGCCAAUUGAGUUAAAAGGCCUAAACUACUACUCAAAAAUGUUUAAAAGGAUUAAUUAUAGGCUAUCAAAUAGCACUUUUUGAGUAGUAAUCAGACAUAUUGCUAGUCCCUUAGCAAUGAAGGAGAGAAAAUAGAAAUAAACAGUACUAUAAUUUACAACAUCAUACUGAUAAAAAAACAAUUUUCAAGUGGCAUGAUGAUCUAACUCUCACAUGGAACAUUAAAGAAAUAAAACUCAAACUUCAACAAGAGUUAUCAAAUAACUUGUGUAAUCGCAAUUCUUAAAGAGAAGGCAUUAUGCAAAUUUAAGCUUUAAAAGAGUUUCCACUCCCAAAGGGUCAAACCUUACUCUUCCAUAAAAAUCUAAGUGUUAUUUAUCAGCUUCCGAAUAUAGUAUGUUGAACUAAUCUCUCCCCCAAACCUAGUUCUUUUUCAAAGCUUAGCAAACUAAUCAACCUCCAAUAGGCUAAGAACGCACCUCUUUUCUCAAAAAAAAAAAUUCAUUGUAGGAGUGUAAGGCUAAAGGUAUUCUUUUCUAAAUUGUCCAUGUAACGGGGGUCCAUCAAUGACUCCCAACCAAUUAAGGUUUAGGGCAUCAAGCUUUAAGGAUCUUUCAACCACUAACUCCUCGGAUUUUACCCCGGACUUUUAAGAAUGAAUUUUAGUACCCAAGCACCUACAGUAUGUUAAACUCCACCUAUUCACCCUUGUAACGAGCAUUGAGGUCGGUGACUUCCAACCAAUAAAGGCUUAGGGCACCAGGUUUUAAAGAUUUUCACCAUAUACCCCUCAGACCUUGCUCGAGUUUCAAGGCAAGCAAACAUUUUUCUUUCUUUCUUUUUUUUUUUUCAUCAAAGGCUCAUUGGCCUUUUAUAAGGUGUCCCAACACUAUUAAAAUGAGGUCAAAGGUACCAAGUCUAAAAUUUUCCUAAGUCAAGAGGGAAAUAGUUUUUCAUCUUAUAAUCGGAACCUAUUGUGCACAGUGUGUGAAUAGCUCAAAGUUGAAGAACUAAGGUUGAAUUCAAUAGAAGUUUCAAAAAUUCAUCAAUUUUAGUAAGAAUAAUACAAACUCUAAGUCAAGUGAAAAGACAAAAAUUCAAUUUCUCCUAUUUCAAUUUGAAAAUUUUUCCUUAAUAAUCAUGGAGAAUAGAAUAAAAAACUUUAAAAAAUUUUAAAUUUAAGCAAAAAGCAACUAAAUUGCCUAAAUAACUUAGCAUUAAUAACAAAAACUUCCUUCCUCAACUCUCCCCCCAACCAAGCUGAACAUUGUCCUCAAUGUGAUAAAAGCGAUUGAAAAAUAGGGAGGAAGUGGUACUUCCUGAGUGACGUGGAGUGAUGCUGUGGAAAUGAUGGCUCAGCUGACUCUCCUGUAGGAGGCUCUUGAUGAGGCAUAGGCUGAUUAACAAAAGGAGGGGCCUAUGAUGGCUCUAAUGAGCUGGGAAUGGCAUCAGCUCGGAACAGCUUCUUUCUGUUUUCUUGCAAUUCCUCUUGAUUUUAAUCAUUCAAAAAAUUAAGUUACAAUUAACAUAAUUUAAGACCAAAAUUACAAUCAAAUAAUUUACUAAACUUAAAAAUUAACAUAUUCAACAAAAUUAUGGACUUUGGUGAAACCAAGUCCAUCUAACCCUUCUCUGAUCAGGCUUUUUGUGGAUCAAGGAGGUUGAUCUCCUCCUUUUCUGGCUUGAACGGCUCAAAGAAUGACUUGAGGCGAUGACCAUUGACUCUAAAGGUGUCUAUGCCAUUGGAAUUUAGUAAUUCCACCACUCCAUUGAGAUGUACUUGGUGAAUAAUGAAAGGACCUAUCCACCUUGACUUGAGCUUACCUGGAAAGAUAUGGAGCCUUGAGUCAUAGAGUAGGACUCUUUGUCCUUUCCACAAUUCUUUGUUGGAGAUUAGUUGAUCAUGCCACUUCUUCAUCCUCUAUUUUGCAACAUUGGAAUUGAUGUAAGAAUCAUUUCUUAAUUCCUCCAUCUCAUUAAGGUCUAAGCACCUCUUUGCCCCAGCUCUGAUCAAGUCCAUGUUCAACCUCUUGAUUGCCCACCAAGCCUUAUAUUCAACUUCCACAGGGAGGUGGCAUGCUUUGCCAUAGACGAGACGAUAGGGGGACAUGCCAAGAAUAGUCUUAUAAGCUGUUUUAUAUGCCCAUAAUGAAUCAUGUAGCUUAAUAGACCAAUCUUUUCUGCUUGUAAUCACCACUUUCAUCAGUAUGUUCUUUAUUUCCCUGUUUGCUAGCUCCACUUGCCCGGAAGUUUGAGGAUGAUAAGGUGUAGCUACCUUAUGUUUCACUCCAUACUUGGCUAAUAGGGUUUCAAAAGGUUUGUUGCAAAAAUGAGUUCUUCCAUCACUGAUUAUGGCCUUGGGCACGCCAAAUCUUGAAAAGAUGUUCUCCUUAAGAAAUUUGAGAACCACCCUGUGAUCAUUAUGUUUAUAGGGGAUUGCCUCCACCCAUUUGGAAACAUAGUCCACCCCCACCAAUAUAUAAGAGUUACCAAAGGACAUUGGGAAAUGUCCCAUGAAGUCAAUACCCCAAACAUAAAAAAGAUCAACUAUAAGGAUGGGGUUCAUGGGCAUUUGGUUUCUUUUUGUAAGCUUCCCGAGUCUUUGGCAUCUAUCAUAACUCCUACACAUGAUGUGGGAAUCUUUGAAAAGCGAUGGCCAAGUAAACCCUGAUUGCAAGACCUUCAUGGCUGUUUUCUGAGAGGCAAAGUGGCCUCCACAGGCAUUCUCAUGGCAAUGGCUGAGGAUCCCUUGUUGCUCUUCUUUAGGGACACACUUCCUUAUGAUCUGAUCUGCACAAUACUUGAAAAGGAAGGGCUCUUCCCAAUAAUAAGCAUGAAUCUUUGCAAAGAAGUGCUUCUUGUCUUGCGCUCUCCACUCUCUUGGAACUUCACCAGUAGCCAAAUAGUUAGCAAUAUGAGCAUACCAAGGAGCUUUCUCUAGCAACAUAAGUGAUUCCUCGGGAAAGUCAUCAUUAAUAGGUAAUACAUGGGAAUUAUGUGCUAUAGCCAACCUUGAAAAGUGGUCAGCUACCACAUUCUCCACCCCUUUCUUGUCUCUGAUUUGGACAUCAAACUCUUGUAACAAAAGAAUCCAUCUAAUCAACCUUGCUUUUGCAUCUUGCUUCGUCAAUAAAUACUUCAAGGCUGAAUGGUCAGUGAAAACAAUGAUGAAAGACCCUACCAAAUAAGCACGAAACUUGUCUAAAGCAAACACCACAGCUAACAAUUCUUUCUCUAUAGUUGUGUAGUUUCUUUGAGCCUCGUUCAAUGUUUUGCUUGCAUAGUAGAUCACAUAGGGCUUCCCAUCUUCUCUUUGGCCAAGUGUAGCUCCUAUAGCAAAGUCACUGGCAUCACACAUUACUUCAAAGGGUAAUUGCCAGUUAGGAGCCCUUACUAUUGGAGUAGUUGUCAAAAAUUGCUUCAAUUGAUCAAAACUCUUUUGACAUCUCUCAUCCCAAAAAAACUUAGCAUCCUUAGCUAAAAGUUCACAAAGAGGCCUUGAAAGCUUAGAGAAGUCUUGUAUAAAUCUCCUGUAGAACCCUGCAUGGCCAAGAAAUUGCCUUACUCCUUUUACAGUGGUUGGGGAUGGCAAUUUGGCAAUAAGUUCCACCUUUGCUUUAUCAACUUCAAUGCCUUUCUCGGAGAUGAUAUGGCCAAGGACAAUUCCUUGAUGUACCAUAAAAUGGCAUUUCUCCCAGUUGAGCACCAAGUCUUUUUCAAUGCAUCUUUUAAGAACCACUUCCAAAUUUACUAAGCAUUCUUCAAAUGUACCUCCAUAUAUGGUGAUAUCAUCCAUGAAGACCUCCAUAAUUCGCUCCACCAUAUCACUGAAGAUACUAAGCAUACAUCUUUGGAAUGUUGCAGGUGCAUUGCAUAAACCAAAAGGCAUUCUUUUGUAGGCGUAUGUUCCAAACGAACAUGUGAAAGUGGUCUUCUCCUGAUCUUCAACAUCUAUUUCAAUUUGGAAAUAACCUGAGUACCCGUCCAAGAAACAAUAGAAAGGAUGGCCAGAGACUCUCUCCAGCACCUGAUCAAUAAACAGGAGUGGAAAAUGAUAUUUCCUUGUCACAGCAUUCAAUUCCCUAUAGUCAAUACACACCCUCCAACCUGAAGUGAGGCGUGUAGCAAUUUCUUCUCCUUUUUCAUUCUGAACCACAGUAAUCCCUGACUUCUUUGGUACCACUUGAGUAGGACUCACCCAAGGGCUAUCAGAUAUGGGAUAAAUAAUACCAGCUUGGAGUAGCUUCAGUACCUCAGUUCGCACCACUUCUUAUAAAUGAGGAUUCAAUCUUCUUUGAGGUUGACGAAUUGGUUUAGCUUCUUCCUCCAUAUAUAUGUGAUGUGUACAAACCAAAGGAUUGAUUCCUUUCAAGUCAGAUAGUUGCCAUCCUAUUGCUUUCUUGUACCUCUUAAGAACUUCAAGUAGAGAAAUCUCCUGAUGACCAGUAAGAGAUGAAGAUAUAACAACAGGACAUUGGUUAUUUUCUUCCAGGUAUGUAUAUUUUAACUCCAUGGGCAGAGGUUUCAAAUUGAGCUUCGGGAAUUCUUCUGUUACAUCAUCUUGUCCCUCCUCUUUAUUGAAUAAAGGUAGAAUCUCUUCUUUCCUCCUCCAACCUUGUAGAGUAGCAAGGACAUCAGCGGGUUCAGACAAUCCUUUUUCAAGAUCCUCAAGACUUUCAUUCAACUCAUCUUGCAUAUUCUAAUCACAAUGCUCCUCCACUAGAGUGUCAAUAAUGCAUACCUCUUCUGGACCUUCUUCUUCUUCUAGAGUAAUUAGCUUCUUUGACAUAUGAAAGAUAUUAAGCUCAAGUGUCAUGUUGCCAAAAGUGAGUUGCAUAAGUCCAUUCCUACAAUUUAUGAUUGCAUUUGAAGUAGCAAUAAAUGGCCUUCCAAGGAUGAUAGGAACAUAAUUAGCUUCCUUAACUAAAGGAUCAGUAUCAAGAACAACAAAAUCUACUGGAUAGUAGAAAUUAUCAACUUGAACUAAAACAUCCUCAAUUAUCCCCCUUAGAAUUUUCACUGACCUAUCAGCUAAAGAUAGAGUGAUUGAUGUUGGCUUUAAUUCACCAAGUCCCAAUUGCUUAUAAAUAGAGUAUGGUAACAAAUUCACACUUGCUCCCAAAUCUAACAAAGCUUUUUCCACUACCUUUCCUCCAAUCAUAACUGAAAUGGUAGGACAUCCCAGAUCUUUGUACUUCAAAGGAGAUUUGCAUUGUAUGAUGGCACUCACUUGCUCAGUCAAGAAGGCUUUCUUAUUCACAUUCAACCCUCUUUUGAUAGUACACAGGUUCUUUAGGAACUUUGCAUAUGAUAGAACUUGCUUAAUCAUGUCCAGCAAUGGAAUGUUGACCUUCACUUGCCUCAAUACUUCAAGGAUUUCUGAUGCAUUUUUUAUCCCCUUUUUCCCAUGCAAAGAUUGAUGAAAAGGUGGAGAUGUGCAUUUCUUCAUCAAUUCUUCCUUAAUAAGUUCUUUCUCCGGAUUGACAUUCACUGUUGAAUCACGGUCCUCCUUCUCUUCACUGAUAUCUUUCUUCUUUCCUUUCAUUUCCUCUCUCUUCUUUGUCUCUUCUUCUUCCUUCUCUUCAUCAUAUAGCUUGGGUGUUGGUGACUCAACCUUUUUACUACUCCUUAGAGUGAUCAAGGCUUUAACAUCUCUCACCUGUGAAGAUUCUCCCUUAUGAGUUUCCACUUCGUGGGUACCCUUAGGGUUUUGGUGAGGUUGAGAAGGAAAUCUACCCUUCUCUUGCACUAUGUUCAAAUUAGUGAGCCUUGAGAUUGAGUAUUGGAGAUUAUCUAUCUUUUGAGAUAAGUCAUUUUGCAUCCCAUCCAUCCUUUUAUUCAAAGUAUUUUCUACACUGUCAAUUCUUUGACUGAGUUGAGAGUUGAUGGAUUUUUGGUCUCCAACAAAAUCUCUCACAACCUUGCUGAGAUUCACUAUUGCUUGUUCAAGACUUGAAGCUUGUUGGGAUGGUUGAGAUGGUUGAGCCGGCUUUUGGUACUAAGGUGCUCUUGGCUUCCAUGAAAAAUUUGGAUGAUUCCUCCAACUUGAGUUAUAAGUAUUUUCAUACGCAGCAUUGCUAUUAGGCUUGAAUUGUCCAAUGACAUUUGCUUGUUCUCCAAACAUUUCUCUAGCAACUGGAAUUGUAGGGCACUCCUCCACCAAGUGUUCAUAAGAUUGACAAAUAGAACAUGGCUUUACUUGCACUGGUGUUUCAGCAACAGCUUGCACUUCAUGCAUUUUUUUCAGUUCUAGCUCCUCCACUCUUCUUGUCAUAGUUGAAAAUUUUGCUUUCAUAUCAACAUCUUCAUUCAAGGUGUACAUCCCAGCCUUAGCAUGAAGAGUAUUUGGUUGAGACUUCAUCUUUCCCACUUCUCCUCUUUGCGGUUCAUCCCAUCCCCUUGAGACUUCAGCUACAUAACUCAAGAAAUCCAUAGCUUCCUCAGGAUUCUUACUCAUGAAAUCCCCUCCACACAUUGUUUCGAGGAGUUGCUUCAUCGAGGAAGACAUCCCAUCAUAGAAAUAACUCACCAACAGCCAUGUAUCAAAGCCAUGGUGAGGACAAGCAUUAAUGGCUUCCAUGUAUCUUUCCCAACACUCAUAGAAUUUCUCAUUCUCUUUAGCUGAGAAGUUUGAAAUUUUCCUUUUCAAGCCAUUUGUUCUGUGAGUGGGAAAGAACUUCUUGAGGAAUUCAGCUUGUAAAUCAGUCCAAGAACAGAUACUCCUUGGCCUUAAAGAAUUAAGCCAAAUCUUGGCCUUAUCCUUUAAAGUAAAAGGAAAUAGUUUAAGCCUCAUCAGGUCGAUAGAAGCUCCUCCCUCUCAGAAUGUAUUACAAACAUCUUCAAAUUCCUUGAUAUGGGCAUAGGGAUUCUCACUUUCCAUUCCAUGGAAAGUUGGCAGAAGUGGCACAAUAUGGGGUCUAAUCACUAGCUACUCUGUAGGGGGCACUAUACAUGAUGGUGCACUCAUACGAGGUGGAUACAUGCAGUCCCUCAUUGAUUUGAAUUCAUUGGGAUUGUCCUGAUGACCAUGGUGACUAUGCCGAUCCUCAUGUGUAGUUUCCAUGAUGUUCAAGCUCAAUUCCAACUCCUUGUUAUGAGGUGUUUCAAGUUUAACAAGCCUUCCUCCACUAUCUCGUAUCCACUUUGGCAUACACAGCUAGUAUCAAAUAUGCACUUAGAGAACAAGAGGAAAGAUUACCAAAAUUUCUAAAAAGUGAAUUAAGCACAAGCAAUUAACUUCAUAGAUAUUAUGUUUUCCUACGCUGUCCAAUUGGACAAUUCAAGCAUCAUUUGCAAAAAAAAAAAAAAAAUCUAUAUCACACGCUAGACAAUUUAAAAGUUGUCAACUUGAAAGUGGCCUAGAUAAAACCUUUUUCAUCUUUGACAACUUAAAUGUCUUUAGUAUGUAAUAAGAGAAACUUUUAUCUUACAAUGAUACUUGACUUGGAACUCUAAGGUUUUAUGCAUGCAUGUUUGAUUAAAAUUAAAACACAAUUACUUAUUGAAUAGUCUGAUAAUUAUAAAACACCUAAAGAUGUUCCAUAAUUAUUGGUAUAUUUCAUGUUAUCCAUUACCCAUUAAACAAGAUUAUUAUAAGAAAGUAUAUGUAUGGCCCAUGAUUUCCAAAUCAAGUCUCACCAGGCUAUGUCAUAGCCUUGGGUCAAAUUUUGGGCCUUGGUAUCAAACUAAGCUGGGGAAUAACUUGUAGAAUUCAGGUACUCAAUAAGAUUUAAACAAAAUAUAAAAUAAUGCCUCCAUUAUAUUCUUGUAACCACCCAAAGUAAAAAUGACAUUAUAAAUAAAAUAUGUUGGCUUGUAUAAGGAAAAAUAGUGUACCUUCCUCAUUCUAUCUUUGUCUCAAGUCUUGCAUCACACACCUCUCGCAAUCCAAUGUAGGUCACUAUCCCUUAAAAGAUGUAUAUGCAAAACAAAUAAUAAAUAAAUAAAUAAAAUAAAAUUGAUUAGUAAAUAAUUCAUUUAAUAUUUAUGAUGUGUGGUUAUUAAAAAAAUAUUCUUAUUUUAAUAUUUUGUGAUUACAACUACACUAAAAUUGAUGUAGCAAUAGCAAAUGGAGGGGUCAAAUGGACUUUUGUUUUACCGAAAUUCCUUUUUCUUGGUAAGACUUUCAAUGAAUUGAAGUUGAUAAUUUGGGUAACUAAAGUUUUUUUUUUUUUUGUUUUUUGAAUUCCAAUUUAUCUUAACAGUACAACAAACAUAAUUAAUAGCAUAAUCAAUAUAAUUAAUUGUAAAGAACCCUACUUUGGAGGCAUGAGGAAAGCUACUAUCGAAGAUAAUAAAGAAUUUUGACUGACUUUGGUCAAUAAAAUCAUAAUAUGGAUUAUCGUGCUUAAUAAAAAUAAUUAAUAUUCAAAAAGUUGAUUAAAAUUUAUGUAUGAAACAAUUAUUAAAAUAUAUUUGUAAAUAGGGAGAAAUCAUUAAAUAUGUAUACUAAAAAAUAAUUUAAUUUUAUGUUUUUGGUUUAAAGAUCAUACUUAUUUAGAAAAGUCAGUUUUUGAACCUGAAAUUUACUAAAUGAGAAUUCUAAGGGCCUAGGACCUCUCAUAAAAAAUGCUUAUAAAUUUUUGGAUGGGGAGACACGACAAGGUGACCAGAGUGGAGCUGUAUGGGGUUACAGGGGAUAUGGAUAUAACUAUCCAGAUAAUUAUAAUCACUCAACUAUCAUGGUUGAAAUAAUUCCUUUUUAUUUCUUCUUUCAAUUUUGAGAAACAAGGGAAGAUAACUGGAUAGAACACAUACUUUCUUUAAAGGAUUCAAAACAAACAAACAAACUUUCUGAUUACCAUGAGUUACCAAAAGCAAAUAGAAAUAUACAAAUGGCUGGGUUCAAGUAGGAUGUCAAUGAAAAAAUAAAAUAAAUCCAUUUUAUUUCAUCUUACAGUGUCAACGUAUUCCUUAUCCUUUUUUUUUUUUUUUUUUUUGCAUAAAAUUGCAUGAUGUUUUAUUUCAUCUUACAAUGUCAACCUAUUAUUUUUUUUCCCUUUUGUGCAUAACAUUGCAUGAUGAAGGCAAAAAAAGAACCCUUUGGAGAAGAAACCCUAUCGUCCUAAGUUGUUUUGAUGACUUCUUGAUGAUUAAUUAGAUGGUGCCAGUAAUCUAAUUCUUACUACCAAUUUAAUCGGCACAUCUCAGCAGAAUGUCUUAAUCCAUAUAGCUGGCUUUAAUUCAAUCUAUGUAAUAAAAAUGGCCAAUUAUUGUUCAUUGUUUUUCAAAAUGAUAUAAACUCUAUGUAAUCAUGCCAUGAAUUUUAAGCAUAUUUGUUCACAUGAUACUUGAGCUCAAGAAUUCCUGAAUGUUCAUAAUUCUUAAUUUUAGGUCACAGGUCAUGCCUUUGAUGCCCGAAUAUAUGCCGAAAAUGUUUCAAAAGGAUUUCUUCCAGUCACUGGAAUUCUUCAUCAUUAUCGUCCUGUCCCAGUCUCUUCAACAGGUUUAGUCACACGCCAAUUGCCAACUUAGUUAACUAUAGUGAAACAAUCAUCCCAUACCUUAUUCAACAAUACUUUAGUAAGAAGACAACUUUGCUAAAAUUGUUCCAAUAAGAUAAUUUUAACCAGCUUUCAAUUCGAUAUCCUUUUUGUUCAAUAGUCAAAUCCCUUGUGAAGUUCAAGAAUAUGUGGGAGAUAGGAUGGUUAUGAACAUCCUGUAGCCAUUUUUUAGGACUUCAUGAUUCCAUUACUUCAUUGUAUAACUUUGAUUUUUUUACUCAUGUUGAAUCUGUGACUUAGCAGUUUGGGUUGAAACUAGAGUUGAACAAGGAGACACUGUUAGCAUGCAUUAUGAUCCUAUGAUUGCUAAGCUUGUAGUAUGGGGAGAAAAUUGGGUUGUAGCAUUAGUUAAAAUGAAGGAUUGCUUAUCAAAAUUUCAGGUAUACCUAAACCUGGUUUCAUGUCUUCACCGCACUAUAAAAAGGGCUCAUAAUGUUUUGUUGGGAGCAUUACACAUUUAUCCUUGGCUCCUAUACCAUAAAUUGCAUAUGAUGGAUCCUUUAAUGGAUAUCUCUGGGACAUGAUCAACCUGGUGGGGUGAUCUUGAUAGUUUUUUUUUUUUUUUCUCAAAAUGUUUUUGAUAGUAGAGGAAAAAAGUGUGAUUUGUUAUUUGGAAUGAUGAUCUUGGUUUUAUAUGGUUCAGUUUGCUAAGUUUGAAUUGGAAGACAUCUUAGAUGGCCCAUUUGACAUGAUGCUUCAAGUGUAUGAAAGAUUAACCCUAUUUAGUAUGCUUGCAGUGGUCUCAUGGAUCACUCUGCUGGGCUGUGUGCAUGCAUGUAAAGUACAUGUGCUUCAAGUGUACGAAAGAUUAGCCUUGCUUGGUCUGCAUGUUUUUUUUUUUUUUUUUUUUUGAUAGAUAAAGGAGCAAAAAUAUUAAAAAAAAAAAAAAAAAAAAAGUUAUACAGGAGGAGCUCAAGGUAUACAGGACCCAUACGCCCACCACUAAAAAGACUCAAAUAGAGAAAGAUCUACAAAAUAAAAGGGACUACAACAUCUCAGCAAGGCCUCAACCAAUCAAUGAAACAUAAUGAUAUUGUGUUUUUUCAGGUUGCAGGUUUGCCAACCAAUAUCAAUUUCCUCCAAAAACUUGCUAAUCAUUAGGCAUUUGAAAAUGGAAAAGUUGAAACCCAUUUUAUUGAGCACUUUAAAGAUGACCGGUUUGUUGAUCCAAGUAAUUUAUUAUUAGCAAAUGAAGCUUAUGAUGCUACUAAAUGCAGUGCAGUUCCUAUAGCUGCAUGUGUUUGUGAAAAAGAACGUUGUAACUUGAAGGAAAGUCCUCCUGGUAAACUCUGAUUUGAAUAUUUUCAGGGUAUAUUUUCUAAAAUUUUUCUUAGUCUUUAUGACUGCUGAUAUGUGCAGGCAGCAAAAGCUCACUCUCAAUAUGGUAUACAUAUCCCCCUUUCAGAGUCCAUCAUAGUGCUAGGUGCACAAUGUAACUUGAGUGGGACAAUGAAUAUGAUAGCAGUAGCUCAAAGAUUUUGACACUUUCCAUCACUUUUCAGCCAGAUGAGAACUAUCUAAUAAAGGUACUUAAAGUGUGUGUUAAAUAAGGGUUCAAUGGCCAGUUAUUGUAUUUGACAUUUCCAAGUUUAAGGUUGCACCUAUUCUAAGUACCUUUCUAGUUUCUUCUUUUGUUACUGUCAUACAGACUAUCCUAAUCUUAAGUUUCUAAUCAAGUUAUAUAUGUGUUCAGACAGGAGAAGAAAAGUCCCUUGAUUGGGAAGUCAAAGUAGCACAUCUAGGCAAUUCUGAUUUCAGAGUUGAAGUUGAUGGUGUGAGCAGGGAUGUUUGUUUAGCCGUUUACUCCAAGGUAAGUUUUUUUCUUGUUUUCUUUUCUGGAGUAUUCAUAUUAUACUUUAAAGGCAUUCGUGACCACAAUUUCUUUCAUUUUUUUUGUCUAGCAUCCUAAUAGAGAUGCAUAAUGUUUUUCCUUUCUUUGUCUAUUAAGUGCUCCAUGCUUCCUUGACAAUAAUUCAAGGCUUGCAGCUACAUAGUUUGAACAUGAAGAACUUUGAUUUCUUGUUUGAAUAUAUGCAAGUCAAACAUUUUAACACCGCUUUGCGCCAAAAUGAAAAGAGGAAAGUAAAAAAUAGUAGAACAUGUCCAGCUACAAAUACUACCAUUCAUAAAACAUGUAGUGAUAGCAAUGGGACUGGUAAUCUAGGGUAUCUGCACCUCCUUGCAAUGCUUCUUUCUUCUCCAAGCUCAUGGGUUAGAAAUGGGUACUUGGUUUCUUAAACAAUGAUUCUAUGCAAGAUGGGGAGAUAACUUUUUUAGAGUAUUAAUCUCCUUGCCUUGGUCAUUUUGUAUUAUUUAAGGCAGAGAUGCACAAAGAGGCACUAUGUGAUGAAUAUAAUCCAUCAUUGAUUAAUCUUCUUCUUUAGCAUCUAACUUCCUCAUUUCACACUUUAUUACUUUUGAUCAAACAUUUGGUGUGGUUUCUUUUUCUCCUAUGGUUUUCACUAAUAUCUAGGAUGGGAUUGCCAAGUGUUAAGUUAACCUUAUACACAAAAUCUAUGCAUAUGGGCCUUUGCAUUCCCCAGCCUUCUCUUCCAUCUUCGAACCUGGUACUACAUUGGAAUUUCAAUCUUAAUCCUGUGGCUGAGUGGUAAUAGACAAGGUUCUUCUAAUGGGUUGGUACCAAGCGAUUCUUUUCCAUUCCCAAUCCGUCCAUUUGACCUCUAUCUGUGGGGGGCUUGAUGUAUGUUUGACAAUAUUAUUCUCAAAACCAUGUCAUAUUUUAGGCUGGCCAUUUUGAGUAUCACAAUAUUGAAAUUUCAAGAACUGAUGCAAUCACAGUUUGGUAAAGUAUUGCAGUCUAAGGCUGAGUAAAGAAUUCUGCCUCUCUCUCUCUCUCUCACUCUCACUCCUAUGUUUAUGUAAAAUCUUGUAACUUGGGCUGCCAGGAUCAGACUAAGCAUUCUAUAUAUGGCAUGGUUCACAUCAUCAUACUUUCAAACAAAGGGUUGGGCUUCAGUUGUUUGCUGAUGAUGAAGCGCAACACAAGCCCAGUUUUGAAUUAGGGUGGCCAUGGUCCUGGAGACACCAGAAUCCAGAAUUCUCCCAACCCAAGCAUUUUCUUGUGUUGGUCAUUAGAAAGACCAUAUCAUAAAACCAGGACUAAAUUGCCAGUGCCAUCUGACUUCAGUCCAACAAGGAAACUGAAAAUUCAAGUCUAGCCAUUUUAUAUAAUUUAGCUAUAUUAAUAUUGAAAUUCUUAUCAUUUUAUUUAUAUUAAUUCUAGUGGUCAGCUUUAAGUUGACCAUGCAGUUAAAUUUAAUCCCAACCUCUAGAUAAAUUAAGCACAUUCCAAGGUAGUUUAAGUCAUCUUCAUUGAUGGAAUUGUUUGAAGUCCUCACUAAAACGAUGGUCACCUUAACAUGCAAAAGUGCACAUGGGCUGAGAUUCAACUGAGGUUACGUUUGGCCAUAAACUUCCCGACCUGUCCCAUGAGUGACUAGGAAUACCCAACCAAGGCCAAAAUUAGGCUAAUUUUUAGGCCUAAGCCUAGACCACUUGUUAUCUAGAUAUAGACCAAGCCAAGACCAACAAAUAUCAUGAUAAAUUUUACUGGCAUCCCCAUCUCAGUAACCUAGGGGCAAUUAUUUUGGAAAAACAAAUAACACUAAGCGUUGAAAGUUUCAAACUUCUGAGAAUCCUCUUUGCUGAAUUUGUUUUGAGAAGGAAAUUUCACUGGACCUUCUUUCUCUCUUUCGUUUGCUUCAGUACAGGGAGUAUGAUUUUUAUGAAAGGCUCAAGAAUCUUACAAAAGUCAGUUUGUUAAUAGGAUUAGGAUUUCUAAUUUCUUAUAUUGUAUAUUGAUUUGUCAAACUUAAUUAGUAGCAAAAAUGAUAUACAAUAAAUACAAUCAAAUGUUCAAAAAGCCUUGGGUUCUUGCCUGCCUCUCACCCAGGGCAAGGGAAAGAGAAGGCCUGAGCAAAUUCCAAACUCUAGUGCAGAUGCAAAUUAAAGCCCAUGUCAAGCCUAAAUAAUAAACUUGACUUGGCAGACCAGAUCAUUUACCACCUAUAUUUUUAGGUUUAUAUAUGUCAUUUGAAAUAUAAUCGAAUAAAAAACAGCCUUCAUUUUCACUAGAAAUCUGUGAGAAGCAGUCAGAAAAACACUAAUCACCUUUUUCACUUCCAUUGUUCAAACUUAAAACUCUAAUAUGUUAAAUUUUUCCAUCAAACAACAACGGUCUAACAAGCUUAUUAGUAUCUAGUACAUUAUGAAAAAUACCCUAAUUGGUCCAAAACUAACAAAUUGGGAAGAAGAAAAAGGUAAAACUAAUUUCUUAUACUUCAUAAAUACAAAAGGAAGGAAGAAGGUAAAACUCAUUGUUGUAGUCACAAGAAGAAGAAGCAGCAGCAGAAGAAAAAGACAAAGAAAUAUAGACCAAUGACAUCCAGAUAACAUAUGAUUAAGCUGAGAUUCAAUUUCCAAACAAAACAAAAAAAAAAUUUUUAAAUAACAAACGAUUAAGCUUAGAUUAAAUUCCCAAAUUAAAAAGAAGCAAAUAAAACAACAGAAAUAAAAUCCAGAUAAUGUAUGAUUAAGCUUAGAUUCAGCUCCCAAAUUAAUAAGGAGAUAAAACAAAAAUAACAUCUAGAUAACCCAUGAUUAAGCUUAGAUCCAAUCCCAAAUUACCUUCACUGGUAGGUUUUCAUUGUUUAGAUUAGUCAAAUGGCGAGUUUUGUGGAAUGACAGUUCACAUAGCUGCAUCAGAAAUUGUGGUUAUCUUUCAAAUCAUAACAUAUGCAAUAUUCAAUUAUAGCAGUAAAAUAAGCCACAUAUCAAUUUUUUUCAUUAUAUGCCUUGUUAUAAAGACAUCCAAUUGCAAGGCCCAUCCCACUAGUUUUACAAGAAGCCAAAAAAUGAAAGUCCAACCAAUAAAAAAUAACAGGAAUAAGAAAAUGGAGGGUAUUUUAUUUCACAUUCUUAUAUUCACAAAUGAAUUGCCAGAUAUUGCUAAGUUUUUCUGGAAAACCAUAAACAUACACCAAGAGAGUAAGAAGUAGGACAAGAUUCUUCAAGCCAUGUGCAUUGAGGACAAAGAAAAAAAGAAGGCAUCAACCAAGAAAUAAAACAGAGGAGCAUACCCACCCUGCGCGCCCAAAAUCCCACCACUCCCCUAGCUAGAACCAACCUGAAGCCAAAACCUAUAAUGGAGUAUGUGAAUGUCUCCUAAAAACUAUCAAGGAAAUCAGUUUCCCUUUGACAAGAUUUUUUGCCUUCUGGAUCAGGGAAUCCAUCUAAAUUCCAACCCCAUGCUAUUCUACCUAUUUACAAUCUCUUUUUUCUUUCUCUUACCUUUUUCAUUUUUCAAUGAAAGAAAAUAAAAUUCAUUAAUAUUGAUGAAAGUACAAUGAAGGAUAAGAUAUUCUUCAAGAAAGAUAAAAGAUGAUAAAGCAGGAAGACUAAUUAAAAACACUAAGAAAGUAAUUAAGACAUCUAUGGAAAACCAAGGUGGCAAAGAACCCACAAAAAAUGUGUCAUCUUCCAAGGUGUAUGGAAGAUGCUUUACUAAGAAAAGGUAGAUCUUAAGUCCUUAUGGUGGAAGGAUUAAUGAGAUUUCAGAGACUGAAGUUCCUUUCCCACACAGAAAGGGGAACUUGUAUAAAUUCAAUACUUGGUUAGUUGGGAUGAUGAAGGAGAUAGGGUGUCAAAGAAGCACAUAAAUUGGAUAAUAAAGCUUACUGAUAGCGUAAAGAAAGGCUACAGAAGAAAUUCGAGAUAUCCUUCUAAUUUUAUUUUUUAUUUUUUUAAAAAAAACCACUAAAUAUAAACAAAAAAUAGAGUAGAAUACAACAAUUGGUUGUAACAUCCUAUCAAGUCAAGGAAAAACAAUAACAAAAAUGCAUUGUAUUUAUUUAUGAUACCAUCUCCUUGAUUUCGUCCUUCCAAAAUAAUUUCACCAUCCAUGAAACAAUAAUAUCAGAUAUUUGGAAUAAUGAAAACCCAUCCAUUUGUCUUCAUCCAUACUAAUCUAUUCAAGUAUGAGGAAAAAAACUUUAGUUGAGAAAGAGAUUUACCCGUAACUAUGAUGCUCCAUGGUAGAUUUUGACAGUGGUGACCUCCCAUGGAAGUUAGACAUGGUCAUUCCAAUGGAUUAGGGCAUUUUAGUGGUGGACUUUGCAAGGGGAAUGGAUUUUGGCAAUUGAUAUGGUGUCAAAUGAUUUAGGGCAUUGCAAAUUUCACUAAAAACAAAAGCAUUAGGGCAACUUAAUAAUGGAUGAAGCAAGGGUUUCUCACCACGUUGGUUACUUACGAAAGCACUAAUGUUUAUAGAGAAACCUGGGAACUCUUCGAAACAAGGUUAGCUUCGAUAGACAAAGUUGGGGCUUAGGAUAAUGGCUCUACGGUAAGUCUCUGACAACUCAUCAUUUGGUCACCAUUCAUUAGUUAAUCUUAGUGAGAGCUUCAAGGUUUCGGGGUUUAUUGAGUUCUGAAAUGGUGGAGGGAAUGUUUGGCGAGCACUUGUAGAGAGGGAAAAGGUUUUAAUUAAUAUAUAUUCAGAACACACAUAUAUAUAUAUACUAUUAUUUAAUGUCACUUGAUAUAAGCACCAAUGUAAAAUAUCACAACUAUGACACUUCUAUAAAGCGUCAUGGCAUAACUAGUUAUACUUAUAAAAACCACAUCAGGCCAUGAUACUUUAAAUAAGUGCCAUGAAAUAAAUAAAUAAAAACUUCUAUAAAAAAUGACACUUUUGAAAAGCGCCAUUGUAUAUCCCAAUAUAGCGAUACUUUAUGAAAGCGCCCAGGAUUAAAGCGUCAUAAUUUUCUAUUUUUGUAGUAGUGUGAACAUGAAGUUAAAGGAAGGAAUACUAAUGACAGAUCACUUGAAUGCUUUUCAGAGUAUUGUCAAUCAAUUGGUUGCUAUGAAAAUGACUAUAGAUGAUGAGAUGUAAGCAUCCUUAUUGCUUUGUUCAUUGUCAAACAGUUGGGAAACUUUUGUGGUGAUCAUUAGUAACUCUAUUCUAAAUGGUGCAUUGUCUAUGGAGCUUGUGAAGUGAAAUUUGUUCAAUGAAGAGAAAAGAAGGAAGGCUUAUACCAUAAAAAAAACCGCAUGCUCUCAUCAUUGAAAAUAGAGGAAAAAACAGGAAUAGAGGAUAGAAAGGCCAUGACAAGUCCAAGGAAAGGUCCUAGUCUAGAAAUAAAAUAAAAUGUUUCCAUUAUGGAAAAGAUGGGCAUAUGAAAAGGAAUUGUCAUAUUUGGAAAAGGGAACAAAAUAAGUAGAAUCAGAAAAAGGAAGAUGACAAUAAUACCAUAGCCUUUGUAUAUAACAGUGAUGAAGUUUUAAGGCUCUUAGAUGAGUGUGUGCAUGUAGACGAAUAAGGAGUUGAGUGGAUUGUAGACACUAUAGCCUCCUACCAUGCUACUCCUCACUUGGAAUUGUUUUUUGAUUAUACAAUUGGAGAUUUCAGCAUAGUUAAGAUGAAAAAUUCUAGACACUCCAAGAUUAAUAUAAGAAUGGGUGGUGUUUGCUUUGAAACUAAUAUGGGGUGUAAGUUGACAUUGAAAAAUGUAAGGCCUAUUCCAUAUUUAUGCUUUCAUUUGAUGUUAGGUUUUGCCUUGGACAAGCAAGGUUAUGAAAACCACUUUGGCAAAGGCAAAUGGAAGCUCACUAAAGGCCUAUUAGUUGUUGCAAAAUGAGAAACAUGCUGCAUUUUGUAGAAUACCCAAGGGAAAGUUUGUAAUGAUGAGUUAUAUGUUAUAGAGGGUACUUCCUUAGAGUUGUGGCAUAAAAGGUUAGGCCAUAUGAGUGAGAAAGGAUUGUAAGUUUUGGAAAGGAAAUUUUUAAUUCCCUUGGCCAAAAAUGAAUCCUUAUCUUCUUAUGAUCAUUGUUUGGUUGGAAAACAACAUAGGGUUUCCUUUAGUAGCAGUUCUAAGAAGAAGUUAAAGAAAUUGGAGUAGGUAUGCUCUGAUGUUCGUGGGCCUAUGCAUGUGGAAACUCUUGGAGUAAACAUAUACUUUGUCACUUUUAUUAAUGAUGUUACCAGGAAGGUAUGGAUUUAUUUCCUUAGAUAAAAUGAUCAAGUCUUUCAGUUUUUCCUUCAAUUUCAUUCCAUGGUUGAGAGAGGGACUAAAAGGAAAUUGAAGUGUCUUAGGUCUGAUAAUAGAGGUGAGUACACCUCAAGGGAGUUUGAAACUUACUGCACUAAGAAUGGUAUAAGGCAUGAGAAAAAAAUCCUUGGUAAUCCAUAGCAUAAUGGUGUGGCUGAAAUGAUGAAUCGCAUCAUCAUUGAGAGGGUUAGGUGUAUAUUGAAGACUACAAAGUUGCCUAAGGUAUUUUGGAAUGAAGUUGCUUCGAUUGCCUGCUAUUUAAUGAACAGAUUUCCAUCAGGCCCAUUGAACUUUGAGGUUCCGAAGAAGGCAUGGAUAGGAAAAGAUGUUUCUUAUUUCCACUAGAAAGUCUUUAGGUGUAAAACUUUUGUGCGUGUUCCUAAAGAAGAAAGAUCCAAACUUGAUGAUAAAGUAGUUCCACAUGUCUUUUUUGGUUAUGGUGAUGAAAAGUUUGGAUCCAGAUUGUGGGAUCUGACCAAAAAGCAAUUGGUGAGUAGAGAUGUGGUCUUCCAAGAGAAUCAGACCUUGGGAGAUUUUGACAAAGCUAAGAAAUCCAAAGGUACAAGUGAUGAAUUUAUUGAGUUGGUACCUAUUCCUUCAUCAUUAGAGCAACCUAGAAAUGAAGAAAAGGAAAUUGAGGAGCUACCAAGAGAUGAUAGUGCAAGUGACAUACUUGCACAAGUGCUAGUUGAGCAUGAGAAACAAGAGGAGUAGUCAGUUCAUUAAGAGGGUUUGGUACCUCAGGCUAGGAGGUCUACUAGAGAGCAUCGUCCUUCUACUAGAUAUCCUUCUUCUUAGUACUUGUUAGUAAUUGAUAAGGGGUAGCCACAAAAUUUUUUAGAAGUUAAGUCUCAUGAAGAUAGUAGUAAUUGGAUGAGAGCUAUGCAAGAUGAGAUGGAUUCCUUGUAGAAAAAUGAACCUAUGAGUUGUUACAACUUUUUAAAGGAAGUAAAGCAUUGAAAAACAAAUGGGUGUACAAGUUCAAAAGGGACAAUAGUGGAAAAAUAGUGAAAUAUAAGGCUCGAUCAGUUGGUUGUUAAGGACUUUAGACAGAAAAAAAGGUGUGGAUUUUAAUGAAAUUUUAUCCCCAAUAAUGAAGAUGACUUCCAUCAAAUUUGCUUUAUGAUUAGUAGCUAUUUGAAUCUUGAGCUUGAGCAGAUGGAUGUGAAGACAACUUUUCUUCGUGGUGAUUUAGAGGAAGAAAUCUACGAGGAACAACCAGAGGGUUUUUGAUUCGCGUGAAACUCCAGUCAGGUCAUUUAAUAAAAAACAUUUAUAAAACCUAUGACCUCAUACUAGCGUAGCAAAGCUACUAUAACAUAGUGGCUCUAGGGUCGAACUCUGGGAUGGGUUUUCAUUCUACCAGUGAUAUACUCAAGAUUAGAAAUUGAAUUUAAUGAUUUCCUUUAUCAAAAACUUAAAGUUUAAAAGAAAAUAAAAUUUGUUUUGAAAGUGUUUGAAACUAAACUAACAUAAACUAAGUAAAAAUGGAAGAAAGAAAGUCUCCCGGAGCUAGAGGUUGCUAGGAUCAAGUUUAGAAUGCAAAGUGGAAAAUUCCGGAUUUUUCUCCUCGCAUUGGGGAUUUAACCUAUAGUUAUUUCCCGAACCGGUAUAGGUUUAACAAUGAAGAUUUAAUCCAUAAAAAGUCAAUAGAAAUGGUAGUCAAGGUCCAUUAAUGGCUUUAGACACUAUGGGUCUUCACCUUGAGUCACUUUCCAAUGGCUCGUACAUGAUAACUAAUGGACUGAUAUGGAUCUAGCAAUAAGCAUCCACAGAGACCUGAAGCUUACCAUGUAUUGGCCAUUCAAAGUGAUUCUAAGGGAUUUAAAGAAAAACUUUGGAUUUAGAAGCCAUUUUUGAACUCCAACUACCUGUAUUUAAUGCACGGGAGUUUUCCACCUUUGCAUCUGGACUUUUCACCUAGCUUCCUUCACUCCAAGAAACCAAAAGUUUAGCCUCUCAUCCUUCGAGAAAACAUCCUCAGAGGUUGUUUGGCUUCCAAGAAAAAGAAAAUAGUAAAGAGAAAAGGGAAACGAGAGAGCUCUCUAUUUCACUAAGUGUAAAAUAUAACAUAUAUGUUCCUUUCCUUUUCCAAGAGGUGAUUUCCACCCCUUAUAUAGUCUUUACAAAAGCAAAGCUUGUGAUUGGUUAGUUACAAGGAUAAGAAAGGAAAUUACAUCAAAAAAUACAUAGGAAAAGAUCUAAAGUGGAGUCGGCAAAAACAGAGGAAAAUUCGCACCACGCAUGGGCUGUGCGAAUUUGGAAGGUGUUGUGCGAAUUUCGCACAAGCUGAAGGUGUUGUGCGAAUUUCGCACAAGCCUGGAGCAGUUGUCUUCUGAAGGCCAUAUCUUCCUCAUUUCAACUCCAAAUUGUACACGGUUUGAAGCAUUGGAUUCUUCACUUCCUGAUAUUUGAAAUGGUAUAUAGCAUGUAGAAAAUGGACUUCGGGAAGUGCUCCAAAAGUGCGAAGGAAGACUGCAGCUGCUGUCCUCUAUUUUCUUCAUUUUCUCUUUGCUUCUCUUUGCUUCUCUCCUUUACUUGGCUUGUCUUAAUGAUCCAAAAAGCUGUCAAAACACUAAAACUAGCCACAAAUAUGAUUGAUUAGAAGUCAUUGCUAGGUCCUUAACAUGCCAAUUGGGAUAAAGAUGGAGAACUACUACACAAAAGUGCUUAAAACAUAAUGAAUUAAAGGUGUAAAAUAGCACUUUUUGGGUAGUAAUCAGUUUUGUAGCAAAAAAGAAAGAGCACUUGGUCUGCAAAUUGAAGAAAAGUCUUUAUGGGUUGAAGCAAGCUCCAAGACAAUGGUACAAAAAGGUUGACUCGUUUAUGAUGGGCCAUGACUUCCUAAGAACCAAAGCAGAUCCUUGUGUCUACUUCAAGAAAUAUUCUACUGACAGUUUUAUGAUGUUAUUAUUAUAUGCUAAUGAUAUUCUUAUUGCAGAACAAGAUGCUAAGUUGUAGAAUAAGUUGUCAAGUGUUUUUUACAUGAAGGAUCUAGGAGGUGUUAAAUAGAUUUGAGGGAUGCAAAUCACACAUGACUUGAAUUCCAAGAAAUUAUGGUUGUCUCAACAAAAAUAUGUUGAGAGGUUGCUUGAGAGGUACAAUAUGAAAGAAAAUAAGCAAGUUAGCUCUCCUCUUGGUGAUCACUUCAAGCUUAGUAGGAAAUGUUGUUUUACUUUAGAUGAAAAGAAAAAGAAGAUGAAAAAUAUUCCUUACUCCUCGGUUGUGGGGAGUUUAAUGUAUGUUAUGGUAUGCAUAAGGCCAAAUAUAGCUCAUGCAGUUGAAGUUGUGAGUAGGUUUUUGUCAAAUCUAGGAAAAGAGCAUUGGAAGGUAGUAAAAUGGAUCUUCAAGUACUUGAAAGGUAGCUUAAGCACAUGCUUAUGUUUUGGGGGAGCUCAGAUAGUCUUUGAAGGGUUUACAGAUGCAGAUAUGAUUGGUGACAUUGAUAAUAGAAGAUCUACACUUGGGUAUCUAAUCACUUUUGUAAGAGGAGCUGUGUCAUGGUAGUCUAAAUUGCAGAAGUGUGUUACUUUAUCCACAACAUAAGCUGAGUAUAUAGCAACCUGAAUGAAUGAAAGAGAUGUUGUGGUUAAAGAGUUUUCUCCAAGAACUGAAUCUAGAACAAGAUGAGUAGAUGGUUUAUUAUAAUAGUCAAAGUACCAUGGAUGUAAGCAAGAGCACCAUGUAUCAUUUCCCUAACCAAACAUAUUCAUGUAAGAUAUCAUUGGUUAAAGGAUAUAGUUGAAGAAAAGGCAACCAAGUUAAAGAAAAUUCAUAUAAACAACAAUGCCUCGAACAUGUUGACAAAGGUUGUUCCUAAACAAAAGUUUCAAUUGUGCAUUGGUAGAGCGGGUUUCAACUCCAUGUGAUGGAGUUACAAAUUGGCAUUCCUCCCUCAUGUGUUGGAGGGGGAGAUUGUUAGGCUAUGCUUGUCAGCCUAUGAGCCCAUAUAUUAGGCUAUUUUAUAUUUAGGUAUUCCCUAAGCCCUAAUAUAUAUAUAUAUAUAGCAUUAGGGCUUUGGUAUUAUGAGAGAAGGGGAUUUGAUUGAGAAAAGGAAAGAAAAUCAACGUUGUUUUUUGGGCACUGUUCUAAGCCUCAAGGGUGAAGUUAUAGGUUUCUUGAUCAACUUGUUGGGGGAAUUUAUGUAGUAUGUUUUCUCCUUGAUUUCUUUUUGAUAAUUGUUUUUGCGGUGAUGAUUAUCACCCUAAGCAUUAAGAUAUUUAUAUAAAUUUUCAAGGUGAACAAACCUAUGAUGACUUAAUUAUUGUAUUCCUAUUUUAUUGAAGUGAAAGAAAUUUUCUUUGUGGUUUUUUACUUCCAUUUGGAGGGUUUUUCCCCUUAUAUUUGGUGUCUUUUUUUUAGUUGAAUGUUCUUGGAUUAUCAUUCUUGAUUCUUGUUAGGUUAUUAUUAUUGUUGAGUGGUGGCUAUUAUUGUGGAGAAUUUUUUCUUGGCAGGUGAAUACUCUAGAUCUCUCCUUUUAUCUUCCCAACACCUUUAUCACCCUGUCAUCUAGACUACCCAUACCAGAUAGAUGCAAUAGGCUAGUUCACUGGAGUUGUCACACCCCAAAUUCUUGGCAACCCAAAAUUCGACUCGUGACCUAAGGUCAAAGGUUUGACCCUAAGGGUUACUCCUAUACACACUGGCAAUCAAUCCUGCUAAUAUGAUUUUUCUUGAAUAAAUAAACAUCUAAUCCCAAAUAAAUUUAUUAAGCUAAGAUUUUAUUAUAUGAUUUUUUUUUUCCAAAACCAAUCAUCACCUAUUCAUAAGUAUCAUAAAUCUACCAAUAAAUCCUACCACCUAAGGUGAUAACCCAAAUAUUUACACUAAUCUCUAAGUCAAAAUUAUUUCGAAAAAUAUUUUACAAACUAACAAAAUAUAAUUUAAGUUACAAAAGUUCAUAUAACUCAAAUUAAUACAUGAAAAAAGGUAAUAUAAAUUAAAAACAACCAUUAUUAUUGUUCUUUUACUUUCUUAGGCUUUCUAGAACACUUUCUGAUCUUUUUGUGGUUUCUUAGAAACUAUAUCUACAUCUAAAAAUUUUAAAAAAUAAAGGGUCGAGCAUUUCCACAUUGCUAGAUGCUGAGGAUACCAAGGCUUGGGACAAGCAAGAACUAGCCACACAUACACUAUGGUGGCCAUGCAUGCAGGUUGCAUGCACAUGAAAAGGACAGUGCAUCAAGAACUCCUUUAGCAUUUUGGAUCUUUGGCAAGCUAAAGUUCGAUGAAACAAACUAAAGAGAAGAUCGGACGGUUGUACCAUCUGUGGUUCAAAGUCGUAGUAUCGGUCACUGACUCGAAAGGUCCCAAGGCGUAUCGGUCUCGUUGUAUCGGCUUGGUAUCAGAUGAUACGUAAAAUAAGCUAAUUAGAAAAUUCAAAAAAUUAUAAAAAUAUUAUGUAAAUCAUUAGAAAAAUAUAUGCAAUUAAAUAAGCUCAAAAAAUUAAUAAAAUAAAAUUGUCUCACAUUUAACAUUAUUUAAAUAGUUAUAAAAGAAUAUGCUCAAAGUUAUUUAUGAUAAUGCUAAUAAAAGAAAAUUAUUUUAUUGCAAAUAUAAUAACAUUUUUACUAACAAACAUACAAUGCAAUAAUCAAUUCCAUGUUGUGACAAGGGGGUUCAAAAUCAUCAUCAUUAGAGUCCUAUGACGAGUAUACAAAUUGGGAUGACAAUUCUCGUAGUGAGGAUGUGGUUGAAAGAGUUGUUCAUAACUCGAAUAUGUUGGCUGAGGUGAUUGGCUUGAUGAUCCAUAAUCAAGAAAAUAUGGUUUCGAAGGCUGUUCGGGAUUAACACCAUAUUGAUAGCAUCUAAAACCUCGAUAAGCAAUGCUACUACUAGUAGAAGAUUGAUCAUAUCCAUAGGAAUCAUUAGCUCGUGUUCCAGUAUUUGAAUAUCCCUUUGGAUGCAUCAUUGGAAAUCAAACAAAAUAAUUUGUACUAAAAGUACUGGAAGAGCUAUCAUGGUCUCUAAAGUUGUGAUAUGAUCUAUCAUCUACCCCUCUAAAAUACAACCUUGAUCCUAUACCCAAAUUCUGUAAGGGCUCAUCAAUAUGGUGAUAAUUUGAUCUAUGAUAAUCAUGCCCACUAGAAUAAUCAUCAUCGUUAGGAAAUGUAGUUAGUCUUUCCAAAUGCUUUCGUUGUUCUCAUAUCCUCGGUCAAUAUCGAUGAUCUCUAUCUUAUGUGGCAUAGCAAUUUUCAUUUCCUUGUGCCCAUGACAUGUCAGGAUCUACUUGACUAACAUAACCACCCCUAGUGCUACCAUAUCCUCCAGUACCCUCACCAGUGCCACCGACUCCUCUACUGCCCCCACUAGUGCCACCACCCCGCCUAUUGCCCCCCCCCCCAUUGUCACCAUCAUCACUACUAGAACUUGAAGAAGUUUUUCUAGGAGCCUUACCUUUAUGACAUGAAUCAAUAUCUCUUUCUUGUGUAGCAUUACUUGUACACCUACUAAAUCUACGAUUUGUGGCACCAUCAUCUUCAUGAACUGUUUCUCUACCUUCUUCAUUAGUGGGAAGACCUUUAUCCAGCCAAUCCAAAUUAUCAGAUGAUAAAAUAGGCUCCUCUCAUUCUCGUAUCCACUCAUCUAAUAUAUCAUCAUGAUUAAAGAUAUGAUUCAGAUCAAUUGGAUUGUAUAAAUCUUCAUUGUUUCACUCUUACAUCAAAUUCUUAACUCGAAGUUGCCUAUUGUAGUGCACAUAAACUAACUUAUGCAACUUUUUCAUUGCCAAACGAUUGCGCAACUUUGUGUGAAUUAAUGACCAUGUGCUCCAAUUUCUUUCACAGCCUGAUGAAGAACAAGUUUGGCUUAAAAUUUUAACAACAAUGUUUUGGAGAUGUGGACCUUCGUCGCCAUAGUUGUUCCACCAUUCAUCUAUAAUAAAGAAAAUGCAUACUUAUUAAUCACUAUGAUAUAUUUAACAAAAAAUGAUGAUAAUUUCUUAUUAGUAAUAGACGUAAAUGUAUUGAGUACCUGGAAGAGAUUGAUUUAUUACUUUCUUUGUAAGUGCACUUCCAAAUUCUCCUUGGCCAUCAACAAAUAAUUUCACCUACAUCAUUAACAGUUUUUUUUGUUAAUGCACAUUGCAUAUACAAAAUGUAUUAUAUAAAGGUCACAAACUAUUAUUAUACCUUGUUAAUAGCUUUUGCUUGUCUAUCCAAAUAUGGCUCUAAUCUCUUGAUAACCUCCUUUAAUCCAAUUUAAUUUCUAAAUGGUUGGAGAAAUACUUUGAAUAUUGGAACAUUAGAUUUAAAAAAUAUGUUGCCAUAAGUUAAAUAAUGAUCAAUUUAUAAUAAUUUGUACUUGAAAAAAAUAAUAAAAAACAUAUAAAGAAUUUUUUUAUUACUUACAGCAUACAAAUCUCUGUGCAAUUGACCUUCCCACCUUCUAUCAAUGACUUCCCAAUACUUUUUCCAUUGCUUAAUCGAUGUCUUGAUAGCCAAUUUAGCGCUAUCCAUUGCUUCAUAAAUGACUGAUAGUGUGGGCUUUUUAUCUUGAUCAACUAAUUUCAAUACUUUGACGAGAGGUUCCAUGAUGGUUUGAACUUCCCCUAUCUUAUUCCAAAAUUGAUCAGUUAAGAUAAGGUUGGAUACCUUAUCUCUUAGAAUUUUUCUGCUCCCAUCUUUAUUGAAUUCACGCCACUCAUUUGUUGUGCACAUUCUCUUCAAAUCAGCCUCAUAACAUAUAAGACUCUCAAGUGAAAUGAAUUCAGUGGCAAAACGGGUUAUUCUUGGCCUUAAUAGAUCUCUAUCCUUGGUGAACACUUUCAUCAAAUUCACUACUUUCAAGCUAUUAUAAAUAAAUCAUGUGAUCAUCUUAGCUUGAUCUAAUGUCUCCUUAAUCUGCUUCAUGAUUGCAAUAUCUUCAAGUAUUAAAUCAAUAUAGUGGGCUACACAAGGAGACCAAAACAAAUGUUUUUGCUUCUCCAUCAACAACAUAAUGGCUGCUUUAAAACUUGCCUCGUUAUUAGUGACUAUUUAGACAACAUUUUCCUCCCCAACCUCCUCUACAACUUUAUCCAUAAGGGAAAAAAUGUAGUCUAUUGUCUUAGGUAUGUUGGUAGUAUCAACGAAAGAAUGGUAUAUCAUACUUCUAUCACAACAAAUCAUGAAAUUGAUGAUAGGCUUUCUAGUCCUAGAACUCCAACCAUCACACAUGAUUGUGCACCCAUAUAUAGGUCAUUUAGCCUUCAAUGUUGUUAUAUAUACCUCAAGCUCUUGCACCUUCUCUUCCAAAUAUGUAUUUCCAAUUUUCUAUCCCGUGGGAUCCUUGAUGCUUGGACCUACUUUUGCUAUGGUAUCAAUCAUUGAUUGAUAGCAAGGCCCACUGUCAACUGCAUUAAAGGGUAUUACAUUAAAGAGAAAGAAUUUAGAAAUAGUUUUGCCCACUUUCUUCAUGCCUUCAGUAGAAAAUAAGCUUUUUAUUGAUUUCUGCUUUGAUGGGAACAUGUAGGGAUCAAUUCCUUUUGGAGGUGUGCUAGCUCCUUCUCUUACAUUGAAGCUACAUGUUAGUCCAUGCUUAAUCAAAGCAUUAGAAGGUUGUGAGGAACUAGUACCCUUUUGAUGCUCUUGUCUACCUUCUUCAAAAAUUUGACUACUUUCUUUCAUUGCUUGUUUCAUUUGUCUUCUUUCAAAUUCAGUCAUAGCAACUUCCUCAAUUUCAUAGAAAUUUUCUUUAUUCAAGGAAAUCAAAAGUCGUUCUUUUUUUUUUCUUUAACUGUGCUUUUUCUUUUGAAGUAUCAGACAUAUGUUGUCUAACACUAUGUGUCACUUUUACUGGUACACGUGGACAUCUUUCCACUUGUCCAAAUAUAUGUACGAUGUGUUACUUUAAUCUUGUUAUACCGCCAUGUAUAACUUUCCCACAAUAUUCACACUUCGUGGUUCUUCUACUACCACCAACAGGUUCUACAUGCUCUCAACCGAUAACAUGUUUUGAAGCCAUUUUGAAAUUUUAACCUAACCAUGUAUAAAAGGAAAACAACUUAUUUUUCAAAUUAAAUAUAUAUAAACACAUUUAUAUAAGAAUUAUAACAUUCAAUUUUCCACUCAUAUGUUUUAUAUUGUUACCAAAUAAAAAUAAAUUAUACUAAAAAGAGCAAUAAACACGAUCUCACCUAAGUUCACCAUAUUUUAUUUUCCACUUAUUUAUAUUUUUUUAAUUAAAAUAAAUAAUAGUUAAAUAAAUGAAUAUUUUUGUAAAAAAAUUUCUUUUUAAAAAGUUUGUUUUGAUAAUUAUUGAUUUCCUAUUGUAAUUUAAUUGUAUAAUAUUACAAAAUAAAAAAUCUACAUGAUAUAAUGAAGUAAAAUUGAUUCAAAUAUAAAUGUAAUUUCUCUAUACCAUGUAAAUACACACCAUUGAAUCUGUAUUAUUAAAUCAUUACUUUUAUAGUUAUGAUUAUUUGAAAAACCAAAUUGUUUUAAAUAAUUAUUAAUUUUCUAAUGUAAUUUAAUUUUGUAGUAUUAUAAGAUAAAAACAUAAAUUAAAAAUACAAUAUCUAUAUCACAUAAAGUUUACCAUAAUGUAUUUUAUAUUAAGAAAUAUAAUUUUUAUACCAUGCAAAAAUAAUUUAGUGAACCAAUUUAUUGUUUUGAUAAUUGUUGAUUUCCUAUUGUAAUUUAAUUGUAGAAUAUUAUAAAAUAAAAAGUCUACAUGAUAUAAUGAAGUAAAAUUGAUUCAAAUAUAAAUGUAAUUUCUCUAUAUCAUGCAUGUAAAUGCAUAGCAUUCAAUCUAUAUUAUUAAAUCAUUACUUUUAUAGUUAUGAUUAUUUUGAAAAAAAAAAUAAAUAAAUAAUCAUUAAUUUUCUAAUGUAAUUUAAUUUUGCAAUAUUAUAAGAUAAAAACAUAAAUUACAAAAAAUGAUAUCUAUAUCAUAUAAAGUUUACCAUAUAAAUGUAUCUUAUAUUAAGAAAUAAAUUUCUAUAUCAUACAAAAAUAAUUUAAGUGAACUAAUUUAUUGUUUUGAUAAUUAUUGAUUUCCUAUUGUAAUUUAAUUGUAGAAUAUUAUAAAAUAAAAAAUCUACGUGAAGUAAAAUUGAUUCAAAUAUAAAUGUAAUUUCUCUAUACCAUGUAAAUGUAUACCAUUCAAUCUGUAUUAUUAAAUCAUUACUUUUAUAGUUAUGAUUAUUUGAAGAAAAAAAUUGUUUUAAAUAAUUAUUAAUUUUCUAAUGUAAUUUAAUUUUAAAAUAUUAUAAGAUAAAAAAAUAAAUUAAAAAUACAAUAUCUAUAUCAUAUAAAGUUUACCGUAUAAAUGUAUUUUAUAUUAAGAAAUAUAAUUUCUAUACCAUACAAAAAUAAUUUAGUGAACCAAUUUAUUGUUUUGAUAAUUAUUGAUUUCCUAUUGUAAUUUAAGUGUACAAUAUUAUAAAAUAAAAAGUCUACAUGAUAUAAUGAAGUAAAAUUGAUUCAAAUGUAAAUGUAAUUUCUCUAUAGCAUGUAAAUGUAUAUCAUUCAAUCCGUAUUAUUAAAUCAUUACUUUUAUAGUUAUGAUUAUUUGAAAAAAAAAAUGUUUUAAAUAAUUAUUAGUUUUCUAAUAUAAUUUAAUAUUUCAAUAUUAUAAGAUAAAAACAUAAAUUAAAAAUACUAUAUCUAUAUCAUAAAAAGUUUACCAUAUAAAUGUAUUUUAUAUUAAGAAAUAUAAUUUCUAUACCAUACAAAAAUAAUUUAGUGAACCAAUUUGUUGUUUUAAUAAUUAUUGAUUUCCUAUUGUAAUUUAAUUGUAGAAUAUUAUAAGAUAAAAAAUCUAAAUGAUAUAAUGAAGUAAAAUUGAUUCAAAUAUAUAUAAAUGUAAUUUCUCUAUACCAUUUAAAUACAUACCCUUCAAUCUGUAUUAUUAAAUCAUUACUUUUAGAGUCAUGAUUAUUUGAAAGAAAAAAAAUAUUGUUUUAAAUAAUUAUUAAUUUUCUAAUGCAAUUUAAUUUUUCAAUAUUAUAAGAUAAAAACAUAAAUUAAAAAUAUAAUAUCUAUACCAUAUAAAGUUUACCAUAUAAAUGUAUUUUAUAUUAAUAAAUAUAAUUUCUAUACCAUAUGAAAAUAAUUUAGUGAACCAAUUUAAUAUUAUAAGAUAAAAAAUCACAUAAUUUAAUAAAUUAAAAAUAUAAUCUCUAUAUAAAAUAAAAACAUUACAUAUAAAUAUAUUUAAUAUUAUCAUAAUAUAUAUAAAUAUAUCGGACUCAUUGCGGCUGGCGUUGAGGCGGAUACAACUCAGCCGAGUUGUAUCGAACUUGGCCAAUUUUUUGAACCCUGGUUUAAAUAGUGAACUUCGGUUUCCCAAAACUUAAAAAAAAUAUUUAAACCCCAAAGCUUAAGGUUCCAAGAAAAACCCCAAAAUGAAUUCAUUUAUGUGAUACCCAGUUCUCCAAAAUAGACCCAAAAGGGUAAAAGAUCUAGAAAUCUAAAACCCAACUAAACAAGGGUGUGUUUAAGCCUUAACUAGAAUAUACACACCUUCGAAUCUCUAAGGAGAUUCAACGAAACAUAUCUUUGGGUUAUUGGGAUCCAUCAGAAAGCACAUUGUCUCAAGAAAGGCUCUGCUAUCAUUUAUAUAGCGGUCCGGAUCCAAAAUCAGAAUUGACAUCCCUUUAAUAAGAAUUCACGGUUGAAUCAAAUCAUUCCUGGCAGAACAUGACCAAAUUUACAAGACCCUCUGGUCUCAUUUUCAUCCUUGAAACCAAAUAAUCAUAGACUGAUAGUACUGUUAGAGGCAUUCCGAAGAACCAAAACAAGUAGGUUGUAAAGCUCCUUCAUCAUGGUGAUCUAACUACUAGCCCUCUCUAAAUCUUUGAAACAGGGUGAGAUUGGUGUUUGAGAAGAAGGUUUGCAUGUAUGGACCUAGUGUCAGACUCGAUCUCCAUGGCAAUGGCUCGCACCCAUUCGCGUAGUCUUUUGUGCUAUUCCAAUUGAUAGGUGAAGCUCUCAAAAUACUUGUCCAUAGAGGAAGGUAUGGUAUGAAGGCGUAUCAUGAAGCCAAGCAUGAUAGUUUUCAUAUACUCCCUACAUAUGCUCUAAUUUUUAUCAACAAGCACCGAGUGCUAUCUUAUAUUCAUCCAUCUCAGUUUCCUCAUCCUCAAAUAUAGCAUCAGUAGGCGAAUCAUGAUCAUCAUAUUCUCUGCUCUUCUCAUUGACAUCUCCUUUGGGCUUCUUCUAGCACAGGGCCUCCCCUUCUUUAUCCUCCUAAAUUUCAACUCAUAUGAAACGUUUACAAAAUAGUCACUAGAAAACUAGGAGGAAGAGGCCAAAACAAGUAUAAUGGAGAAUAGAGAAAACUAGAAGAGAAUAAACAGGCAAAAUAAAAAUCAAAUAAAGCCACAUCUCAUGAUUUUUCAAUGGGCUCAUACUAGUGGAAAAAAUCACAAACAAAUUCAAAGCAAAAGUGCAACCAAUAACUCUAAAUGCCCCAUAGUGAACUUGAUAAAGAGCCUUACCAAAUUUCAAGUCAAGCCAAGGAAACAAAAGAGGAAGAAACAACAACAAAUAUGUAUGAACAACCCAUAAAUUAACAGAGAAUCAAGUAAGGUAGUAUUAAAAAUGAGAAAACGCAAGGGUUCACAAUGAACAUACUUGGAAGUCCUCUGCUUCUCCAAAAACCAACGAGCUCCUCUUCUCUUUGACCAGACCCCUAUAACCCAAAUGAACUCCCUCUCCUCUUCAAUGUGUGCUCAAAGUUGAAAACCUCUCCUACCCUCCAAAACCACCAGCCCGUGUUUUUAUGGUAAUUGGCAGCCGUCCAUCAUGAGGAGUCCUCCUCUCUCCAAAUUCUAUGUCUUCUCCACCAGAAAAAUCCUUUUGAAUUUCAAAAACCAAUCCAUGCAUAUCACCUAAGGAGUUCCACCACUUUCAAAAACUUCCUCAUCCAUGUUCAACUCUCCAAAGGUGAUCUUCAAUAACACCCAAAAGAGUUUUUUCCUUCUCAAAGUCUUACAAAAAUCAACUCUUUCUUAUCCAUUGGUAAAUUUCCCUAUAAAAACAUAAAAUUUUUAUAUCAAACAAAUGAAUAAAAAUUUUAGAUAAUGAUAAAAUAUUAAUAAUAAUAAAUAGAAAAAUAAAAAUAAAUAUAAUAAAUAAAUAAAUAAAUAAAAGUGAUUGAUAAUAAUAAAAAAUAAAAAUAAAUAAAUAAGUAAAUAAAAAAAAUAAGCCACGCAAGCCAUGCAACCAUGUAAGUCAUACAAGUCAUGCUAAGAAUGUCUAAUGGGCCCAGUGUGCCUAAGUGAGCUAAGUGGGUCUAAGUGACCUACGUAGGCUUAAGGUGGUGCCUAAUGAGCCCAAUGUACCUAAAUGGGCCUAAGGUGAGCCUAACCGAAUCUAACCUAAAGUGCACCUAAGAAAAAGUCUAAUCUAAACUCAAAUGGCAGCCAAAGUCACAAUGAGGAGCCAGAUAAACCCUCAACCAAAGUUUCUAAGGUGGCUUAGAAAAUAUAAACUACAUGAGAAGUAAUGGGCCACCAGGGAAUCGCUAUAAGGUACCAAACGAAUACCUAAUAGGACAUGUGAUAGGAAGACAAAAUGGAGGGUCUACAAAUAUGCCCAUCCUCGGUAGAGAUCACAAGUGUAGGAAAUGUGAGUAGAAAUACAAAUAAUGAAUGGAAUGAGCAAAAAAAAAACACUAGAGAUUUUGUCCUAGCACAUGACAAAGGUAAGCUUGGAACAUAGGGUCGCAAUGACAAGGAUGAAACAACUCUAUGUGGGGGAAAUGACAAUGAAGGGAAAAAGGGUAUGUAAUGAGUAGCACAAAGAUGAAAGGGGUGAAAAAAAGGACUCAAGGUCAUGGAUGAGAUGAAUGGCUUUAAGUCAUGGACAAGAUGAACGACUUUGGAUCAGAAAUAGGAUAAACGAAUCUAGGUCAAGAGCACAGGACCCUAAAUAUAAAUAAAAACCCUAGGUCAUGGAUGAAAUAAAAGACUUUGGGUUAGGAACUCUAGGCUUUAAGUGCUAUGAAUGACUCUAGGUCGAAAGCUUAGGGCUUUAAAUGCUAUGGAAGACUCUAGGUCAGAAGCUUAGGGCUUUAAAUGCUAUUAAUGACUCUAGGUUAGGGACAAGAAUAACAACUCUCGGUCAUGAGCUUAGGGCUCUAAAUGCUAUGGAUGACUCUGGGUCAUAAAUUAGAAGAACGACACAGGGUCUUAAGCUCAAGGCUCUAAAUGGAUAGUCGAUUAGGAUGCUUUUUAACUCAUGGUGUCAAGUUAAGACCACUCAUAGGUGGCUAGAAUGAUGAAAACAAAACAUCUUAGGGAUGUAAAGGAUACGAACGACUCUAGGUCGUGAGCUCAAGGUUUGGAAUGCUAUGAAUGACUCUAGGUCAUGGAUGAAAUCAGUAACUUCGAGUCACGAUGAAUAGCUCAGGGCCAUGGAUGACAUGAACGAAUUUGGGUCAUGAUGCAAUGAGUAACUUUGGGUCACAAUGAAUAGCUCAGGGCCAUAUGAAUAGCUCAUGGCUAAGAGCUCUAGGCUCUAAGACUAAUCUGCUAAGAGGAGAAUGCAAUAUGCAAACCCCAGGUCAAACCACUCAUGAGUGACCAAAUGAUGAAGGCUUAGCUCAGAGUUGGAAAGGUUUUGAGUCUUAAGAAAAUGAUAGCUCUAGCUUACCAGACUGAGAGCCUAAAAGGAAAAAUGAUAGCUUAAGGCUACUAAGUUCAAGGUCUAUAAUGAAUGGAUAGUUCAGGGCUAUGAGACUUAGGGCUUAAGAGAAUUCAAACUCAAGUUUAUAGUGGUUCGGCACUUCCUUGCCUACGUCCACUCUCCUCAACCUCCUAACCGAGUGAGGGUUCCACUAACUUGAAGCUUCAACCAAGCUUCCAAUCUUCUUACAAUUGGAUUUGGCUCUAAUGGGCUCUUAGACAACCUCUUCAAGAUUCAACCCUCUUGAAGGCUUUAACACUCAGAUUUUUACAAGAUAUAUUCCCUCGACCUAGCUUAAGGAUAGCUCAAAUACAAGACAAAGCUAGGAUGACACACAAGAGUGCUCUAAAGGAUAUGCAAGUGGUGAUUUAAUGCACUAUGAAAGAAAUGAGAGCUUUUUUAUCAAGAACAUGUAGGUAGGCUAUUGAAUGCAAGUGUUCUCUAGUCAAUAAAUGAAGUGGAGCUCUCAAUUUAUAGUUUUCCAAGCUUGGGAGUUAAAAACAGCAAAAGGUAACCUCGUCCAGUCGAGCUAGGGGUCGACCAGUUCACUAGCCGUUGGAGCAUUUAAUGCAUGGCAGGUUAUCGUUGCCUCAACCGGACCUCGACCGGUCCUCGGCAGAACAUCGACCAGUAAGAGAAACACCUUGACCGAGAAGAGAAAGUUACUGAGAGAGAAAAGGUUUUUGACCUCCCUCGACCGGACGAGCACAACCGGUCGACCGAUUCCUCAACCGGUUGAGCCUUUUUGGCCCUGAAAACCUUUUUUUUAAUUCCUUUCUUCUCUAACACUUAGGCAAGGUCUUUAGGUAAAUUAUUAAGCCAAUUUUGAAACAUUUUGCCUAAGGUACAUUAGUUAAAAACUCGGGUUUUAAUGAAAUCGACAUUUUAAAGAAUAAACCGAGUUUUCAAAGAUGCAUGAAACGUGUGAAAAUCCUAAGUGCACUUAUGCAUUCAUCUUACAUUAGUUUCCUAUUAUCACAAGUCUUCCAAGCGUCUCGAUCUUGUAUCCAUUUGGUCAUUUGAUGAAUUUUCGAGUUUAUACCUGAGAUUCUUAAUCAUUAAACCAAUUAGUCACUUAACCAUGGUUUGUUAUCAUCAAAACCUGAUUAGGAGAACCCUUGGGCUAACAAAAAAGAUGGCUCAAGGCUAUGGGGCUCCAGACCUAAGAAAAAAGGGCCGCUCGAGGCUAUAAGGCUUAAGGCCUAAAAGGAAAGGAAUAAUGCAAACUAACUUAAAAGCGAAUAGGAAAGAAACGGACUUUGAGUUGCAGGCUCCAAAUGCCAAGAAUCACACUAUUAGGCUUAGGAAGGAAAAUAUGCCCCAGUAUCCAAGGUACUUGCAUUGUUGAGACAAAUAGUAAAUCAGUCAUCUGCUGAAAUCAAUGGGUUGGAAAUCAAUACAUCAUGGUGAGAAUCUUUGAAAAAUCUGAAUUGAAAGAACUCUUUGUGUCUUAAAAGUUGCUCUAUUGACAAAUCUUAAAAGAUAAAUCUCGAAGUGUGUACAUCACAAUUCAUCUAAAAAAACAAAGCUCAAAGUGCACAAAAUACUACUCAUCUGGAUAACCUAAUCUACAAGGUAGCUAUGACGAAAAUAAUUUAUCCCAUAAACGCUCGACUAGAGAAUCCAUCAAUGCUCCUCAGGUGAAACCUAAUGUGAUCCAUCUCUAUCUCAAUGAAAUCAUGUAGGGAAGUCUUAAUAUCAUUAAUCGUUGGAAGUCCCAAACUAGUGCUCAAUCUAAAACGAAGUUGGUCGUUGUCUCAAUCUUAAGGAUACUCAAAGAAAAAAUGGGGAAAUAUGCCCAGUAUAAGACCUGAUGUCAAAGUGAUGAGGUAAAUCAUCCAUCCUCAUACCUCUACCCAAAUAAAAUCUCAUCAAGGAGAAGGGAAUAUGCCCCAGUAUAAUAUCUGAUGUCAAAGUCAUGAGGUAAACAACCAAAAAUGAUCAAGGAGAGGAGAAUAUGCCUUAGUAUAAAUAUCUAAUGUAUAAUAAAGAAUCUACCAACAUCAAUCAAACAUCUCUAUAACUAUGAAUAAGGAUAGCCAUACAACCCAACAACUAAUAGGGAUCUCAAUGUAAGAAGGGAAUAUACCCCAAUGUGGAUAUCUGAUGCACAAUCGAAAGGAUGAAUCCAAUAUCUUGAAUCAACUAUCUCUAAACUCAAAAACAAAAAUCUAUCAACCAUCAAUAUGCCAAGCAAGAGGAAGAAGUCGAAUGUCUCUACAAGCAUCAUCCAUAAGAGAAAACAUAGUAGCAACUAUACUUCAACCAAUUUUCAAAAGCCUUCCCAAGUGAAGACUCUCAAAGAUAACAUUUGAUCUCAUGGCCUCAAGGUGGUCUUAAGACAUGAGACGCAAUGUAGGCCAGGGUGAAUAGAUAAAGAAACGAAAAGAAACUAAACUCAAAUACCCAAUGAUCGAACCUAUACCUUUAUGUAUAAUGUACAACACAUAGGAGAAUCUCAUGAGCAUGUGAACUUAAGAGUAGUCGAUGGAAAUAUCGUUGGUGAAAUGAAAAAAGAGAAGAAGUGAUCAAGCCAUCAAUGGAUCAUGUAAAUGAUGUGAAGAAAGCUGUCAGGUCAGGAAUGUGCAUCGGUGUUGGAAUGGGACGAAAAAAUGGAAUAAAUAAUAGAAGAGAAAUUAUGGGAAAUCAAAUGAAGCUAGUGAGAAAGCAAAAAAAUGACGAUCAACACAUAUCAAUACAAUAAAAGAAAAUCAUAUCACCAAUGGUAGAACGAUGGAGAAGACACUGAUUCGAAGACCCUAGUGAAAGGUUACUCAACUCUCAUACCCACAAUGUAUAUGAACUUUGAUCCAAGAGGCAAAUGAUCUCAUAAAACUCUCGCAACAACUCUCAUCACCCCUUAAUGCAUAACAAAAGUGACUUAAGGAGUGAAAAGCCCUCAUGGAAAACUCACAUGAACCCUCCAUGAUAAAUAAAUCCAAUGAACAACCCUCAAAUAGCAACAAAACAAUGGAGUAGGAUACCAUAUACGAACAUAACACUGUGCUUUUUCUUACUUUUUUUUGUUCUUUUUUUUUUUCUAAAAUAAACAAAUGUGAAUACUCUAACCAUCAAUGAAUCAUGCCCCAAUGAGGAAAGAUAUAAAGAAUGAGAAAACUCUCCCCAAUCACUAAUGAAAAUGUGAACCCCCACCUAGGAGAUAACCUCUCAAGCUAAAAUCUUAGAAUCAAUGCCAAAUGAUGGGAUGAAUGGAGUGAUAUGACUGUCCUUUUUGCACCAAGAUGUGAAUAAUUAUCAAUCCAAGGGAGCGAAGAGAUAAGAUGAAACAAAUAAUGAUAAAAAAAAGGAAAAUAAUGGAGAAUGAUAAAAAAAAUGACAGAACCGUGAGAUGGGGUGAUAAUAUCAAGGAUGAGGAAAGUAGGCUUAUAAGUCCAAAGCUCAUGAGACUUUCCUAGCAAAGCAUACCUAUACAUCAAGAAGGCCCCAACCCAAGUGUAGAAAUGGUAAGCAAGGCUAUAAGAGAGAAAAAGGCUAUAACAUACCACAUAAGACUCAAUGGGCUAGCAACGAUCUAUAUAUAUCGAUAGAGGUGAUAAAGUGUAAGGCUAACUGAAAUGAUGGCCACCCAUCCUACAACCAUGGUCUCAAAUGUAAUACUUCUUCAACUGAUCCACAUUAGUCGAUUUUGAGAACUGGUUUCCAUCUAGAUUUGUCAACCAUGUAGCCCCAUCUACAAUCAAAUCUAGAAUAACAUAAGGCCCACUCUAACUAGGUCUGAACUUUUCUCUAAGGUCUCUAACCAAAUCCUCUCUCUAUAAUGGUCUUAACUUGACCCGUUUCUUAAAGGUAUGGGCCAUCUUCCUCUGAUAAGCCUGAACAUGAUAUGUUGCUCUCAAUCUCUUCUCAUCUAAAAGGUUAAGCUAAUUAAGUCGAGCCUGAGCCCACUCUGUUCCAGAAAUCUACUGCUCAAGAACUACUCUCAAUGAACCCAUCUUUGUCUCAAUUGGCAAAACUGCCUUCAUACCAUACACCAAAGACUAAGGUGAAGCUCUUGUAGAGGUGCAAAAGGAGGUACGGUAUGCCUAUAAUGCAAAAGGGAUUUUCUCCUACCAGUCUCAAGAUUUCUUGACCAUCUUGCUAAAAAUCCUAUUAAUUUUCUUAUUUGUAGCCUCUAUUACCCCAUUAGUCUAUGGCCUGAAUGCAGAUGAUUUGUGAUGCUGGAUGCCAUACCUCUAUAACAAAGUGUCAACCUCAGCUUGAAAGUGUACCCCUCUAUCUAAAAUCAACUUGUGAGGAGCCCCAUAACAACAAAUGACAUGUGAUCUGAUAAAACUAACAACUCUAGCAAAUGUCAACCUUGCAUACAAUGCAGCUUCCACCCAUUUGGUGAAAUACUUUAUGGCGACUAGGAUGAACUCAUGACCUUUGGAAGAUUUUGGUGAGAUCUUCCAAAUAAUUUCAAUACCCCAUAUUGAAAAUGGCCAUGGUGAGGUCAAAGCAUGUACCUCUAAUGGCAGUGCAUGAAUGAGAUCACCAUGUAUCUGAAACUCUAGGCAUCUUUGAACAAAUUGACAAUAAUCUGUCUCCAUAGUUAUCCAGAAAUAACUUGUCCUCAUAGUCUUAUGGGCUAGCAUGUGUCUUCCCAUAUGUGAACCACAAACUCCUACGUGAACCUCCUCAUCACACAGCUUGCGGAAGCUUGAUCUAAACAUAAUAGAAGCAUACCAUCAGUUGAUCUCCUACAUAGGAUCUCCCCACAAAUCACAAAUCUAGUGGUCAACUACCUCAAUGCUCUCCCAUCCUUGGCUGUGGCUACCUCAUGUUAUGUGCCAAAUUUGAGAAACUGAUAAAUGUCAUGAUACCAAGGUAGAUCAUUUCAUACCUCUAUUUCUCCAAUAAGAUAAUAGUUAGAAGGUGCAUACCUCAACUCAAUCAGCAAUGGACAUAUAUCCACAUCAGUUCCACAGAAGAAGCUAGGGUAGCUAAGGCAUCAACAAACUGGUUUUGCAAUCUAGGCAGAUGAAUAUAUCUCAAGUCCUCGAAUAUCCCAAUGAGUAACUCUAAAUAGGUGUGAUAUAACCUAAGCUUUGCAUCCUUAGUCCUCCAAUCUCCCUGAAUCUAUCUGAGUACUAGAUUAGAGUCACUAAACAUCUCCAUUUUUCUUAUGCUAAGCUUCAGUGCAGUCUCUAAAUCGAGGAUACAAGCCUCAUACUCAACAAUGUUGUUCGUGGAAGGAUGUCGAUCUGAAAAUGCCAAAUGAGCAGACCUCAGAAUAUGAUCACCUUGAAGGGAUACCAACAAAACACCUAUUCUAUACCCUGAGUGAUUAGCUACACCAUCGAAGUACAUGCACCAACUUGAUAAGCUAGUCAUAGCAAUAAACUCCUUAUCUAGAAAGUUAUCAUCAACUGGUCUGCUCUCAGAUAUCAGUAAUGAGACCAAGUGAUCGGUGACAAUGCUCCCCCUAAUAGACUUUUGAGAAACGUACUAGAUAUCAAACUCCGUUAAAAAUAUAAGCCAUCUGAUAAAUCUACCAGUCAAUACGGGUUUGUCAAAUAAAUAUCUUAACAGAUCUAGGCAAGAAUUCAGAUGCACUGAGUACUCUGUCAUGUAAUGCCUCAAUCUCUUCAUGAUCCAAACUAGCGCUAAACAAAGGUGCUCAAUCAUAACAUAUCACAUCUCAUACUCUAGCAUCCUCUUACUCAGAUGAUAAAUAGCUUACUCCUUCUCUGAGUCAUCAAGUGGAGCUAACAUACAUCCUAAGGCCAUAUCUGAAACUACUAAGUGUAGAAGAAGUGGACGUCUUGGUAUAGGAGGUACUAAAACUGGAGGGGAAAGAAAAUACUCCUUAAUCCUCUCAAAAGCAAGCUAGCAAUCAUCAUUCCAAACUGUUGGCUAGUUUUUCCUCAAAAGACGAAAGAUAGGCUCACAUAUGUUUGUCAAUCUAGUUAUGAAAUGACUGAUGUACUAUAACUUGUCUAGGAAACCCCUUAUUGUUUUCUUAGUCUUUGGCAUGGGCAUGUCAAGUAUGGCUCUAAUUUUAUCUAGGUCAACCUCUUUGCCUCGCUCACUGACCUUAUGCCCCAACAAUUUCCCAAAAGUCACUCCAAAAGUGCACUUCUUAGGGUUUAAACUCAAUCUGAACUUUUGGAUCCUCUCAAAGAAUCUCUUUAAAGAUAUUAGUUAAUCUGCUCUAUCUCGAGAUUUCAUAAUCAUAUCAUCCACAUAUACCUUAACAUCCUUAUGCAUCAUGUCAUAAAACAAAAUGGUAGCGACCCUUUGAUAAGUGGCUCCUGCAUUCUUCAACCCAAAUAGCAUAAUCCUAUAACAGUAGGUAUCCCACUCAAUGAUGAAGGUUGUCUCCUCCAUAUCCUUUAGAGCCAUCAAAAUCUGAUUAUACCUAGAAAAACCAUCCAUGAAAGACAACAUUGAAUGACCUACAAUGCUAUCAACCAACAAAUCAAUAUGUGGGAGGGGAAAGUCACCCUUAGGACUAGCUUUAUUAAGUUCUCUAAAAUCAACACAAACUCUAACCUUGCCGUCUUUUUUAGGAAUAGGGAUAACAUUAGUCAACCACUCUAGAUAUUCAACCACUGAUAUAAAACCAACAUUAAGUUGUUUUUGAAUCUCCUCUUUCACUUGUAGGCUCCAACAUGGGUGUAAUCGCCUCAACUUCUACUUAAUUGAUCUAACAUGUGGCAGAAUAGGCAAAUGGUGUUGAACUAUGGAGGAAUCAAGGCCAAGCAUGUCCUCAUAAGACCAUGCAAAGACAUCCAAGUAUGACCUGAGUAAAUGAAUAAGUUUAUUCCUCUCAUCUGUAAGUAGGGGUAAACCAAUCUUCAACUCUCUAGGUUGAUCCUCUAGACCAAAAUAAACAGUUUUAACAUCCCCUGUAGCAGGUGAAACUUUCUCGUCUAUGGGAUCUAAGUCAUGAUAGAAAGAAUCUCUAUCUGAAUCAGGCUAUGCAAUCUCAUCAUCUAUAUCAAAUAUCUAUAAAGUGGGUAAGUGGGGUGCAGAUAUAGAGAUACUAUCAUAAGAGACAGAAGAAUACUAAAAAAAAAAAAGAAAAUACUCAAACCUAUAAAUGAAGUAAUAGAAACAUUAUCAAAGCAGGAGACAAAUCCUGAUAAAACAUCAAAGGAAAGAGGUGGGUCCACAAGGUCGAACGCUCCCUCAACUAGGCUAACAGUGCCCUCAAAUAAACUACUAUCAUCCUUUAAAGCUCUAGAAAAAUGAUAGUCUAGAUCUCCUCAACAACCUUAAUGGUAGACACCCUAAACAAAUCAAAUGACCAAGUAAGCUCAGACUGAGUAAUGCUAGUAAUCUAACUCAUACCCAACACGUCCAUCUCAUCUCAAUACUCAUCAUGGGGGACAACUCCAUCAAUCAUCUUAGUGGGAUCAACGACCACUCCAUCAUCAAUGACCUCCACUAGGAAGCAUAGGGUCAACAAACUAGCUUCAUAAGGAAAAAGUGGAGCAAUCACCAUAGAAACAAAUGUGUCAGGAGUCCCAUCAUCCAAUUGUAACUAAUGAAAUAAUAGCUAAAACUCAAUCUCUCUAUCUGUAUCAACCACAUAAUCAAUCUCCUCUAAAUGAGGUCAAAUCUCUAAUCCUCUAACAAAGUAAUCGACCAAACUCUUCUUAUAAGGGAGAAUAGGAUAAUCAAAUGGUACGUGAGACAAUUGGGCCCUCACCCUCUCCUUGCGCAGUCACGCCAUGAAUCGAUAAUCAGCUUCAGUAGGAAUGAACCUAAGUCCAAAUCUUGUAUCAUGAUCAAUGGUAACUAUAAACUCAUUAGGCAUAUGUUGACGUCAUUCUAACCUCAUGCUAGGUAGAAAAGACAUACCCCUCAUCAUGUUAAGAACCAUUGUACUGUUGUGUUGAUCAAAUGAAAUAGCUACAAAAUCUCUAUAGAAGUCUUCAAUCUCAAGAGUUUAUACCUCGUCGAAUGUUAACCCAAUAAAAAAUAAGUCAUCCUCACUAUGACUAAUAUGAAGCAUUGGCUCAGAAGAUGCAAACAUAUCUUUGGUAGAUUACACCAUGAUGACCUGCCCAUUAUGAAUGAAUUUCACCUUUUGAUGGAGGAAAGAAGGAAUUUGUCCAGUUAUAUGAAUCCAAGGUCGGCCUAGUAGUAGGUUAAAGGAUGUGGGAAUCCUCAAAACCUAGAAUAAAGUAGGAAAUGCAGUUGGACCAAUCAGUAAAUCAAUCACCAAGGUACCCAUAACCUCCCUCUUGGUACUAUCAUAUGCUCUAGCUGUCUGAGUAGAGGGACCAAAACCUGAAGGUGCGAAACCAAGGGCUAUAGUGGUGGCUAAGGUGUAGACGUUUAGGGCUGAGCCAUUGUUCAUCAAGACAAUGAGACUCUAUAGCUUGAAUAACCAAUUGAAAUGUAUAAAGGGCGAGUGUGGUCUGAACCCUUAGGUGGCAAAUCAUCAUCUAAAAACACAAUACAAGUGGCUUUGUCAAUUGUCAUCAUGUAAAUCAACCCGUGGUGGUAAUCUCUACCCUGAUCUGACUCAAAGCUUGAAUCAAAGCAUCUCUAUGAGUAAUGGAAGAUGGCAAUAAACUCCAAAUAGAAAUACAAGUCUGGAUGUUCUGCAACUGUCUUAAAACCUCAUCAUUCUCUUUCCUAACCUCCUCACAAGAGGCUACACCCUCAAAUAGCGUAGUUGUUAGAGGUGGAGGUUAGGCUAUCCUCCCACUAUGGAUCACAAUUUGAACAUCCCUAUCCUAAAACUUAACAUUCUUCCCACGUGCAUACAAUCUGCAUGCAUGGCCACCCCCUCUCUCUUUUUUCCUCCUUAGGUGCACAGUCCCAAAACUUAGAUCACUGUAAUUCUAAUUUUAAUAAAUACUCCAAUGAUUUUUGUAUGCUUUUGUAUUUGUUUUAAAAAUACAUGUGUCCCUCUUCUUCAUUAUUUGGCCAAAAGGAUGCAUGCUUCCCACAUGCAUACAAUUUGCACGCAUGGCCACCCUUUCUCUCUCUUGUUCUCCUUAGGUGCACAGUCCCAAAACUUAGAUCAAUGUGAUUCUAAUUUUAAUAAAUAAUCCAAUGACCUUUGCAUGCUUUUAUAUUUGUUUUAAAAAUCUUGUUUUCAAUGAAGUCACUUCACUUUUGUAAUUCCUUCUUAGAAAUUUUAGGUUACUAAAAAAAUAAUUUUAAUAAGCUUGCUGACAUACUUCCUUUCAACAUGCACCUUUCUUUUACUUUUCUUGAUUUUUAAUAAUUUUCUCGAUUUUAAUAAAUAUGAAUAAAUUCUAUUACUCGGAAAAUAAUGGAAUUCAUCCAAAUUCCUGUGAUCCUUUUCCAUGAGCAUUAGAGAAAUGAAAUUUAUAGAAUUAAUUCAUGUAGAAAUAAAUUAGGCAAUGGUGAGGCCUAACAUAGAUGAUAAUUUCAUUUGAUUAUUAAUUCUAGUUAUUGUGCUUAUCGAAUGAUGAUUGUUUAUGCCUCUCAUUAUGAGAUAUAUGCAUUGUUUUAUACUUGACGCUAUACACUAACAUUAUUUCUCAUGAAACACUCAAUUAGCUACUCAAGUAUGCCCUUUAUCCUUUCUCGUCGGUUUGAUUAUAUGUCUAUCCAUAUCUUGACCAUUUUAUAUUGUGUUUAUUGCUAAUCCAUAGAUUAACCAUCAAUUUUCAUACUUACCUUAACUUGAUUAGUAAAGACCUGAUUUUAAGGCUUAGAGGGGUGCUAUGACUUAUUGCCAUACCUUUCAAAUAGGUAACCUAAUUCCCGAACCCAAACUCAAUUUUUCCUAGACCUGUCUUUUCCUUUUAGGAGUUACGCUUAAGGUUUUCUUUAUUACUUUGUUUUUUCUUUAAAAAAAAAAAAAGUGAUAACUCUAAAAACAAUUUUCAAAAAAUUAUUUUUCACAAUAAAAAGCAAGUCUCACCAUUGAGUAAGAAAGCACGUGAAAAUGUAGGUCCACAGUAGUCAUACUUGGUUGAACCAAGUUGACCAAACCCUAAUCGAUAAGGUCCUGGAUAGUGAUUACUACUCAAAAAGUGCUAUUUUAUAGCUUGUAAUUAACUCUUUUAAAAAAUUUUGAGUAGUAUUUAUUACCUUUUAACUCAAUUGGCAUGUUAAGGACCCUUGCAAUCGUUUCUAAUCAAAUUGUAUUAAGUUUUGGUGUUUUUGAUAGCUUUUUUAUCACCAAAGCAAUCUAAGAUGAGGGAGAGUUUUAUAUAAUCCAUGGCAAAGCAAAUGGAAGCUCAUUUACAAGAAGAAUCCAAGCUUUGGAGCUUUGUAGUCCUUUGCCAAAAGCAAAUCAUGAAUGCAAGGAGGAGAAGCAAAGAGAGAAAUCUAACAUGAAGAAAUUCAAGAGGACAACAACUAUUGGACACAUUUCGAGUACUUCCUGGAGUCCAUUUUAUGCAUACUAUAUUUUUUUUUUUUAAGCUUGGGAAGUCAGUAGUCCAACGCUUCAAACAGUGUGCGAAUUGGAGCUAAAAUGAAGAAGUUAUGGUCGUUUAAAGACAACCGCGCAAAGCUGAACGAAAAUUUUGCAGCUGUGUGCCACUUGAUAAGCUAUGGCCGUUCGAAACCACCUGCAAGCACACGUGUGCCACUUCACAAGUUGAAACUCCAUCUUCGCAGCUGUGAACCACCUUGCAAAAUCACCUCCAAGCUAUGAAUCAAGUUGCAAAUCACCUUCAAGUUGUGGAAUCACCUCCAAGUUGCGAAAUCACAAAUUCAACUUGCAAAAUCAAAGUUUAAACUUGCAAAAUGGAUAAUUCAACGUGUGAAUCACCUUGCGAAAUCCACCUGUGCAAUCUCAGAUAUUUGCAACCGACUUAGUUAGAUUUUUUCUCAAGAUAUUUUGUGUAAAUUUCUAUUUUCUCCUUGUAAUCAGUCAAAGAUAUUAUUGGGAUAUUUCUUAGAAAAUAUCUUUUGUAUAUAUAUCUUUGAACCAAUGUAAAGAACCAACGAAUAUAUGAUAGAUCACAUAUGUAAUCCGACGAGAGGAGGAUCAUAGUAAGAAAUAUAUUUUACAGAGCACUUGCUCUGUUUUUCCUUCAUAUUUUUGUUUUCUCGUUAUUUUUAUUUCUAACCAAACAAACUCUGAGGAUGUUUCCUCAAAGGAUGAGUGGCUAGGAUUUUUGUCUCUUGGAGUGAAAAAGCCGAGUAAGUUUCCGAAUGCAAAAAUUGGAAGUUUUGUUGUUUCAGUUUUUAAUGAAGAGAAAGUGUGAUCCGUUAAUGGUUUUUAUAUUUUUAGUUAACUUAAAAUGCCUUGAAAUCACCUAGGCCAACACUUAGUAAGGCAAGUGGUCUCCAUCCAUUGAGAUACACUAGUUUAUCUCUUACGAGCCUUUGGGAGGUGGUUUAAAGGUAGGAUUUUCUAGAAUAGCCAACACUUGGUAAGCUUUUGGACUCCAAGGAGACAUCUAUUAGUUAUCUUUUGCGAGCUUUUGUCGGGUAAUCCAAGGUUGAAGAUCACCUUGAAUGGCCAAUACUAGGUGAGAGGUAUGAACCAUUGUAAGAUGCAUCAGUGAGAGGGAUUUAGUGUUUGAACCCAUUAAAGGGAAGCAUCUGUACCACAUCGGUUCGAGAAAUAACUAUAUGUUAAAUCCCCAAUGCGAGGAAAAGAUUCAAGUGACCGGAACUCUAUUUUUGUAUAAGGAACCUGAGCCUAGUGAUCUGAAACUCCAAGAAAUGCUUUUCUUUGUAAUUAAAAUCAGUUACUAUUUUUAGUUAGCUAAAAACCAACCUUUUCAAACAUCUUUAUGUUUUCUUUUAAAGCUAACCUUGAAAUGAAAAAUCACCAAUUCAACUUUGAAUUAAUAUCAAUUGUGGAGUGAAAACCCAUCCCAGUGAACGAUCCUAGAGCCACUAUGCUAUGCUAGCUGAGGCUAUCCUAGUACAUGGUAUAAUAGGUUAUAAAUUUUUUUGAUUACUCCCAUUUGAGGACCGAAAUCAAGGUACACCAGCUGGGCAUGAAUCAAAUGGCGCCGUUGUCGGGGAUGGUGCCACUUUAUAGUGAUAUCACCUUUCCAGAGUACUUGUGAUCUUCAUCACAAGUUUGGUGGCUUUUCUUUUCUUUUUACUAACUCUUUUUAUUUGUUUCUUUUUCUUUGUUCAUAUUUUAGUAUAUCUUUUAGUUAGCUUUUAGUUUACCUUAAUUUUUUUUUCUCCUAGAAUUGUUUUUCUUUUGUUUUCUUUGUUUUUAUUUUAGAAGUUACUAGUUGUGCAUGCUUUAUUGGAUACGAGAUAGCGGAGGAAGCCAUGGACUUCUUGAGUUAUGUGACUGAAGUUUCAAGAGGAUGGGAUGAACCAAAUGCUAGAGAUAGGGAAGAAUGAAGUCUCAGCCUAAUACCAAGGGUGAGAUGUAUAUUUUGAAUGACGACAUAGACAUGAAGGCAAAUAUUGCAGCUAUGACAAGGAGAUUGGAAGAGUUAGAAAUGAAGAAGAUGCAAGAAGUGCAAGCCAUCUCUCAGACACCAUUGCAAGCUAUGCCUUGUGCCAUUUGUCUAUCUUAUGAGCACUUGGUGGAAGAGUGUCCUACCAUUACAAUGACGAGAGAAAUGUUUGGUGAUUGCAACACCUACAUUCCAAUUAGAGGAACCAUCCAAAUUUCUCUUGGAAACCACAGCCACCUCAGUACCAGCAACCUGCUCAAGCACCUCAGCAAGCCUCGAACCUUGAACAAGCUAUGGUGAAUCUUAGCAAGGUCGUGGGAGACUUUGUUGGAGCUCAGAAAUCCAUCAAUGCUCAACUCAGUCAAAGAAUUGACAGUGUAGAGAGUUCAUUGAAUAAAAAGAUGGAUGAAAUGCAAAAUGAUCUAUCUCAGAAGAUAGAUAAUCUCCAAUAUUCAAUUUCAAGGUUUUCCAACCUCAACACAGUGCAAGAAAAAGGAAACUUUCCUUCUCAACCUUAUCAAAAUUCCAAGGGUAUCCAUGAAGUGGAGGCUCAAAAGAGAGAAUCUUCAAUGUUGAAGGAAGUUAAAGGGAUUAUCACUUUGAGGAGUGGUAAAGAGGUUGAUUUUCCCACAUCCAAGCUAGAGCAUAAGGUAGAGAGUGAAACAAAGAAAGAAAAGACGGAGGAAAUCAAAGGAAAGAAAAAUGGGAAAAGCAUAGAGAAAGAUGACUAUGAUCUUACUAUAGAUGAAAAACCACAGAGGAUAGUUAUCAAGGAAGAAAUGAUGAAGAAACACAUGCCUCCACCUUUUCCCCAAGCUUUGUAUGGUAAAAUCAUACAGAGCAAGUCUCAAGUGAGAGAUGCAAACUUCAUAUGGGAUCCAGGCAAGUUGAAUCAGGAUCAAAUUUUUUGAUAGACUUAGUCUAGCUAGUCUAUAUCUUUUUAUUUUAUUUUAUUACUUGUUUUAAUUUUGAUUUCAAUGCUUUAAUUUUACUUUGUUUUGAUUUAACAUAGGUUUUUGGAUGAUCAAAAUUAGGAGGAAUUUCAAAAGAGGUGAAGGAAGGUCUAAAGGAGCCAACAGGAACCAAAAGCAAGGAAUUCCAGAGCCCUGCGAAAUUUCGCAACCAAAAGAGCCCCCUUGCGAAAAGGGGCUUCCCCUGCGAAAUGAUUUCGCAGCCCAAGACCCCUCUCUGCGAAAUCAAGGUUUUCGCUGCGAAAAUGGUCAUCCUCUACGAAAUCAUUUUGCAGCCCAAGCCUCACCCCUUGCGAAAAUUUUCACAACUGUGAAACGCCCCUUUGGCACAUGAGUGCCAUUUCGUAGCCCCACACUCCCAUUUUCCAGCUGUGAAAUGGCCUGCGAAAUCACCUUUGAGCUUCGAAAUGGGCUGCGAAAUGGCCUGCGAAAUUGGCCCUUGGCUGCGAAAAUGGCCUUUGACUGCGAAAUCACCUUUGAGCUACGAAAUUUCCCUUUUGCUGCGAAAUCCCCUUUUGACUGCGAAAUAGCCUCCAGGCUGCGAAAUUGACUUGCGAAAUGGGAGGGGUUUGCAAAAACACCUUGCGAAGUCAAGGAAAGUUGCGAAAAUGCCAACAAAGCCCCACGACCAUGCAUAUGAAGAGGAAAGCCCCAUGCACCCUGAGAUCACACACACGAAGCCUCUCACUCCAUCUCUGACCUCCCUAAACCAUCACAGCCCAUAGCUCCAGCUGAGAGCUCCAGUUGAGGAGACUAUGGCAUCCAAGGAGACUACUAGAACAGAGGUCAAAGUCCUGAUCCAACCCACUUAGGAAGCCACCACAGAUGCAUCAGCUCCACAGGACCUUACCAUUACUUGAUCAUCUCUUUACUUUUUGUCUUUACUUAUUAUAUUAGUUUAGAUAAUUCCAUGUUUUUAUGUUUUAUAUUCUGGGAUUGGAUGUAUUACUGAUGAUACAUCAUAUAUAGACAUCAUUUUUGUUUAAACUUGGCAAUUUUCUAUUUCCUCUACUCACUAACUCGUUUGUUUUUUUGAAACAUGUGGUUUCUCGUAUACAACUCAGACUCCAUGUCACUCAGGAGGUACCACUUUCUCCACAUUUUUCAAUCGCUUUUGUCACAUUGAGGACAAUGUUCAGCUUGGUUGAGGGGAGAGUUGAGGAAGGAAGUCUUAUUAUUAAUGCUAAGUUAUUUUGAUAAUUUAGUUGCUUUUUGCUUAAUUUUUAAAAUUUUUUAAAGUUUUUAUUCUACUCUCCAUGGUUAUUAAGGAAACAUUCUCAAAAUGAAAAAGGAGAAAUUGAAUUUUUGUCUUUUUACUUGACUUAGAUUUUGUAUUAUGCUUACUAAAGUUGAUGAAUUGUUGAAACUUCUAUUGAGUUCAACCUUAGUUCUUCCACUUUAAGCUAUUCACACACUGUGCACAAUAGGUUCCGAUUAUAAGAUGAAAAACUAUUUCCCUCUUGACUUCGGAAAAUUUAGACUUGGUACCUUUGACCUCAUUUUAAUAGUGUUGGGACACCUUAUAAAAGGCCAAUGAGCCUUUGAAAAAAAGCAAGAAAAAAUGUUUUACUUGCCUUGAAACCUGAGCAAGGUCUGAGGGGUAUAUGGUGAAAAUCUUUAAAACCUGGUGCCCUAAGCCUUAAUUGGUUGGGAGCCACCGGCCUUAAUGCUCGUUACAAGGGUGAAUAGGUGAGUUUAACAUACUAUAGGUGCUUGGGUAUUAAAUUCAUUCUCAAAAGUCCGGGGUAAAAUCCGAGGAGUUAGUGGUUGAAAGAUCCUUAAAGCUUGAUGCCCUAAACCUUAAUUGGUUGGGAGUCAUCGAUUGAUGUGACUCAUGGUAGCUUAGCUUUAAAGGCGUAUCAACAAAAUUUAUACCUUAGAUACUAUUACUAAAGUAGCCAAGCUACUAUAGCAUAGUGGUUCUAGGAUCGUUCACUGGGAAGGGUUUUCGCAAACACAAGUGAUAUUCAAAUUAGGAAAAUAGGUGAUUUUCUUAUGGAUGUUAGCUUUAAAAGAAGAUGUAAAUGUUUUAGAAAGAUUUAAACUAAUCUAAGCUAACAUUAAACACUAAAAUGAAAGGGUGUAAAAACAAGUUUCUCAAAGAUAGGAUAACUAUGCUCUGACUCUUAUGCAAAUUGGAAAUCUUAGGAUAGGCUUCUCGCGUUGGGGUUGCAACUAUGGUGAUGCUUGCUUCCCGAACCGGUAUGGAUUUAGCAAAUCAAGUUUUAAUCCUUUAAAAUGGCAAAACAGAUGGUAGUGAAUUUCAUCGAUGGUUAUUCACCUUAGACUUCCUUUGAAUGGCUCGUAAGAGAUAACUAAUGGUCUAAAGCCAAAAGCUUACCAAAUAUUGGCAACUCAAAGUCAUUCCAGGUGAUAAACUCACCUUUCAAUGGCCAUUGAAAUUGGUUCUAACGGAUUAAUGAAAAACUUGGAAUUGAAAACCUCACCUUCCAAUAGCUCGUAGGAGAUAACUAAUGGAUAGAAAUCCAAAAGCUUAUCAAGUAUUGGUCGUUGGAAGUUGUCCAAAGGAAAUAAAAACCAAACUUUGCAUUAAUGACCCUUUAAUGAAAAAUGACUACCUUACCUUCCGGGUGCGAGAAAUUUCCAUGGGAUUGCAUCCAAGCCAUCACAUAACAUCCAUACUUUGAGAAACUAAAAGUUUUAGCCAAUCAUCCUUUGAGGAAAAGCCCUCAGAGGCUGUUUGGCUACUAAGAAAAUAGAAAUGGGGAAGAACAAGUGAAGAGAGAAAAAUAGAGCUUUAUAUAUUUCUAAGUGUGAAACGUAACACGCAUGUUAUAUAGUCUUUACAAAAGCAAAAGCUUGUGAUUGGUUAGUUACAAGGAUAAGAAAGGAAAUUACAUCAAAAAAUACAUAAGAAAAUAUCUAAAGUGGAGUCGGCAAAAACAGAGCAAAAUUCGCACCACGCAUGGGCUGUGCGAAUUUUGAAGGUGUUGUGGGAAUUUCGCACAACACAAGGUGUCGUGCGAAUUUCGCACAACACAAGGUGUCGUGCGAAAUUUUCGCACAAGCCUGGAGUAGUUGGCUUCCGAAGGCCAUAUCUUCCUUAUUUCAGCUCCAAAUCGUACACGGUUUGAAGCGUUGGAUUCUUGACUUCCUGAUCUUUGAAAUGGUAUAUAUAAUGUAGAAAAUGGACUUCGGAAAGUGCUCCAAAAGUGUGAAAGAAGAAUGCAGCUGCUGUCCUCUAAUUUUUUCACUUUGCUUUCCUUUUCUCCAUUGUUCUUUACUUGCAUACUUUGAACGACUUUGGAAAAGGGCUAUGGAGCUCCAAAGCUUGGUUCUUCAUGAAUUUGAGCUUCCAAAAGCUUUGCCAUAACUUGUCCAAGUAGCUCCUCCAUCAUUUGGCAUGCUUGAAUUGAUUCAUAAGCUGAUAAAAACAUGUAAACUUGCCACAAAAUGGUUAAAACCAAUUACUAAGGACCUUAAUGAAUUAAUUGGGUUAAAUGAAUAUGAUUACUACUCAAAGGUGCUUAAAACCAUUAUAAUUAGGUCUACAAAAUAGCACUUUUUGGUAGUAAUCAUCGAUGGACCCCCGUUACAUGGACAAUUUAGAAAACAAUACCUUUUGCUUUGUACUCCUACAAUGAAAAAAAGUGUGAAAUAAAUGAGGUGCAUUCUUAACCUAUUGGAGGUUCAUCAAUUUGCUAAGCUUUGAAAAAGAACUAGGUUAUGGGGAGAGAUUAGUUCAACAUACUAUAUUCAGAAGCUAAUAAAUAACACUUAGAUUUUUGUGGAAGAGUAAGGUUUGACCCUUUGGGAGUGGAAACUCUUUUAAAAGCUUAAAUUUGCAUAAUGUCUUCUCUUUAUGAAUUGUGAUUAGACAAGUUAUUUGAUAACUCUUGUUGAAGUUUGAGUUUUAUUUCUUUAAUGUUCCAUGUCAGAGUUAGAUCAUCAUGCCACUUGAAAAUUGUUUUUUGAUCAGCAUGAUGUUGUAAAUUAUAGUAUUGUUUAUUUUAUUUUUCUCUCCUUUAUUGCUAAGGGACUACCAAUAUGUCGGUUAGGGGGAGUGAUUACUACUCAAAAAGUGCUAUUUUAUAGCUUGUAAUUAACUCUUUUCAACACUUUUGAGUAGUAGUUAUUACCUUUUAACUCAAUUGGCAUGUUAAGGACCCUUGCAAUCGUUUCUAGUCAAAUUGUGUUAAGUUUUAGUGUUUUUGAUAGCUUUUUGAUCACCAAAGCAAUCUAAGAUGAGGGAGAGUUUUAUAUAAUCCAUGGCAAAGCAAAUGGAAGCUCAUUUACAAGAAGAAUCCAAGCUUUGGAGCUUUGUAGUCCUUUUCCAAAAGCAAAUCAUGAAUGCAAGGAGGAGAAGCAAAGAGAGAAAUCUAACAUGAAGAAAUUCAAGAGGAUAGCAAUUGUUGGACACAUUUUGAGUACUUCCUGGAGUCCAUUUUAUGUAUACUAUAUUUUUUUCGAAGCUUGGGAAGUCAGGAGUCCAACGCUUCAAACGGUGUGCGAAUCGGAACUGAAAUGAAGAAGUUAUGGCCGUUUGAAGACAACCGCACAAAGUUAAGCGAAAAUUUCGCAACUGCAAAAUGAAAUGCACUUGCGAAAUUUCGCAAGGUGUUUCGCAGCUGCGAAACCACCUACAAGCACACGUGUGCCACUUCGCAAGUUGAAACUCCAUCUUCACAGUUGCGAACCACCUUGUGAAAUCACCUCCAAGCUACGAAUCAAGUUGCAAAUCACCUUCAAGUUGCGGAAUCACCUCCAAGUUGCGAAAUCACAAAUUCAACUUGCGAAAUCAAAGUUCAAACUUGCAAAAUGGAUAAUUCAACGUGUGAAUCACCUUGCGAAAUCCACCUGUGCAAUCUCAGAUAUUUGCAACCGACUCAGUUAGAUUUUUUCUCAAGAUAUUUUGUGUAAAUUUCUAUUUUCUCCUUGUAAUCAGUCAAAGAUAUUAUUGGGAUAUUUCUUAGAAAAUAUCUUCGGUAUAUAUAUCUUUGAACCAAUGUAAAGAACCAACGAAUAUAUGAUAGAUCAUAUAUGUGAUCCGACGAGAGGAGGAUCAUAGUAAGAAAUAUAUUUUACAAAGCACUUGCUCUGCUUUUCCUUCAUAUUUUUGUUUUCUCGUUAUUUUUAUUUCUAGCUAAACAAACUCUGAGGAUGUUUCCUCAAAGGAUGAGUGACUAAGAUUUUUGUCUCUUGGAGUGAAGAAAGGCGGGUAAGUUUCCGAAUGCAAAAAUUGGAAGUUUUGUUGUUUCAGUUUUUAAUGAAGAGAAAGUGUGAUCCGUUAAUGGUUUUUAUCUUUUUAGUUAACUUAAAAUGCCUUGAAAUCACCUAGGCCAACACUUGGUAAGGCAAGUGGUCUCCAUCCAUUGAGAUACACUAGUUUAUCUCUUGCGAGCCUCUAGGAGGUGGUUUAAAGGUAGGAUUUUCUAGAAUAGCCAACACCUGGUAAGCUUUUAGACUCCAAUGAGACAUCCAUUAGUUAUCUUUUGCGAGCUUUUGAUGGGUAAUCCAAGGUUGAAGAUCACCUUGAAUGGCCAAUACUAGGUGAGAGGUAUGAACCAUUACAAGAUGCAUCAGUGAGAGGGAUUUAGUGUUUGAACCCAUUAAGGGGAAGCAUCUGUACCACACCAGUUCGGGAAAUAACUAUAUGUUAAAUCCCCAAUGCGAGGAAAAGAUUCAAGUGACUGGAACUCUAUUUUUGUAUAAGGAACCUGAGCCUAGUGAUCUAAAACUCCAAGAAACGCUUUUCUUUGUAAUUAAAAUCAAUUACUAUUUUUAGUUAGCUAAAAACCAACCUUUUCAAACAUUUUUAUGUUUUCUUUUAAAGCUAACCUUAAAAUGAAAAAGCACCAAUUCAACUUUGAAUGAAUGUCAAUUGUGGAGUGAAAACCCAUCCCAGUGAACGAUCCUAGAGCCACUAUGCUAUGCUAGCUGAGGCUAUCCUAAUACAUGGUGUAAUAGGUUAUAAAUUUUAUUGAUUACUCCCGUCUGAGGACCGAAAUCAAGGUACACCAAUUGGACACGAAUCAGAUAGCAUGCCAAAGAGUAGUACAAUGGUUUGUAUCAUUUCAUAAGCCCUAAUUUAUACAAUUGAAUAAAUAGAAACCUAUAUUUAAAAAAUUGAAACAAAAAAGAAAAAAAUAAAUGAAAAUAAAUAAAUGAAAAAAAAAUGAGAAGGAUGUAACCCAAACAUAGCAAAACAAUCUCGAGCAAAAGCUUAAAUACAAUAAACUAACUUCAAAACUGUUUUGCUAAAUCUAAGAAAAAUAUUAAAGGAAAAAAAUAUAGAGAUAGCUUCCUUAGAGGCUUGUCACCCAUACUUAUCCUAACAAAGCAAUCAAAGAGUAAUCACUAAAUUGAGAUAGUUGUAGAGUUGACUUCCUCUUUUGCAUUGUCUCCCAUCACCUCAAUCAAUCAUUCAAUUUAAAGCCCAAAUAAAAUGAAUAAACAAAUUGGAAAAAAAAAAUACAGGAUCAAAUCUUCAAUUUAACACUACAAAUAUCAAAAAAGGUUUUACCUAUACUUGACUGAAGAAAAUAAAGAAUAGAUGGGUGGCUAUGAAUAGUGGUUGCGGUAGCUCGUGGGUAUAGUGGAAUGUGGACCGGCAUCGAAGAUGAAGAGGAUGGAAUUGUGGCAAUGGAUGGAGAUGGCAGCAAUAGCGUGUGGGUAUCUACAAAGAUCAAAAAAUGUUUUACCUAUGCUUGAUUGAAGAAAAUAAAGAAUAGAUGGGUGGCUAUGAAUAGUGGUUGCGACAUCUCGUGGGUAUAGUUGAAUGUGGACUGUCAUCGGAGAUGAAGACGAUGGAAUUGUGGCAAUGGAUGGAGAUGGCAACAAUAGCAUGUGGUUAUCUACAAAGGUCAAAGAAGGUUUUACCUAUACUUGAUUAAAGAAAAUAAAGAAUAGAUGGGUGGCUAUGAAUAAUGGUUGCGACAUCUCGUGGGUAUAGAAUUUAUUUUUCAUUCUUCUUUAGCAUCAUAUUUGUUUAUUUUCAAUAUCAAUUUCACAAAUUCUUUUGCUUUUGCAUAAUAAUUCCCUCUUGGCCAUAUCAUUCCUUAUUAGUUCUCCUCAUUUCUUUUCCAAUUUUGGUUACCAUCUUUAUUCUCUACUCCAUUUAUAAACUUCUCUACAUUUUGCUCUUUUCAUAUACAGCUUCCAUCUGUAUCAUCAGCCAUAUGUCUCUAUUUCUUCUGCCUCUAAUCCAUAUCAACCCCUUCAUUUUUUGGUCCAAGACAUGGCAGUUGCUCACACCAUUUUGACAUUAAUUCUAUCUGCGAGGAGAGUAUAUAUACCUCCAUGUAUCUAAGGAUAGUAAAAAUUCCCAAACAAUAUUACCUAAUCACGUUAAUAAUUAUACUUAUAUAAAAAGUUUUAAUUCAAAAAAUUGAGAAGAAAUUGGAUUAAAGUAGUCUUAUUUCAUGCAUAAAGGCUUUAGUUCUAUCAAUUAUUACCUAAAUUAUUUUAAAUUACAAUUUUAUUUUUCUCUAUCUAGGAAUAAUUAUGGCUAAGAGUAUGCCCAUUUAAAGUUUAGAAUUUAAUUUUAGAGUUAACAUCGUUUGCUUCUAUAAAUAUCUAAUAAGUAUGAAUCUUAUUGUAGCUAUACUAUAUGUUCAUAAUGAUGAAGAAAUCAUCAUCAUACACUCGUGGUUAUAAAAAAUCUUUCACCAUGAGUUAAAGUAGAGGAAAAAUUGUGUAGUUAUACAUUCUAUCCAAAAGUAUAAUUGUUUUUUUCUAAGAUAUUUGAAUAUAUAUACAUUAACUAGGGCCAUGCACAUCCUUACGAAGGAGUCCACCAUGUGACUAAAAGUAAUAAUUAAUCAGUCCAAAGGCUUCAAACAUAAUGAAGAAGACUUGUUUGAGGUUUGCCUUUAUUACUUUUUCAUUUUCCCAGCGUCAUCACUGACGUUUGGACAUUACUUUUAUUUUCCAAACGUCAUCGAUGAUGUUUGGACAUUGGAUAGAAAGGGAAUUCUUGACCAAUAUUUCUACUUUGGUUGGAUGUAUUUUGAACAACUUGUAUUAUGUAAAUUUUACAGCCUAAAUGCAUACAUAAAGGAGCUCAGCUGCUAUUUCAUUUGCAGAUAUCAAAACAUUAUGGCAGAAGAAGUGAAACUUUUCAGAACAUGGUCCAGUCCUUUUGCCCUGAGGAUUGUUUGGGCUCUCAAAAUCAAAGGCGUAGAGUAUGAAACCAUAUUUGAAGAUCUCUCCGACAAGAGCCCUUCACUUCUCCAGUAUAAUCCUGCCCACAAAAAGAUUCCAGUUCUUGUACACAGUGGAAAACCCAUCGCUGAAUCGUAUGUCAUUCUUGAAUACAUUGAUGAGACAUGGAAGGAAACUCCCUUGUUGCCUGAAGACCCUUACGAGAGAGCCAUGGCCCGCUUCUGGGCCAAAUUUGGUGACGAUAAGGUU
This 103744-nucleotide long non-coding RNA is filed under the name Vitis vinifera (wine grape). Its description in RNAcentral is "long non-coding RNA (VVIN_LNC007152)". The record is from RNAcentral. Lineage: Eukaryota; Viridiplantae; Streptophyta; Magnoliopsida; Vitales; Vitaceae.